Molecule: long non-coding RNA, 160421 nt
Filed under: Panax ginseng (ginseng)
Lineage: Eukaryota; Viridiplantae; Streptophyta; Magnoliopsida; Apiales; Araliaceae
Description: long non-coding RNA (PGIN_LNC007104)
Source: RNAcentral
CACCUAGUGAUAGUUGUUUUAUUUAUAAUAUGAUAAUAACAACCACCUAGUGGUAGCUGAUUUAUUUAUUACAUGCUAAUAACAACCAUGAGUUGAUAGUUGAUUUAUUUAUUAUAUGCUAAUAACAGCUAUCAGCUAGUGGUUGAUUUAUUUAUUAAUUGCAGUCUUGUUCAUUUACUUCAGUCUUUUUAUUUAAUUAUGUUAAAUCAUAUGUGAAUCCUAAUUUGUACUUGUACUCACAGAAAAUAAACCUAAGAAUUCAUCAAAGGAAAUAAAAGAUAAACGACAAUACAAAUAUUGCGUUUUGUUUUGUCUUAUUUUUUAAAAUUUUAUUUUCAAAUAUAUACGCAUGCAUGAUAAAGAUUCACAAUUAUAUAUAUAUAUAUAUAUAUAUAUAUAUAAUCCGUCGAGGUGUUUUAGUUGACUAGCUAGUAUAAACUACCAUCUACCAAAUCGUUAUUAGCUAACGAGCUAGUGUAAAUUUUCAUCUUGGAAGCUAGUAUAAACUAUCAUCUAUAAAAUUGUUAUUAGUAGAGGAACUACGAAUGUAAACUAUCGUCUAACAAACUGUAUUAGUUGAUGAGCUAGUGUAAAUUACUAUCAUUUACCAAAUAGUUAGAUAGACUGUUGGCUACAGUCAAAUGUGUUUUGGAUCAAUUCCUAUAUAUGUGUGUGUGUGAAAAAUUCAUGAAAAUCUAAAACUUAGUUGUUUUGGUACUAUUGAAUUGAUUUAUCUUUUCAUCUUUAUUUUUUUUUAAUUUACUACCCGACCCAAAUCUUUUCUCUUCUCGUAUCAAUAGUAAGUUUAAGAUUGGAUGAUAUUUUUGUCCCUUCAUUUUUUGUCAAUUGAGUCCUUAAAGUGGUCAAUUGAUGUCAAUUCUGUCUCUUUUCUCCAAAUUAACCCAAUUUCUUCUAAAUUGAAGUACAUGCUCGGCAUAUAUAUGCGAUUUAAGUUGGGGCAAAAAUGUCUCCUAACACAAUAAUAAUAAUAAUAAUAAUAAUAAUAAUAAUAAUAAUAAUUCAAAAUUAUCUAAUGAAAAGACAUAAUUUAAGCAGUACCAUCUUGUAAUUUAUGUAAUCACUUUAUUUAAUAUCACAAUAAACCAGCUAGUGAUAGUUGUUUUAUUUAUAAUAUGGUAAUAACAAGCACCUAGUGGUAGUUUGAUUUAUUUAUUACAUGCUAAUAACAACCAUGAGUUGAUAGUUGAUUUAUUUAUUAUAUGCUAAUAACAGCUAUCAGCUAGUGGUUGAUUUAUUUAUAUAUCGUGCUAAUAACAACCAUCAACUAGUAUAUAGUUUCUUGAUUUACUGUUGAUCGGAAGAUUACUGAUCGUUCAUUUAGGUGUUGGUGGGACUAAUGUUAACACCAUAGAUAACUAAACCUGUCUUCAUAGUCACGUUUUCAGUCCCGUCAAGAGCAAAUAUGAUAUCUCCAUAGUCAAACUUAUUGAAGAAUUCCCCAGCUUUGAGCGAAAAUGGUGUGUUUCUCGGAUAAUUCAUCAAUCCAUAUCCGUUCACUUGCGAGGAUCCAUUCGGAAGAGUAAGUGUAAGACUCACCGGACUUGCUAUGUUAAAGUUGUCUUUCAGCAGCACCACAAAAGAUACCUCAUAAGAUAAAUUUUCAAGCUUUUCUGUCAUAUAGUUUCCGUCAACAUGUAGGACUAAGCUACCAAUUAAUUCAGCACUGUCAGGACUGUACAAAAUGAUAGUAGAAUUAAAGUCAGAAACUUUUGAUAUAAGGAGCUUAAAUUCAUUAGGUGAUUUUAUUGAUUUAUUUAUUUUUUGCUGGAAUAUUUUUAAUGCGAGUCCUUCUAUCUAACUAGACUUCAAUAAAAUUUCUAUAGUCCUUCUAUCACUUUAAUUUAAUGACAAAGUUGCUUAUAUAUCCCUAUUUUUAACUGAAUAAAAUUCAGGUGUUUAAACACAAAUCUUGACCUUUGACGUCAAUUAAGUUAACUAAAUCUUAUUUCUACUUACGUAAACUUCCAGCCUGAAGGGUUGGCAUAAUUGAGUUUACUGGCAGGUACAUAAGCGCCAGAACUCUGAAUAAGACGAGAAAAAAAAAUUCAUAUCAUCCAUUACAAAAAAAUUUCACUUGCAAAAUUUACAAAUAUUAAGGAUUAUUUUUGUUCUAUAGCCAACUUUAGCUAUAUAUAUGAUGUUUGUUUACAAUUUCAGUAGACUUACCUUCUGGCCUAUUCCGCCGUUUUGGAGCAACUCCAUUUCCUUGGCUUGGGACAACAAUGCCUUGAGGUCAACCUCAUUAUGCCUCACUACUUGUGCCAUCUCCUCGAUCGAUCGAUAACUAUCCUUUAAUUCUGCUAUAUAUAUAUAUAUAUAUGUAUUUUCUGUUUCUAUUCUUGAUGUCUAUAUAUCUCUCUUCCAAAGGCUAGCUCUAUUUAUACUGGCACAAACAGAGGGUACUGCGAUUAUUAUAUCCCAUAAUAUCCUAUCUUCAAAUAUUCCUUCCCUUUUCAAAGUAGGGAUCCGAUCCUGAUAAGUUUAACAUCAUCAUCAUCAUCAUCAUCAUCAUCGCCAAGGAUAUAGAGCAGCAGAUUCUGUUUAAUAAUUUUGUUGGAAUAAUUCUUUUCCAUUUCCCAGUUCAAUAGUUCUUUCUUUAGCUUGUUGCGCAGGCAAAAUUCCAUGAAGGCGAAAGGCACGUAGGCAUACUAGUUGUGGGCAAGGAAAUUGUACCUUGCUAGGGUUAGGAUUUCGUGUUGGCUGAGGAGGAGAGAAAUUCACGAAGAGCACGGAAUUGAUUGGUUGAUUGAAGAGGGGAGAACGACAGGUGGGCGAUUACUCCAACGACGUGUGGCAGAACCCCUAGAAUCCAGGAACCGUGUUAGGGUAGUAGGGAUUCCAAGAGCCUUCUUGAGUCCUUCGUUCUUGAGAGAAUGUCUAAACCCCUUUUAGUGCUUUUAGGUGGAAUCUCCGAGCCUUUAAGUCACCAAAAAGGGUUCUUUGAUCUUCCGAGAGUCCAAGUCUUGAGUCUAAAGAGAAGUCUCUUUCCCAAUGGAAUGGAAGGGUAUUUAUAGGGUUUUCUGGAAAGUAGUCAUGUGCGAGGCACAUGCUUUCAGGGAAAUUCCAGAAAUGCCCUUUAGUCAUUAGAAUAAUGCCCAUGUUGCCCUGUCCUUCUAGCCACCAAUCCAAUCCCUCAAUUAAUUCCCACAUCGAGCCGCCUCCACGAGUCUUCUGCCUCGGGACACGUGGAGGCUUCUCCCGGGUCUAGCACAUUUAUUUAUGACUUUUUCAUCUUCAUUCCAUUCGGUUAUGCGAACACUAAUUUGCACAUUUAAUGAGGCCGUGGAACCCUAAUUGCGCAUUUAAUUCAAUUAGGUCAUGUGAACUCUAAUUUUACACUUUGGCCCACAUUUGCCCCCUGCGCGAGAGUCGCAUUUUCAAAUAGACGAUCGUGCAAGAAAACUGCAAGCCUUUGAAUGAUUUUGCGGGACUUCACUUUACAUGUCUUGAAGACAAUAGUCCUAGAAGAGGGAACUCCUAGGGAGCCAAACCCUUAGAGUUAAACCCUAGGAAGGCAAGACCUAGCGAGGCUCUUCCUUGGACAUAUUGAAAAAUCUUCUGAAAUCUUUCUGUAUUUUGCCCAAUAUUUAUUUCCAAUUCCGCAAGCAGAUCAACUGUCCGAGCAGCCUCAAUACGAACAGAAACAGAUUCCGAUAACUUGGAAUGGAAAAUAGAAUUAAGACCAGGCAAAACAUUGAAUAGAGCGAUGUAGAGAUCUAAAAUUUCAAACAACUUGAGAAACGAUGGACGGGUACUACUAACGCCUUCUGCAAAGUUAAUCAAGUGCAAGGCGGAUUCUUUAACUAUACCCAUAAAACACACAUCAAAUGUGGAGUUACCAAGUCCACUAAAGAUUUGUUCACAGAGUUUCUUCUCCUUUAUGAAGAGAUCUUCAAAACAAACACGAGAUGCUCGUAUCCACAAUUUGAUCUUUGGUGCCAACAUAUCCCACUCCAAACUCCGGAACUCACCGAUGCUAUAUUUACCGACGCCGAGGUGUCGAAAUUCUGCAUCCACAAUCAACUUCCUUGAAGUCCUGUAGAAUUCAACGCAGUCGCCAACAUUACCGGCUGAGUUCAAUCGUUCAAUGAUACUCCUAAAACCAUAAACUUCGUCAAUAUGUCCAUCAUCCUGUAAUUCAUAGCUAAAAGUAUCGGUUAUUGUACUUGAAAAAAUGGUAGAACUCCUAUCGGCCAAGAAAGCAUUGUGGACUCUGUUGGUUUGUCGGGUCAAUAUGACCCGAAACUCUAACGGAAGGGUUUCCAUGCCCGUUUAGAUCAUGUUUUGAUGCUUUCAGUUUGGGGAUCUGAGAUUAUUCUCGAUCGUCUGAAGCUCGUCAAAAGUACUGAUCAAUCUCAUGGCGGUCUCCGUCGAAGUCGAAGAUGAUGAAUUUAAUAAUUCCGCCCGAAUAUUUUGUGUUCUACCAAUUCCAUUCAGACAAUACAAAAGAGAUAUAUAUAUCUGCCUAAAAAUUGAAAACCGAAAAUCAUCUCUGAACAGCAGGCUUUGAAAAUUACUCCUACUAGUAGUUUAUAAAUAUAAAUACUUUGAAGAUUGUAAGAAGUUCAUAGCCAUCCACUAGUAAAAGUACUUACCAUUACUAAUUGAUGUCACGUUACCGCAAUUAGGACGGAGAGAGAAAGUCGGACCAACUCUUUUUUUUUUUCAAAUCAAACAUUAAUUUUUUAUUUCCAAAAUCAAAUCUUAAUUUUUAUUUUCAAAAUAAAAUCAAAUCUUAAUUUUUUAUUUCCAAAAUAAAAUCAAAUCUUAAUUUUUUAUUUCCAAAAUAAAAUCAAAUCUUUCUUAAUUUGAAAAGAGAUUUUUUUUUUUUGAAAAUGAAAUAAAAUAAAAUCUCUCUUUUUUUUUUUUGGCAAAUCAAAUCAAAUCAUUUUUUUUUAUCAUUCACGCAAAAGAUUUAAGUGCAUGAAUAAAAUAAAAUAAAAAUGCAUGAAUUUAAGAGUCAUAUAAUCUCACAGAUCUAAUGAAGGGGAAUUGCCACAUGCCUACGACAUUCUCUAUGAAAAAAAUGAUGAAUUAAGGCAAAACGAGAUCCAAUCAUGUAUUAUUUUUUUUUUGAAAAUAAAAUAAAUCUUAUUUUAUUAUCUUUCAAAAAAAUAAAAUAAAAUCUUAUUUUAUUAUUAUUAUUUUUUAAAAUAAAUAAAUAAAUAAAUAAAACAUUUACUUAUCUUAUUUUUAAGAAGUAAGGAGUCGAUGAGAAUGUCUUGUAUCCAUAUUGAAGCCUUUGAUAAUUCUUUGAGCAAAGAUGAUUAUAGCUUUUUGAUGAUUCUGACAUCUUUUAUAUGAGACAAGUCUUCACAUGCUUCCGAUUUUUAUUUGCCAUAAAGAAAGAAUCCAUUAAAGCUUCACAUGCCAGUUGCCACUCCUCUGUUAGCCAACAAAAAAAAAAAACAUUGUUUUGCUGCUUUAUUUGGGUGUUAUAGCCACAGGCAAGCCUCUUUCUAUCCACGCCGAACCCUACUGAUUCAAUUUUUUAUUAUUUUUUUUUUAUUAAAAAAAAUCAAGAACUUUUGGAACACUUAUAUUUAGAAGAAGCUUGUACGUAUGGGAAUUGAUGAUCCAAAAACCCACAACCCAAUUCUUAAUCUCAGUUUCUUUCUUGCUAAUCUUUCUCAGUUGAUGAACCCUUUGGAUAAUAUUAACGAUCCUCUUAGGAGGUUGCAAUAUUCAGAUCCCACUCAACUACUAGCCAAAAUCCAAAUUUUACAUAACCUAUUGCAGGCCAUAAAUGUGAGUCCUUCUUUCCCAAAUAUUAAAGUAGUAAACGUGAAUAAUCUCUUGGGAUCAUAUAAUUAUCUUAGCCAAUUUGAUGGAGUGAUCACGAGUGAAGCUAUCAACCCCAUGAUUAAUCCUAUCCCCAACAACCGGCCUUUAAUAUAUAUACUCCAAUCCCAAACUCAUUUGGAUUCUUUAGCCCACAAAUAUUUAACAAUGUUAAUAGCUUAAGUGGUGUUGCAUGCAAUAUUACUCAUCAAACUGAAAAUCAGCUUCCGGAAAGUUCCAAUACCAAGGAAAUGGACAGUAUGAAGCCUACAAACAUCCCCUCCGGUUCAACCAACUCUGACAAUAUCUUUGAGGUUUUGGAGAAAUUUGUUGAUUGUGAUCAAGCCAAUAGUACUUCCUUCUUGCUUCUUUUUUUUUUUUAUUCAGGUAACUCUAGUCUUUCUUUUGUCUUCCGAGCCCCAUUACCUUGAUCAUAUCUUGGUUUUUUCCCUCGGAUCAUAAAGAAAGAUUGGUAUUUUUUUUUUCUUGCAGGCCCUCCCUGUUGAACAUUCUGCAGACUUGGGAACAACCAAGGAGGCCCCGUUUCUCAAUAAUUGGGGAAGGGAUCCCCUCUUUUGGUCUUUCCGACGUCUUUUGAGAGCGAGUCUAGACUUAUAAUCGUACAACACUUCCUCCGCCAGAGAAGAAAGGCGUGUUUCUUUAUGUCGCGGCUUGCGGAGGUUUGGGUGACUUCCUCCCUUCCGAUCGCAUUCUCCGCAUGUGCAUAGAGAAACAAGAAUAGCCUUUCAGUCCCUUUCGCUUCCUGUCUGACUCAUCUGACCGCCUUCAAGGAUGGCAACAUUGGACCGACUUCCCGUUGUGUGCUCUUCUUCAUACACAUUCAUUACUACUUGGGGGGGAAUUCACCCCUAUUCUAGAGGAUGUCUCUGCCCUCCACCAGUAGGUCGUACUUCGGUUUGCCCCCUGCACGUGAGUCACACCUUUGGUGGGACAACCGUGCAUAAUUUCUCCAGCAUUGAAAUCUUGCUACAAAUUUCUUAAUGAUUCGCGGAGCACGAUGGUGCAAGCCUUGAACAUAAAAUCCCUAGGAGGGGAGACCUGUAGGGGGCGAGCCCUAGAGAAGCUCUCCCUGGCUAUCUUGGAAAAAAUCUUCUAUCUUAUCCUUCCGAAUAUUACUUUCUUUUGGAAGUUCUCUCAUUUUCAAAAUUAAGAAGUCAACGAGAAGGCACCGAGUGAACAUACUUCAAAUUGGGGUGAACAAGCGAUGAAGGAGAUCUUUCCUCUAGGUACCCGAAUCCUGAGCGGCUUCAUUCUGGAACAUUGAUUAACGAGCUAGGAGAAGUAAAAGGUAAGAGGGGAGAGCCUCUGUAGGUGUUUGAACCCCAGGGGCCGAACCCUAGAAGACUGCCUAUUCCUUCACUCUUUUUUUCCUUCUUCCUUUCACUUGAAUCUUGGUCGUGUCCUAGCUUGGUUCCCCAAUAUAGUUGAUCGGAUACAUCUUCAUAGGACCCUUCUCCAGAUUUUCUUGCUCGAUUGUCUUCUGAGACUUAUUCUCGAAAUGCACAUUCUCUCUCUAUUAUCUGUGAGCAGAAGACUUAGAGGUGUUUUAGUUGUGAAGUUGAUGACUUCUCGAUCCUUCUUGGGCCUUGACAUGUCUCCCUUCCGUGCUAAGCUGGAUCUCUUCACUUUCAGUUAUCAUGUCAUUGCACUUUGUUCGGAGGUCACUUCACGUCCUCAUGAGAAUGACUUUCUUUAUGUAAGGGCCUCAGGAGCUUCAGGACGUCAUGGAUAGAUUGAAGGCCAAGCUUCGGGAAAUUGAUUCAUCUGCCCAAGACCUUAAGGAACUGUUAGCCUGAAGUUCGAAAGGCUCGAGAUACUGCCAUUGUCGACUUGGAGGCUUUAGCUAUGCCCCCAGUUCAGUUUGAUGUAUCAUGACCUUUGGAUCAUGACUUCAUGUAGCUUUUAUUUCUUCCAUCACUUUUGAAGAUAAAGUGUAUUAUCGAGGAUUUCAGGGUCAAGUGUCUCAAUCACUUUUGAAGUUGAAAGUAUAACUCUUUUUUUUUUCUGGAUCGAGGGCUGAUUAAUCAGGUGCCUCAUUACUUUUGAAGUUGAAAGUAUAACUUUUUUGGGUCGAGGGCUGAUUAAUCAGGUGCCUCAUUACUUUUGAAGUAGAAAGUAUAACUUUUUCGAGUCGAGGGCUGAUUAAUCAGGUGCCUCAUUACUUUUGAAGUUGAAAGUAUUUUUUUUUUGGGUCGAGGGCUGAUUAAUCAGGUGCCUCAUUACUUUUGAAGUAGAAAGUAUAACUUUUUCGGGUCGAGGGCUGAUUAAUCAGGUGCCUCAUUACUUUUGAAGUUGAAAGUAUAACUUUUUUGGGUCGAGGGCUAAUUAAUCAGGUGCCUCAUUACUUUUGAAGUAGAAAGUAUAACUUUUUCGGGUCGAGGGCUGAUUAAUCAGGUGCCUCAUUACUUUUGAAGUUGAAACUAUAACUUUUAAGAAAUUUGCUCUGAUCAAAAUUUGAUGUAUUUAUUUAACGAUCAAGAUAUAAUACAUUUUUUUUUCAUUUUCUAGUCUGCUAGGGCAGUAGCUUAUUCAGCAUUAUGCUUCUUAUUAUAGUUCGAUUUCACCUGCCGCUAAUUUUUCAUGAUAAAUUCUCCUCAAAUUACGACAAUUCAUGAUGGAAUGUCCUGGGUAUUGAUGAUACACGCAAAAGUCUGAUCUCUUCUUCAUCUCCUCGGUCACAACAAAUCUGGGUUUUGGAGGCUUCACCAUUCCAUUUUCUACCCAUUUCUCAUACAAAUCUUUAAAUAUCUCCUCACCACAAGUGAUAGCUUCGGGCUCUAGCGAAUUUAUAUUCUUUUUGAUUCUUUCCCUCUUGCCCCCCUGUGGCUCUGACUGAGAGUCUGUCAAAGCCGUAGUAGCUGUCCUCUUACUCUUCCAGGUAGCAAUCGGAUGGUUCACAGAUACUGCCAUAAUUUCUCCAUGGUCCUGUGCAAAGGUGGAAAGUGUCGCAAAGGAAUCACAAGACUUAGUGAUCAAGUGGGGCUUGAAGGCGUCGAGGGCGCCGUUGUUGCAAAUACUCACUAAAUUCUUCUCUUCGAUUGGCUCCACACACUUCCGCGCCUGGGCCCGAAAGGUGGAAAGUGUCGCAAAGGAAUCACAAGACUUAGUGAUCAAGUGGGGCUUGAAGGCGUCGAGGGCGCCGUUAUUGCAAAUACUCACUAAAUUCUUCUCUUCGAUUGGCUCCACACACUUCCGCGCCUGGGCCCGAAAUCUGUCAACAUAAUCAGAUAACUCCUCAUUCGAAUUUUGUUGAAUUCUCAUAAGCUCUAUAAUUGACACUUCCUUCUGAACAUAAAAGAAUUUUUUGAAAAACUGGUGUUUCAUAUCAUCCCAAUCUCGAAUCGAACCCUUCUCCAAAUUGUAGUACCAGCUGAAGGCACCGUUAGUGAGCGUCUUGUUAAACUCCCUCAAUAGAAUAUUGUGGUUGCUCACUUCAUCUAUUCCCAACCACGAGGACAUCGACUCCACAAAUCUUGCAAUAUGCUCUCUCGCAUUCCCUUUCUCUCCACUAUACUUAGGGAACUGAAGUGGAUGUUCAAUGUACCCAGCAGGGUAUGGCUGUCUUCUCACAUGCGCCGGGUAUGGUGGGGUGAAAUCCAGUUCCGCAGGCCUGACUGUCUGUCUACGCAUCUGAUUGAUUACAUCCAUCAUGUCUUCCCUUGUCGCAUAUUGACUGGUUUCUGGAGCCUUUUGGGACGUCAUCGCAUACUGGUUUAUCUGAGGUGUAUGUGGAACACAUGUUGAUGCACACUUGCCUCAUGUAAGAUUGGUUGUACUUGCUGGAUUAUUGGUUGUAUAUGGCUUGGGAUGGUUGGUAUCUGCACUUGUGAAAAUGCUGGGAGUGUAAUCGGGAUGAUGUUUAGCUGAGGCUGGCUAGCUUCCAAUCUAAGUGGUGGUACAUCACCACUGUUCUGGGGCUCCAAGUUGAUGACUGGAAUCGGCUGACUCUCCAUUGCUGGAGGUAUAAUCUGAUUCUCUUUGUUGUUGUUGUUGUUGUCCUCCACUUCUCCUGCUCGUCCCCCUUGCGAACUUCCUGGGAACAUGGUCUUGAAAGUGGGGAUUUGCAUCAACUGCUGGCAAAAAUUCUCCAUUUCUUCUUGCUUUCUCUGCAUCUCUAGCAUCAUGGCCAUCAUCAUCCCUUGCCCUUCUCGUGCUUCUUUCAAUGCUUUAAGCAUCUCCAGUUGCACAGCAUUCGUCUGGUCUCCCCCUGCAUCUUCGCCUUGCCUUCUUGCAUUGGUUUGUUGUUGAUUGGCCAUAUGUGGUGAUGUCGAACUCCCUUCCAAAGCGUCUUCAAUAAUUGGUUGGUCAAAAUCCAGGUUUGCGCCUUGGAAAACUUGAGUUACUUGUCUUGGAACUGGAUCCGGUGACGUAAUGCUAUUUGUUGGUGAAGCAGCUCUUCCUGUAAUUCUCCCACUUCGAGUCGUGGGCAUACCCUUCACGAAUUAUACACCUCCCCAGCAGAGUCGCCAAAGAAAUGUGGGCAAGGAAAUUGUACCUUAGUAGGGUUAGGGUUUCGUGUUGGCUGAGGAGGAGAGAAAUCCACGAAGAGCACGGAAUUGAUUGGUUGAUUGAAGAGGGGAGAACGACAGGUGGGCGAUUACUCCAACGACGUGUGGCAGAACCCCUAGAAUACAGGAACCGUGUUAGGGUAGUAGGGUUUCCAAGAUCCUUCUUGAGUCCUUUGUUCUUGAGAGAAUGUCUAAACCCCUUUUAGUGCUUUUAGGUGGAAUCUCCGAGCCUUUAAGUCACCAAAAAGGGUCCUUUGAUCUUCCGAGAGUCCAAGUCUUGAGUCUAAAGAGAAGUCCCUUUCCCAAUGGAAUGGAAGGGGUAUUUAUAGGGUUUUCUGGAAAGUAGUCAUGUGCGAGGCACAUGCUUUCAGGGAAAUUCCAGAAAUGCCCUUUAGUCAUUAGAAUAAUGCCCAUGUUGCCCUGUCCUUCUAGCCACCAAUCCAAUCCCUCAAUCAAUUCCCACAUCGAGCCGCCUCCACGAGUCUUCUGCCUCGGGACACGUGGAGGCUUCUCCCAGGUCUAGCACAUUUAUUUAUGACUUUUUUGUCUUCAUUCCAUUCGGUUAUGCGAACCCUAAUUUGCACAUUUAAUGAGGUCGUGGAACCCUAAUUGCGCAUUUAAUUCAAUUAGGUCAUGUGAACUCUAAUUUUACACUUGGGCCCACACUAGUAAAUGAUGAUUUUCUUCUAACCAGAAGUAUGAGCAGGUUAAAAGUAGAAGAAUAAGCAUCUCGCAGGCCAAAAAUCAAUAAAAAAACGAAAAGAAGAAAAAGAAAAGAAGAAGACAGCAAUAGCAAGACCAUAUUUUUCUUCUUCUUUCUUUUUAUCUUUUCUUUCUUUCUUUUUUGUUUCUUUUUAGACGGAGGGUUUUAUUUCAUCUUUGAAAAUAAACCUAAGAAUUUAUCAAAGGAAAUAAAGGAUAAACGACAAUACAAAUAUAUAUUUUUAUUUUAUUUUCAAAUAUAUACGCAUGCAUGAUAAAGAUUCACAAUUAUACACACAUAUAUAAUAGGCUACAACCAACAAUCUACUAAACAAUUUGUAAACCAUCGAGGUGUUUUAGUGACAACCUACCGUCUACCAAAUCGUUAUUAGUUAACGAGUUAGUGUAAAUUUUCAUUUUGGAAGCUAGUAUAAACUAUCAUCUCUCAAAUUGUUAUUAGUAGAGGAGCUACGAAUGUAAACUAUCGUCUAACAAACUAUAUUAGCUGAUGAACUAGUGUAAACUAUCAUUUACUAGAUGUAUGAGCAUGUUAAGAGUAGAAGAAUAAGCAUCUCGCAGGUAAAAAAAUAGGAAAAGAAGAAGACAACAAUAACAAGGCCACAUUUUUCUUUUUCUUCCUUUUUAUCUUUUUUUUUCUUUUUUGUUUGUUUUUAGACGGAGGACUUCAUUUCAUCUUUGAAAAUGUGGGUAAAGAAAUUGUACCUUAGGUUUUCAUGUUGGCUGAGGAGGAGAGAAAUCCACGAAGAGUACGGGAUUGAUUGAUGAAUUAAAGAGGGCAGAAGAACAUGUGAUCAAUUACUCUAAUGACAUGUGACAAAACUUUUAGGAUCCGAGAACCUUCUUAGGGUGCCAAAGAUCCAGGGAGUCUUCUAGGGUGUGCUUCGGGUUGAGAGAGAAUCUCCAAGUCUUCAAUCUUUCGAAAAGCCCUCUUCUUCAUAGAAUAGAAGGAGUAUUUAUAGAGUUUCCUGGAAAGUGGUCACAUGACAGACAUAUGACCUCGAGCAAAUUCCAAAAAUACCCUUAGUCACCAGAGUAAUGCCCAGAUCGUCCUGUCUUUCUAGCCACCAAUCCAAUUCCUCAAUCAAUUCUCAAAAUGAGUUGCCUCCAUAAGCCUUUUACCAUGGAGGCUCUUCCUUGAUCUCAUGAUACAAAGCUCUUAUUGCUCAAACCAUGCUUACUUGCUCUUCCUUCUUUAUUUAAGAAUCUCGUCGCCAGAAAUCAUCGGAAGAACUCUGCGCAAGACCCGGGAAGCCGCGUGUUACAAACCAGUCCCACAUCGAAAGAUAUGGAAAAAAAUUAGUCUAUAUAUAAGGAAUUAUGUUACUACCAAUAAUAUACUUUUAAGUCAUGACCUUUUGGGUGAGCCUGUGGUGGGAUAAGAUGACCCAAUAAUAUACUAUUGGGUCAGUGGUUUAAGGCCUUGGGAUUCGGACUUGGGAUUUGACCCAAGAUUUGUUUUGGGCAAUUUUACUCAGGUUGUUACAUAUGGUAUUAGAGCCGACUCUCGAAAGCUCGGGUCGGAUCAUCCGAUCGGGUUGCCGGAAGUGGGGACACGAAACCAGCCGAUAUUAUCCCACAAUGGCUAAAGAGGCAAAGAUCUGUGGAACGUAUAUGUGAUCGAUUUUGAUGGAGAUGUCAAAAAUUUAAGUGGGGUAGUUUAUAACACCUCAGUCCCACAUUGAAAGAUAUGGGAAAUACUAUUGUGCAAUGAUUUAAGCUAUCCAGCUAUAUUGUUAUAGUUUGGAUAUAUUCCAGUAUGAGAAUUAACAAACCCUGAAAUGGGAUAUUUUUAUUGCACUCUGGGAGUGGUGACGUUGAACAUGGAAGUUGUUCUGGAUAAGAUAGUAUUGAUUAAUAAAGGGCAUAUAUAAAGGGCUGAUCAUCCAUCGUGCUCAUAAGAUAAGAUGGUUCACAAAUAAAUUUUUAAGAAAACCUUUUCAAGAAAAGAAAAAGCUUGUUCACGGUCUUAUGACCUCUCAGAUGUUCAAUAUUGAUAUGAUAUUCCAGGAAUAUGAAUGAUUCAAGAUUUAAUUGCUUUACAGUUUUGUUUCACUGUUAAAGCAUGUCUCAAAGAAAACAUUUAAUUAUUGUUAAGAUAUUAAAGAAUGCUAUUACUUAUUGAGCAAUUGAAUGCUCAUUCUUGUUUUGUUAUAAAUGUUUUCAGCUAAUCAGGCUCCAACGGAGGGGUCUAAUAGAGACAAAGGAAAAGGAAAAGCUACUGAGUAGUAGGUAUAUGUUGUAAUAAAUAGUUUAUAUGUUUGUAGAUAUUUAACUAUCAUGUAAUAAGCACUUAAUGGUUACGUACCUGGUAUUAGAAGAACUCUGAUAUAAUAAAUCUAUCAAGUUUGAUAUUAUAUUAUGUUGAAUGCUUGAUAUCUUGAAGCACUGAAUAAGGGUUUAAAAUACCCGAAUUUGGGGGCGUCACACGCCCGAUUCGCCUCCUUUGCGUAUGUUUAACAUGCUCAUACAACUUGUCUAAUACUCCAUUGAUUAAUUCUAAGUAUCAUUAUAUUUCAUAACUUUCAUGUUUAAUAACUUAGAAUAACAUAUUUUAUCGUCAAAAGCAUCCACGUAGUACGAGCAUGCCCGACGCCCUCCGAUCGCCUCCGAUCGAAUGCACAAUAGUCCUAAAAAUAGCCAUUUUAGCCCCUUCUCCCGACCUCAAAUCUCAAAACUUAUAAAAUAAAAGUUUUAGGUCAACUUCUAAUAUUUUCGAAUCAUCUUGAAUCACCUCAAUCAGAGUUCGUAUAAAAAGGUUAUGCAUGUUUUACUAAAGAACGUCAAAGCUGACUUUCUGCACUUUUGGUUCAGCGCCCAUCCUAGGCCUAUUUCCAACGCCCCGGGGCUGGACGGCAGUACGUUCUCAGCCAAAAACUUCAAUUUUCAAAAAUCUUCAGUUUUGAAUGAUUUCAACAUGUCUACUUUGAAAUAUCAUAAAUUUCUCCUCCGAUAUCGAAAUGAGCUCGUUCUUAAUGGGUUGAAAAGCUUGCAACACCCUCUACAAAUUUCUCAGGACAAAAUAAUUUUCUGGAUUCUCUAACAAUCCUUUAAACUUUCUCAAAAGUCCAUCGAGACUAAGAUUUUUAUCAUUCAACAUACUUUACCAAAAUUUUCUGCCAUGACUUCGUUUUAACAUAUUUUUACUCCGUUCCAAUUAGAAUAUCUUCAUAAAUUCCUUAUCUAUAAAUCCUUAUUCCCGAAUUUUAUUUAUUACAACCCUAUCAACAAUAUUAAAAUCCAAUUUAAGUACUCUAAAUAAAUAAUGUCUAUCCUUUAAGCUUUGGCCUACGAUUCCAUUCUUGUUACCACUUCUUAUGCAAUUUAACAAGUUAUUUAUCAUGAUCAAAGCACACAUAACUUUAUUUACUCAAGGUCCUUCAUACUCUUUCAUUAAACAACCAUCGCCAACAACUAAUGAUUCAAGAAAGACUUCACAGAAAUGAAAAGAUGGAUGGUUCUUACCUUCUUAGUUAUUCUUCUUCUUCCUAGCUUAUGCUUUGUUAGCAUGAUAUACAUUGUUGGGCCCUCCAUCUACCAACUUAAGCUUUUAAGAUAAGUUGGUUACUUAACAUGGUAUCAAAGCUUUGGGUGUGCAAGGUCUUGGGUUCGAAUUUUUCCAGCUGCACAAUUAUCUUUCUAUUAAUUUAACAGUGCAAAUGCACUUUAAUUUCUCCCUUCUCUAUAAAAAAAAGUUGCGUUUGAGAGGGAGUGUUAGCAUGAUAUACAUUGUUGGGCCCACCAUGCAUCUAACAGCUUAAGCUUUUAGAUGAGUUGGUUACUUUGCUCUUCUUUCUCUUCUUAUUGGUAUUCGGCCUCUCUAUUUCUCUCUCUCUCUCACUCUCUUGUUUUCUUUCUCUUCUCUCUAGUUUGCCCUCUCUUCCUUUUUUUUUCUUGCAAAUGAAAUGAAUUGGCUAAGUGAAAAAUCCUCUAGAUCAAUUGAAUUCUCCACUAACUAACUCAACCAUACUUCUAAGGUUAGGUUAACUCGUGUAGGGUUAGGGAAUGAUAGGAUGACACUUGUAAGCUUAAUGUUUAAGGAUGACAAGAAGAUAUAAGCUAGCAUUAAAUUAAAUUUUCACCUUGCUAGAUGAGUCACACAUACUCUCCCUUUUGCUUCUUUAAUUGGUUGGAUCACCCCUCCCUUUCUUAGCUCAUAUUUUAAUUAUCCCAUGUGGGAUAAACAUCAAUCCUCUCCCUUAUCUUACUUUUUCACCCAACUUAUCUUUUAUGAGAUAACUACUAAGUCUCAUUCCUUAUCUUUUCUUCGAUAAGCCUUGUCAUUAAUCCUUAUCUCUUCCUUGUUUUCCUUCAACCCAAACUUACCAUAAAUAGAAAGUUUCCAUCUCACCUUCUCUCUUCUCCUUGUCCAUAUUCAAAUCCCCACAUGUUUAAUUCUAGCAAAUGACACUUGCCCUCUUAUAACUUUGGCUCCUAGUUUGGCUCACUUUUUGGCUCAAAGACCAAGCCAUGGCUCCUAUCCUUUGACUCUAAGCUUAAGCCACUCAAACCUUAGGCUCAACCCUUAGCUAAGCCCCUUUAAAUUCCUAACCAAGUCAUUUAAACCUUAGGUUUGGUUAGACUAGAAUUAAUUUAAUUUCUCUUUUUCUUUUAAAUUAGUUAGAUUUCCUAAUUUUUUAGUUACAUUUUUCGUAAUAUGCUUGGUUAGCUGACAAUCCGACUUUUGAUUUUCAAAAAUCCAAUUUCGCCACCAUUCCUUCUUUCCCGAAUAAACGCUAUGUAGUUCUUCGAAAUUUUAAAAAAAACGAAGUUGGGUUUUUAGCGUGAAUAGUUUUUUUUCAUACGACUUUUUCUAGAAAAAUAUUUUAUUAGAGAUUUCAUCUCGCCUUCUCAAAUAAACACUAUGAUGUAAUUCAAAAUUCUCGAAAAAGUAUGUUUAUUAGCGUUUUUCUGUGAUUUUAAAAAUAGUAACUUUUUCGUCUUUUUCUCGAAAAAAUUAUAUUCUCCCAAAACUCCCAACACUUAUACAUAAUCACGUAACACGUAAACUAGGUCAUUAAUCGACCUAAAUCAUGUAACACAUAAUAAUAUCUAUAAAAUUUUAUUUUAUUAGAUAUUCACAAAUAAAACCUAUUUUCAAGCCUAUCUGAAUUCUCGGGUCGUCACAUAGUAUUUAUAGAGUUUCAUGGAAAGUGUUCACAUGCCAGGAACAUGACCUCAUGGAAAUUCAAGAAAUACCCUUAGUCACCAGAGUUAUGCCUAGAUCAUCUUGUCCUUCUAACCACCAUGCAAUCCAAUCCCUCAAUCAAUUUCAAAAAUGAGUUGCCUCCAUAAGCCUUCUGCCUUGGGACCCAUGGAGGCUCCUCCUCGAUCUCAUGCUUCAAAGCAAUUGUUGCUCAAACCAUACUUUCUUACUAUUCCUUCUUUAUUUGAGAAUCUCGUCGAUGGAAAUCCUCGGAAGAACUCUGCGCAAGAACCAGGAGGCCGCGCCUUAGGGGGGCAAUCCUUAGGGGGCGGAACCCUAGGGAGCUGAACCCUAGGGGGGCCUCCUUCAGUUCUUUUCGUUCGUUUCAACCUUUCUUGGUCAGUUUUCAUCAUUUUCUCAUGAUUCUUGGUCCUGUAAGAAGCCUUUCUUGUCAUAGAGAUUAUAAGGCUAAUCAUUAUUUGGAGUUUCACAAGAUUUUAGUUUAUUUUUGUAGUCCAGGCUUAUUUCUUUGUCAUUGCAUCGAUGAAACCCCUUCUAGCAUGCCAAUCGAGAAAAUGAGGUAGCAUAUGCCCUAGGGUGCCGAACCCUAAGAGGUAAUUUAGAUUUCUUUUGUCCAUCUUUUGUCUGUUUUCCUUUUUUCAUUACGAUAGUUCCAACCAAAUCCAGUCGGAGAAGAAAUUGGUUUUAUCUUUUCUUUAAGGAGAAGUCAUCUUGGAGUGGUUGAACCAUAGGGUGGCCGAACCCUAAGGGGCCAAAAUCCUAGGAUUUUUCCCUUUUUGCUGAUUUAAUGCUUCGUUCAUUAAUUGAAGUCUUGUUCAUUUACUUUCGUCUUUUCAUUUAAUUCAAUUAAAUCAUAUGUAAACCCUAAUUUGUACUUGGGCUCACAGAAAAUAAACCUAAGAAUUCAUCAAAGGAAAUAAAAGAUAAAUGACAAUACAAAUAUUGCGUUUUGUUUUGUCUUAUUUUUUUAAUUUUAUUUUCAAAUAUAUACGCAUGCAUGAUAAAGAUUCACAAUUAUGUAUAUAUAUAUAUACAUAUAGAUACAUAAUAUGGUAAAUAAUAGGUGGUAGUUGUUUUAUUUAUAAUAUGGUAAAUAAUAGGUGGUAGUUGAUUUAUUUAUUACAUGCUAAUAACAGCCAUGAGUUGAUAGUUGAUUUAUUUAUUAUAUGCUAAUAACAGCUAUCAGUUAUUGGUUGAUUUAUUUAUAUAUCGUGCUAAUAACAACCAUCAACUUGUAUAUAGUUUCUUGAUUUACUGCUGAUCGGAAGAUUACUGAUCGUUCAUUUAGGCGUUGGUGGGACUAAUGUUAACACCAUAGAUAACUAAACCCGUCUUCAUAGUCACGCUUUCAGUCCCGUCAAGAGCAAAUUUGAUAUCUCCAUAGUCAAACUUAUUGAAGAAUUCCCCAGCUUUGAGCGAAAAUGGUGUGUUUCUCGGAUAAUUCAUCAAUCCAUAUCCGUUCACUUGCGAGGAUCCAUUCGGAAGAGUAAGUGUAAGACUCACCGGACUUGCUAUGUUAAAGUUGUCUUUCAGCAGCACCACAAAAGAUACCUCAUAAGAUAAAUUUUCAAGCUUUUCUGUCAUAUAGUUUCCGUCAACAUGUAGGACUAAGCUACCAAUUAAUUCAGCACUGUCAGGACUGUAAAAAAUGAUAGUAGAAUUAAAGUCAGAAACUUUUGAUAUAAGGAGCUUAAAUUCAUUAAUAUAGUACAAUUAAUGCGAGUCCUUCUAUCUAACUAGACUUCAAUAAAAUUUCUUUAGUCCUUCUAUCACUUUAAUUUAAUGACAAAGUUGCUUAUAUCCCUAUUUUUAACUGAAUAAAAUUCAGGUGUUUAAGCACAAAUCUUGACCUUUGACGUCAAUUAAGUUAACUAAAUCUUAUUUCUACUUACGUAAACUUCCAGCCCGAAGGGUUGAAAUAAUUGAGUUUCUCAGCAGGUAUAUAAGCGCCAGAACUUUGAAUAAGACAAGAAAAAAAAAUUCAUAUCAUCCAUUACAAAAAAAUCUCACUUGCAAAAUUUACAAAUAUUAAGGAUUAUUUUUGUUCUAUAACCAACUUUAGCUAUAUAUAUGAUGUUUGUUUACAAUUUCAGUAGACUUACCUUCUGCCCUAUUCCGUUGUUUUGGAGCAACUCCAUUUCCUUGGCUUGGGACAACAAUGCCUUGAGGUCAACCUCAUUAUGCCUCACUACUUGUGCCAUCUCCUCGAUCGAUCGAUAACUAUCCUUUAAUUCUGCUAUAUAUAUAUAUAUAUAUAUAUUUUCUGUUUCUAUUCUUGAUGUCUAUAUAUCUCUCUUCCAAAGGCUAGCUCUAUUUAUACUGGCACAAACAGAGGGUACUGCGAUUAUUAUAUUCCAUAAUAUCCUAUCUUCAAAUAUUCCUUCCCUUUUCACAGUAGGGAUCCGAUCCCGAUAAGUUUAACAUCAGCAUCAUCAUCAUCACCAAGGAUAUAGAGCAGCCGAUUCUGUUUGAUAAUUUUGUUGGAAUAAUUCUUUUCCAUUUCUCAGUUCAAUAAUUCUUUCUUUAGCUUGUUGCGCAGGCAAAAUUCCAUGAAGGCGAAAGGUACGUAGGCAUCCUAGUAAAUGAUGAUUUUCUUCUAACCAGAAGUAUGAGCAGGUUAAAAGUAGAAGAAUAAGCAUCUCGCAGGCCAAAAAUAAAAAAAAAAUCGAAAAGAAGAAAAAGAAAAGAAGCCACCAAUAGCAAGACCACAUUUUUCUUUUUCUUUCCUUUUUAUCUAUUCUUUCUUUGAUUCUUUUUUAUAAUUUUUUUUAGAUGGAGUCUUUGAAAAUAAGCAUAAGAAUUCAUUAAAGGAAAUAAAAGUGUUGAAAGUUGUCUUGCAUUAGUCUUCUCCAAAUUCUGUUCCCCUUAGACUUUAGAAUUUAGCCUUUCCCAAAAUUCUGUUCCCCUCAGAUUUCGGAAUUUUGCUUUCCUCAUUUCUUGUUCUCCUCUCCAGAUUUCUCCUAUAAAAGGGAGCUUUGGUGUAAGACCCCAACUUUUAUGAAUAAAGACGAAUUUUUCUAUAAAUAUAAUUUUUGAUUAUUAAGAUGUGAAUUUGAAAAAAUAUUAUAGUUGUGAGUAAUAUUUAAAAAUUUUACAAAGUAAACAAGGUGUUAUAAAAUAUUCGGUUGGUCGAGGAAUAUUCGUUUUAACAGGGAAUAUUCAUACGACGACACAAUCAUUGGUGGACCCCACAACGAAAGUAUUGUCGGAGUUAGAAAACGACAGAAAUAUCUUAUUAUGAAAAUAAUGGCGAAAAUUUUACCGUUAACUGUUGAAAUACCCGUUAGUAAAAGUACAGUAAUACGUAUGGUUGCAUAGUAGUACACGGUAUUAAUUAUUGAUGCUUACGUGAGAAGUCACUCAGUUAUACUCAAUUAUUGUUACAGUAAUUGUUGUAUCAUAUCUCUUAUAUUAUUGAUUCAAUUAUUGUCAGUAUCAUCUGCAUAAUAUUUUAUAUUAUUAAAUCAAUAAUUGAGACGAUAAAGUUAUUCAUAUUAUUAUUUACAAUAUUGACGAUGUCUAGAAGUUCUGUCAAGGAGAGGUUAGGUCAUUUAAUUGCGCGCCAAUAGGGAGAAAUCCUUAUCGGAAAGCCCCUCUUUCCUGAAAACGAUCUGGUUGUUAAUAUUGCGAGUUAUAAUAAUGAUGAAUAAAUUGAAGGAAUUUUAUGAAAUAUUUGUUGUAAGUUUUGCUUAUUAUAUGGACCCCCAUUUAACCAUUUUUCAAAAUAAUCGGUAAAAAAUUAUUCAGUAUUUUUUUUAAUAAAAAAGGUGGGGCCACAUGUGGGGCCCACUGAAAGAAAAAUGGGGGGGGGGAGAUGUUUAUGUUUGUCAUGGGUGAAGGUUUGAUUAUAUAUAUAUAUAUAUAUAUAUAUAUAUAUAUAUAUUAUAAUAAGUCUUUUUUUUAUGAAAAAUAGAAUAUAUUAAAUUUUAUUUGCAUAGUAUUUUACUAUGCAGUGCACAGUAAAGUUUUGUGAAUUAGAAAUUCGGCGCCCGUGAAAUUUUCGAUUGUUUUGUCCGUGAGAAUUUCAAACAGUACCCCUUCCAUCAUCCUAUAAAUAUGACGCUUAUUUUGAAUUGAAAAUCACACAAGAAUCAGAGAAUUUUUUUCUAUAAUAUUGAGUAUAUUUCUUUCGAGUUUUAGAAAGUUUUGAGUGUAGAAAACAGUGAAAGUUUUUUUCAAGAAUAUCCCCGCUAUACCAGUCGAAAUACUCUUCUUAGGAUGUUUUUUUGUUCAAUAUUCGUAUGAAAUAAUAUUUUCUUCCAUACUCUGUAGUAUGUAAAUAAUAUUAUUUCGUUUUAGAUUUCGAAUUCUAUAUCCAUUUUGUUAAAGUUUUGGCUCCUAUACUCCAUGAAAUUAGUAGAAUAUCCUUAAAAUUUGCGUUUCAUCCAGUAUCUUUUCAUGGAAAUAUUAUUCUGAGCAUUCUUGAUAAGUUUUAAUUUUUUCAUGCCAGAGUACUAUAUACGGGGUACUAUUCUCAAAUUACUAUUCACGGGGUACUAUUCACUCGGUUACUAUUCAUCCGAGGCACUAUUCAUGACAAAAAUUAAUUUUUUUUCGGUCCAAAUCAUUUUUGUUACAAUAUUAUUCGUGAAUUUUACUCCAUAAUGCAGUAUCAUAUUGACAAUUUGGACAUUAUUAAAUUAUGGAUAAAUUAAAUUAUAAAUCUUUAAAAAUUUAUCUUUUGCUUUCAUUUAAUUGAAUUCUUAUAUCAUUGUCAUCAUCCUGAUGCUUAUAUUAUAAUGAAAGUCAUUUGUGGCCCGUAGUGCAUAGAUGGACUUGGUAUGAUUAUGACCAGGGAUUAUUUGGUAUAAUCAUGACUGUAAUAUUACAAAUGAUGUGGUAAAAGUCCUCAUUGGCCCGUAGUGCAUUGAUGAACAGUUGUUUUCAUGAUCAUGACCAUUGAUGAAAACACGAAUAUCUUUGGCCCGUAGUGCAUGAAUAAUUUGUGGUUGUGAUACUAAAGAAUAUCCUUGGCCCGUAGUGUAUGGAUAAUUCAGUGAUGUGUAUUAUUUAUUAAGCUGAGUCUCAGCGAUACAAUUGAUGAUAAACCUUUUAAAUAAUAGAAGAUAGUAGAUUUUAUGCUCUACUUAACUCUUCUAAUAGAUUGCUUGUUCCUCUGCAAUUAAACUUGAUGUUUAUUAUAUUUUAUCAGUUUAACAUUGUUGAAGGCUAAUGAUAAUUUAUUCUGUGUUAUCUUAGUCAUAAUAUUUCUUACUGGCUAGUUGAGCUCACCCUUUACUUUCAUUGUUCUCUUCAGGAAAUGAGAAUAUAGCUGGGAUCGACUAGUCGGGGAACGGAGUGACGGUCCAAAUGAUAACAUUAGUAGUCCUCACUAUUCUGUGAAAUAGUGUGAUAAUAAAUGUAAUGAGGACUUAUUUUGAGUUUGAAUACUGUCUAGAAGACAAUAUUUGUAUUAAAACUCACAACUCAUGUUAUAUAUUUAAGUUUAUAUUUGUAUUCUGUACCAUGUAUUUAACGAUUCAAAAUGGGUGAUGUAUACCUAUUCUGGGGGCGUCACAGUUGGUAUCAAAGCUUGGGGAUAUGAUCCCUGGCUGAGAUGAGAGACUAGAACUAGGAGGGGAGAGUCAGGUAAUUCCUUUGCUAGUAUGACCUACCUAAGUUUAUUUGUUAUUUAAUUAGUCGGUCAGAAUAUAGGGAUAAUAUGUUGCAUGUCAAUUAACCCUUGUUUUGUGGCAGUAUUUGAAAAUGACAUCCGAGAAUGUUGAGAAUAGCAAUGGAGUACAUGAGACCGUUGAAUCACCAACGAUCAAUAACCAGGAUAAUGUGCAUCAGGAAGGCAAUAAUCCUCAUGCAAACAAUAACUCCAACAAAAUAAUGAACGACAAAAUGUUUAUGAGCUUUCUUCAAUUCAUGCAACAUCAGGCAAGAGAGACUCCUGUUCAAAAUGUAGGUGGAAAUACCGGCAACUCUCGAACGGUCACCGCUAAGCAAUUCAAGGAGCUGGGACCACCGAAGUUUUUGGGAAAGCCAAAACCACUUAAGGCGGAGACAUGGUUAAAGCAGAUCACUAAGAUAUUUGAUGUCUUUGGAUGCUCCGAGGAGCAAAAGGUUCCCUUUGCCACCUUCAUGUUGCGAGGAGAGGCAGAUCAUUGGUGGAAAUCUGUAAAAUGUACCCAGCUUGCCACAUUAAAGAUGUCUUGGGAGAAGUUUCAAGAACUGUUCAACGACAAGUACUUUUUCGAAAGUAUUCGUUAGAUGAAGGAGGUGGAGUUCAUCAGGUUGGAAUAAAACAAUAUGACCAAGACGCAGUACGAGGCUAAGUUUGCGGAGUUAUCCCGGUUUGCAUCUCAUUUGGUUGUUAAUGAGGAGAGAAUGACGCGGAUAUUUUUAAGAGGUUUGAAACCUGAGAUAUGUCAAUAUCUCAUUCUCACAAACUUUGCUUGUAUUCAGAUGUUGUGAAUAUUGUAAUAACUCGAUAUUUUCUAUAUAAUUAAAUCAGAAAUUUUACGUAUGAAUUUUUUUAUUUAAUUAUUAAAGUUGGAAAUAUGUGCCAGGUAAUGUGUAUAUGUAUAUAUGUGAUAAAUAAAAUAUAUUUAUUACAUGAAUAAUUACCAAUAGUUUUAUUUUAGAAUUAUUGCUCAUUAUAAAUUAUAUUAUAAUAAUAAUUAGUUUUAUACUAAAAAUGUUUUCAUUAAUUCUAUUCUAUGAAAAUAUGUUUAUAUAUUAUUUAAAAAUUAUAUGAAAUGAUUAUAUAAUUAUUAUAAUGAUUAUUCUAUUUUAUUAUAUGAAUUUAGUUCAGAUUAUUUAAGUUAAUUAUUUUAACUUAAUUAUUAUUGUUAUGUAUGCAAGAUAAAUCAGAUAUGGAAUCCAAACCCUAAUUUUGGAUUUUGAACAAGGAAUGAGAAUAUUAAUAUAAUAUUAAUUAUAUUUUUAUUUUUCAGUGCUAUAAAUAUAUAUGUUAUGUUUGUAAGGUUAAUCUGGGGAGCAAUUUUCUUAUGACCUGAUAAAACCCUAAUUUGAAAGUCAAUUACGACUGUAAAAUUUGUUAAGUCAUUGUGAUAUGUGGUCUAUGAUUUGUAUUAUAAGUAUUAAUGUUAAUUCUAUAAAACCCUAAUUAGUAAUUUAAAACUCUAUUUUUCUUAAAUUAGGAACCCUAAACAGUACUUAGCUAUCCGCUAAGUGAAAACCCUAAUUUAAAACUCAGCUAUGAGUCGAGACUGUUAUGUAACUGUAUUAUUAUGUUUAAGGUUAAGUAUUAUAGAAUUUUAUAUUAAUUAAAGAAACCCUAAUUAACAUUUAGAAAUUCUAAUUUCUAGAAACCCUAAUUUCUAAAUUAGUAACCCUAAUUUGCUAAAACAAAACUCUAAUUGUUAAUUUGGCACGCUUAAUGAUAAUUAGUAAAAUUUAAACCUAAUUUUCAAGUCUAUGUAAUGAGGAAACCAAAUUAAUUAUGAAACCUUAAUUUGUAUUUUUAGAAACUAAAAAUUUCAAUUUUUUUAAAAUUAGAAAUCCUAUAACACUUUGUGCUAACCCUAAGGGUCAAACCCUAAGGGUUUGAUAAGUUACUAGUUUGCCCUUAAAUUGAUUAGCCAAAUGACAAAAAUACCCCUCUUGCAUUAUUGGACAUAACUUGUAAGACUAGCCAAUUUUGAGUUGCUCAACAACUCUUACCAGCCCCAUGUGACUAAAAUGCCAGCAAUCAAGCUCUAGAUAUCAGCCAACUUGAUUUCAUGUUUUAUAUAUAUAGACAUCAAGAGAGAGAAAUUUCAUUUAUUAGCCACAUUUGUACACAAACUCCUUACCAACUCUCUCUCCCAAAACCCAUGAAAUGUUGUAGUAGAUCAGUCCCGUAUUGAAGCCCCACUAACACACUUAAGCAAAUCAGCAGCCAGAAUCAAGAAUUGAUGCUUAAAGGUAUAAAAUCCUAAGUCAAAUUUUGAUCUUGUAUGCUAUAUUGGAUUUGUGGUUUUAAUGUUUAAUCAUGUUGAAUAAGGUGUUAAUAGGUGAUCUGGGUUGGCACAUGUUAGAUCCAUAACAUCAAAGUGCUCGAAAUCUAAGUUUUUCAAAAUAUGGAAAUUUUUGUUUUUGUUGUCUGACAGCGAAUGUCAGGCCUUGUAGAUCUGUGCUUAUUUAUUAUUUUGAUGAUUUAAAUGUUUGAAGUGGUAGUCUGGUAUGAGGUCUUUCAUAUGAAAAUGGAAUCACUGUUAUUGGAUGUCUAGAUCGAAAAUUAUUGAUGGUCAAAGGUCGUUGACUGACCAUGACCGAGUAUGAAUCUGGGCAACCUUGAAAGCUUUUUCAGCGUCUGAAAAUGUUUUGGAAGGCUUAGAUCUGUCAGUGUGUAAAUGAUUUGAUGAUGUUAUAAUAUCCAGUUUAUAGCUUGUCAUAUGUAAUUUAUAUUUGUGGCUUUAUAUCCUUUAAACAAACAAUUGAUCGAACUUAGUGGAUGGUCAAACCUGGCCCCUCGGUCACGAUUUCAUUUCUGGGAAUUUCCAGAAAAUCGAAAGAACAGCCCUCUGACAGGGUUUGACCGAGUAAUAUCUUGUAGAUCUGUUGAUGUUAAACUGAUUUGUUGUUAUAUUAUUGUUCCUGGACAUAAGGACUACAUCUUUGAGGCAUUAGAUCACUUGAAUCAUGAACGGAACCUAGAUUAAAUCGAGGAUGAAAGUGACUGGUCGACCACCUGGGUUUCUGGAAAACCCAGGAAUGCUCUGACAACAUAUUUGCAAGCCUAGAUCUCCUUGUGUGUUUGUUGUAUGACCUAGAUAUUGAUUGCUAGUUAUAGUGUUGUAUAAUGACUUCAAUAUUGAUGCUUAAGUUUGCCCAAAAACGAAUUAGACAGAGAAUUAUUAGUGGUCAAAGUUGACCCCUCAAACACGAAGCUGUCAGUGUUCUUGAGCUCAAGAACACCAACAGCGACGCUUAGUGUCACUAAAGGCCAAUAGCGAUGGUUUCUAAUAUUUUUAAUUUCUGAUUUUCUAGAAAAUACUUAAAAAUAGAAAAUAAAUUAUAAAAAUUACAAAAAUGGUUUUAAAAAUUAUUUUAAAUUAUGAAAAUUAACUUUUAAUUAUUUGGGAUAUUUUUUAUUAAUAUUUAUAAUUAUUUGAAUAUUAUUAAUAUUUAAUUUAUUUAAUUAGUGUAUUAAAUAAAUUAGAGAAAAAUGAUUUUAAUGUUAUAAAAAUCAAUUUAAAUAAGAAUAAAGUGUUUAAAAAUAUUUUUGAGUUAUAUAUGUAACUUUUAAUAUUUUUGUGAUGAAUUUCAUUAAUUAAUUAAUAUUAAUGAUAAUUAAGUUAUUUAAUAAAUGUAUUAAAUAAAUUAUGAAAAAUAGAAAUUAUGAUUUAAAAAUCAUAUAAAAGUGAUUUAAAGAUUAUAAAAAAAUAUUUUAAGUUAUAAAAUAUAACUUUUGAUAUUUUGUCAUGAAAAAUAUUAAUAAUUUUAUAUUAAUAAUAUUAGAUUUAUUUAAUGAUUAUAUUAAAUAAUUUAGUUUAAAAUGAUUUUAUUAUUAUAAAAUUAUUUUAAAUGAAAAUAAAGUGUUUAAAGAUAUUUUAAGUUAUAAAAUAUAACUUUUAAUAUUUAAAGGAUAAUUUCAUUAAUAAUUUAAUAUUAAUGAUAUUAAUUUAAGAUUUAUUGAUAUUAAAUUUAUUCAAUAAUUAUAUUAAAUAAAUAGUUUUAAAAUGGUUUUAUUAGUUUAAAAAUUAUUUAAAAAGGAUAUAAAUGAAUUAAAAAUAUUUUAAGUUAGAAUUAAUAACGUUUAAUAUUUGGAUAAAUAGUAGAUUAAUAUUUUAAUAUUAAUGGUAAUUAUUUAAAAAUGAUUUUAAAUGUUUAAAAAAUUAUUUAAGGGUAAUAUUAGCACUUUAAAAAUAUUUUGAGUUAUUAUUAAUAACUUUAAUAUUUUGGCAAUGGUUUCAUUAAUAGUUUAAUAUUAAUUAAAUAUUAAUGAUAAUAUGAUUAUUUACUAUUUAAAUCAUUUAAUUAUGAUUCUAGUGUUUGAAAAUUCAUAAUAAAUUAUAAUAAAUGUUUAAAAAUUAUUAUAAGUCAUUUAAAAAUAAUAUGACUGAUAUUUGUAGAUAUUGAGAUACAGGAUAGAGUCUUAGACUCGAUAUUUACCUGAUAAAGCCGUCGGUAGACCGACAUGUUUCAAAAAUUGAUCUAGACUUAGAUAUUUUGACUGUAUUAAUAUUUGUUUGUGAUUCAAUGACUGUUGAAUAUGUGUGACAAUGUGAUUAGGUUAUAUGCUGACUGCAAUAAGCAGUGCUAUGUUAUUCUAAUCGAACGAAUGAUCUUAUUAAUGAUAGAUUUUGGUAUUAAAGAUAAAACUAAGUUGCGUAUUGUAAGCAGCAGACCAGGCAAGUAUCAUAUAUUUGCAUUUUGUUUAUGUGACGCCCCCAAAUCCGGGUUAUCUUUAACUCGGGUUUGGUGCUUACGAUUCUAGAAUACCCAUUCAUACUAAAAAUAAAACUGUCUUAUAUUACAUAAACAUUGAACUUAAAUCCCAGGUUCUAGAGACCUUUACAUACAAGCCAAAUAUUAUUACAUCAUAGUGCUACAGUAUUUAUUACAUGCACUACUUAGGUUCAUUUAAGCACAUGCGCUUAAUAAUUGACUACUCAACAACCUUGCCCUUUCCUUUGUCUUUUCCAGAUGGACCGGCAACCUCAAUUUUAACUGAAAACAUUAUAUUUAACGCAAGGGUGGGCAACAAGUUUGCCCAGCAAGGAAAUAAGCAGCUAAAUAUAAGAGAACAAAAAUAUUACAGUAAUGGGGAUAUCAUACAGAAGGUAUAGAACAAAGUAAUUCUUAAGAGUGUUGAGUCAAAAGUCAGGAUUUAUCAUGCUGUAAGGUCAAAUGACCAGUGAACACUAUACUAGAAUUUACAGUAAUAAUACUGCAAUCUAUGAAUACAAACAGUUAUAAAGCUGUUUUAUAUCCUAGACUCGUACUUCAGGGGAUCAGCCUAAGUACCCUAUAUUGUGCACAACAUAACAGUCUAAUAAAACUUUACAUGUCCUUCAGAAUCAUAUAUACGGUACAAUACGCCCCUAAAAAAGGGUUGUUCGUUCACAGCAUUAUAUAAGAAUCCAUACCACAAUAACAAAAUGGUUUGGAAAGAAUUAACUGAUAAAUUCAUAAACAAUAUCAAUAUAUCUCAACCUUUGUCCAAGCGAAGUAAUGGUAUUGACAUACUUUCAAUAUAACUUUUAUUCAAGAUAGAAAAGUUGAUAUACUAUUCUUUUGAAGCUGAUUGGAAUAAAAAGGCUAUUUAACCUUAUAUUAUUCAUAAAUAAGGACAAACAGUUCAGAAAUUAAAGAACCUGUCCACUGCAGAAUAUUUGCUCAAUAAAGAGUAAGGAUUAGAAACUUGCCUUGUUUGUAGUCUAUCGUUUAGGAUUUCAGCUUAAUUGAAGUAUUUCUCAAAGUCCUACACAGUUAUUUGUAUUAACAAGCAUGUUAAUCACAUAGCUAUGUUAUAUAGUUUGUAAGCUCACAUAUCACAUAAUUUCAGUGAUUAUGGUUGUAGUUAAAUUAUUAUUUUUGAUACAUUUUUCAAAUAUCUCAUCCAUGCUUUCAAGAGACAUUUUUCACUUUGAUGGGUUUCAACAAGCUUUCAACAAGUAAUAGAAAUCAUAUUACAGUCAUCAUUUGCAUUAACCAAGUAUGUUAGCCACAUAGCUAAGUCAUAUAUCAUGUAGUUUUAAUGGUCAUGGUUAGAUUUCCUAUAUUUGAUACAUUUUUCAAAUACCUCAUCCAUGCUUUCAAGAGACAUUUUUCACUUUAUUAGUGUUCAAUAUGCAAUACUUUACAACUACCAUCUCCAUUUCCUUAGUAACAUAGUAUAUAAUCAUUUUAUGUUUCCUUUACUUAAUUUCUAGCAUAUAAGGUGUUUUCAUAGCUUAUUGUCGGUUUUGAAGGUAUUUCUUAUAUGUAUGGUUAACCUAUAGUCUUCCUCAUAGUUUAUAGAUUCAUUUUGACACACCAGUGUAUCAAUUAUCACUGUUUUCACCUAUGAUGCUAAAACAGCCCUUUGAGGCUUUAAUUUUUUUAAACAUGACUUAAUGAUCCCAAUUUAGGUUUACUGUUUAUAUUAGAUUUCAUUUAGAAUUUUUCUCCUACACUUGCUUGCAUCAUAACUCUACUCAUUUAGAGAAACAUAAUCUAUCCUUUAUAGAUAAUCUGGUUACUAAAACUAAAUUUGGAUUCAAACAUGAAUUUUACAAAACAGUCAUUAUUGUAGCUGCUAUACCACAACUGUUGUUUCCCAUUCUACUUGUUGUGGCUAUUGGUAUCAGCUAUAUGCUGCCACUAUUAGGCAGUAAGUCACAUCACUCAUGCCCAAAAAUGCUUCUAAAUUAACCUUUUCAGCUGGCUUUGCAGGCUUUGCAGCCCUUAAUUGAGCCUUACAGCUCAAUAAUCUCUGUAACACAUUUCAGUUAUUAGUCUUAUCUUAUAACUUGCUAUUCCAUUAACAUUUUCUAUGUAUGAAUGCACUGCCAACUGCUACUGCUGGUGUUGCUGUUGCUGCCAAUGGGCAGCGACUAUUAUUUUCUUACCAUAAGCUGUUUGGUCUGUUUCAAGUGCUGCAGUCACAUGUCAUCAUGCUCCAUCAACUAGAGUAAACAAAAAUGCAUGAACUUAACUUACUAACUGCAGCCCAAGAAAAACAAACUCAGCUGUCAAAAUGACAGUGCAGUCAUCUACUUGAAGUUGCCAAGGACAACAGCUAUCCGAAGCUUUUUGCUACUGUCAUUAGCAGCCUCCCUUGCUCCUUAACCCAUUCCCAACAAUCCUCUAACCUCAGUUUUGCUAUAUUUCUAGGAAUAGGCCUCAUGGCUAUAAUCUUUUAGAGUUAUAAGGUUAUCCCAGUUGGCCUAUUAAGCUUUGGCUCCUUGGUUUAGUGACUGUUUCAACAGAGUAGGCAAAGGAGUUUGUCAAGCUAGAAUUACUUAGCCUAAAAACUGAACUAUGCUAAAAAUUUCUAUGCCAAAACAUUACAGUCAUCACAUAUGUUGGGUAAAUCAGGUAAAUAGUGUACUAGUUCUACUAUUCAGUUUCUUUUUACUAAAACAGUCCUCUUAGGUCUUUUAUCAAACAGUUGGUGGGCAUGGUUAUAAGCUACUAGUUCCAUAGCCAUUUGUUUAUAUUCCAACUCAUAUUUUCCCCUUAUUACUCCACAGCCCACUUAUCUCCUUGUGCUUAAAUUAUAACAAUAUCAUAAUGGCAUAACAAUCAAUGAAAUGUUACAACAGUUUAUAUAUAGCAGCUUAACACCCACAUAGCAGUCCUCAAAUCCAUACUAGGCCUUUUAGGCUAAAUGAUCAAAACAGUCCUUAAGUUUUUAACACAAGGAUUAAUAUAACAUGUACAUACUAUGUUUUAUGGUUUAAAGACCCCAAUACCAACCAUCCUGUCUUGACACUAUAACAGCUUUAGACUAGCAAUUUGGUCAUGGUUUAUCACACCAAACCAAUAGCAAGCACUGAUAUGUAUGCCUUUCUAACACUAAAACAUUUUACCUACCAUAUUUUCAUGGUUUAAAGCAUCUAGAGGCAAGGUCCUUAAGUUUAAAAUCAAAACAGCCUCUCAUAGGCUUUUAAAGUAAUAUAAGAUAGCAUGCUUGGGCAACAUGAAAACAAGGACUGCCUACUAUGAAUAUAUUAGAAGUAAGGCAUGAUCAUCAUAAUAAACUUCUAAUAACAGUCCACAUAAUGCAAUAACAGUUCAUAUAAGGCAAUAAUAAUUUAUAUAGCAACUAAAGUCCUUCUAACAGUCAUUUAUGCUUAUUCUAGUCACCACAACAAGUAUACUGUCUUAGUCCAUUCUGUAUACUAGUUCUGGGCAUGGUAAUAUAUUUUACAAUCAUAAAUAACCAACCAUCUUGGACUCCUUUCCAGCCACACUGUUUUGCCAUUAUAGCAGUUUUAGACUAGCACCUUAGGCACAGUUCAUCACAGCAAAACAGUAGCAACAUAGCAUAGCGUAUCAGUCCAGUUAUUACAAUAACAGUUGGUAUAUCACAAGGAUGAUGCUACAGCUAUUCAAGUCUCUUUUAGGCCAUUUUGGCAAGGUUUUAGUAAUAAGUUAUCAAAGCGGUCAUUAGUGUGCAAUACAAAGAUUAUUACCUCAUGUACAUGCUAUAGAAUAUAUGUUCAUGUUUUAAGAGCCUAUAUACAAGGUUUCUUGCUGUUAGUUCAUAACAAUCCCUUAUAGGCUUCAAUUUAAUACACGGAAGCAUGAUCUGAAAAAUUUAGUUAUCAAAAUAACAUGUUUAAACAUAAACAUAUACUCGAGGUAUUCUUUUUCUUUCUAUAUAAUCAAGUAGACAUGCUAUUAGGCUCUAUUUACAGCUAGCAUACCUUGAUACCAUAACAGUCCAAUUAGAGCAAUAUUUUAGGCAUGGUCUAUUACAACAAAAUGGUAGCAAGCACUGACAUGUUUUCCUUUCUAACACAGGCACCUUUUAUUUAUCAUAUAUUCAUGAUUUAAAACAUCUAAAGGCAAAAUCUCUUUGCUUUAAGCCAACACAGCCCUCUUUAGGACCCACUUUCCAAAAAUAACCAUGGUUUACCCUUAUGUUUACAAGGAUAACAUGGAUGUGCAACAUAGAAGUUUAGACUAUCUUCUUUAUAUGGUAUUUAAGAUGCAAAAAUAUAUUUGGAUGUCAUAGAAUGCCUUACCCCAUAUAUAUCAGUCCUUAUUAAGCCUCAAAUCUAGCAUACCAGUUUCUCAGAAUAGUGGCCAAGUCUUGGUUAAUUGCUUAGAUUACAUAUAUGCUAGUAUACAAUAGUUAUACCCAAUACAUCAUGCCACAUAUAACAUAUAAGCAGUCCUUUAUUAAUAAUCAUAGCAUAACAGUCCAUUUAACAUCAUAGCAAUUCAUAUGGUAACACAGAUCAUGCUAACCGAAAUCAUAAUAUCAUUAACUUUUUAGCAGCUCCUUAGCUUGACAAAUUAUCAAACACCUAGAGUGCAGUCUAUAUACUUGCACUUAAUACAUAAUUUCUAGCCCUCUGCCCCCAGCCGUAUGGCUUAAACAAUAUCAAGCAUAAGACCACACUUAUCAGUACCAAACCCAGCAGUUCAAAUAACAUGAAAGCAGUCAGUUAUCAUAACAGCCAUACACGUUUUUGGUCAUUGACAAUUCAUUUUACUAAUUAAUUUAAUAGCCAUCCUAAUCAUUUAUCAAUUCAGUUGUUACCCGGAAUGAAUGGAAAGAUUAGAAAGGCCAGAAUUGGCUUACCUUGCUGAUUCGAAGGUAUCAAGUGGUUGAGCUGCUUAAUUCCUUUUCCCCUCUAGCCGAACUCUUCACUCUUACUCUAUAUGACCGUUGCUGCUAAUUCUUUUGGACUCAGUUAAGUGAUGAGGCUAAUUGAUUUUGGGUAAUAACCUGGCCUUUUUAUGGCUGAGCUUAGCUUCCUUACAGUUGAUCGCAUCACCUUCUACUUGCCCCCUAACAUAUAAUCUAUUACCUCUAGCAGUUAGACUGCUCUGCAGCCACCCUACAAGACCCUAGUCUCUCUGCCAUGCCUUAUCUGUUGCUAACCUGUCUACUAACUAAUAACUGACUAACUUAUAGACUAACUACUGCUAACAACAGAACAGCCUCAGCUCCUAAGUUUACCCCUGUGGGCUGUUGGAAAAAAUCCUAAGGCAAGGCUGGGCAGUGGUUUCAUUUUGGGCCUAGUCCCUUUAACCCAAAGUUUUACUUGUUAAUUUGCUAUACUCCAAUGGGUUUACAGGAUUGGGUUUUGGACAUCCAUUUCACUCUUUAACACUUGGAGCUGCCGAAUUGGGCUAGCAAAUAGACUACAUGCAACGAUCAUGGCAAAAUUAUUAAGGCCCAAUAUUUUAAUAUGGACUCUUGUUACAUUAAAACACAUGGACUAUUAUUUUCUCUAGCAACAAUAGUUAUAACAUAUAUCAUUAAAAUGACUAUUCUAUGUAAUCUUAAAUAAUUCAUGAUGGCACAUAAUUUCUUUGCCCUUUAUAACUCAAGAUGCUAAACGAACUAUUAAAUAAAUAAUAUUUUUAUCACAAUGAGAAUUAACAUAUCAUAAAAAAAAAUUUAUACUCAAAAAUUGACAUUACAAUAAUUAAAUAUUACAUAGGAUGAACUACAGGCCAAUGAGGACUUUUACCACAUCAUUCGUCACAUUACGGUCAUUAUUAUACCGAAUCAUCCCUGGUCAUAAUCAUACCAAGUCCAUCUAUGCACGUAAGCCAAAGAUGACUUUCAUCACAAUAUAAGCAUGAGGAUGAUGACAAUAAUAUAAGCAUUAAUCAAACGAAAAUAAUGAUAAAUUUUAAAGACUUUAAAUUUAUCCAAAUGUUUAUCAAUCACUUAAUAAACUCAUAAUCUAAUAUUAUUAAUAUUAUAACAAUAUUUUAAUCACUUCUUGAACUUAUAAACAAUUUAUUCUAAUUGUUUACACUUUCCCAAAUAAUACAUUUUAAUCAUUCAAAAAUACCAUACUCAUAAGAUUUCAUCACCAAUGAUCAAAUCCCUUAUCAAAAAUCUGCAUAUACCUUAUAUAGGAUUUCCAAGCCAUAAAAUCCAUUUUACCAAUUUUUCAACUUCACAUAACAUAUUUAAUUCAUAUGUUCGUAACUAAACUAUUUUCAUGAAAAAUACCAAAUCAGUCCAAAAAAUUAUUCUUUUUUGGGAUUUAGCAGAAUAUAGUCCCAUAUUGAACAUAUAUUUUUCUCAUAAUUUUUAAAAUUCAUUUACUAUUUUUCAUAUGGCCAAAACUGCCGAAUAUUUAGACAUUUAUCAUAAAUUGUACUUUUGUCCAAAAAUUCCGAAAUUUACAAGGUAUACUCCUAUUAUAUAUGUGUACUCCCAAUAAAAAUUUAACCAAUUUUGGAGUUAACCACAAGGAGUUAUAAGGGUUUACUUUUAAAAUAGUUUUUUCCCAUAAAAUUCAUAACUCCUAAUCUAUACAUCCAAAAAUUGCCAUUUUUGGACACAAUCUAGAAAUCUCAACAAACUAUCAUUUCAAAUGUUUCCAAAAUUUUUGAGGGUCAGAAAAAUUACGAAACUGCAAAUAGAUUUUCACCCGUCAUUCGGUAAUCCAGGUAGACAGAUCAUUUCCACAAUUUAAUAAGGAAUGAAUACAAAGGAUCAUUCACCAUGCAUGCGGUAAUCCACAUAGACAGGUUAUUCCAACAGAAUAAUAAAAAAUAGAAUAACAACAGAAUUCACCAGGCAUACGGUAAUCCGCGUAUACAGGUUAUUCCAAUAGAAUAAUAAAUAAUGGAACCAGGUCAUGCGUAAUCCGCAUAGACAGGAUAUUCCAACAGAAUAAUAAAGAAUGGAAUAACAACAGAAAUUCACCAAGCAUACGGUAAUCCGCGUAUACAGGUAAUUCUAACAGAAUAAUAAAGAAUGGAAUAACAAUAGAAUUCACCAGGCAUACGAUAAUCCGCGUAUACAGGUUAUUCCAACAGAAUAAUAAAGAAUGGAAUAAUAGAAAAUUUUCACCACGUAUGCGGUACUUCGCAUAGACAGGUUACUCCAAUAUAAUAAUAAAGAAUGAAAUAACAAAAGAAUUUCACCAUGUAUGCGAUACUUCGCAUAAACAGGUUAUUCCAACAUAAUAAUAAAGAAUGGAAUAACAACAGCUCUCUUCAUGAAUACGAAAGAAAUAAUAAUACCCCUUACCUUAGAAGAAACUGGAUACUGGAAUAGUGAGGUAGCAGGCUUCUCUUCUUCUUUCUCUCUAUAAUUUCUCUCUAUAAUAAUUGCUCUAUAGCUUUAGUGAAUUGGUGAGAAAUGAAGGAAGAAUGAGCUUCUGUUUAUAGGAAAACAUAGUUUCAAUAAUUGCACAUUUUGGGGCUCGAAAUAUUACAUUAUAAUACCUUCCUCUUUUUCUUUAUUUUUAAUUUAGCCCUGCAAGUAUUAUCAAACUUGCACCACCUCCUCUAAUAGUAAAUCAUGUGAAUUAAUAGUAAAUCAUGUGAAUCAAUAGUUCUAGACAUGUGAAAAUACGAAUUACAGUAUAGUACCUCCAUCUAUACCUCUAUUUUUAACUUAGUCAUGCAAGUAUUAUCAAUCUUGCACCAACUCCCCUAAUAGUACCAUAAUGUGAAUCAAUAGUACACACAUGUGAACAAAUAGUUAUAAUCAUAUGAAUUAAUAGCAAUUAAAAGCUCAUUUAUCCGGAUAAUUACCCGAUUGGUCAAUAUAACCUCCAGACAUCAAUUAUCAUCGAAAUAAAUGUCGAUUCCCACUAACACUAAUAAUUCCAACACAAUGGAACUAUCAAUUUCAUCUUUAAUCAACACAAAUUUAUUCAUCAUUAAUAUUAUAACUCAUAAUAUUUAACAACAAGAUCGUUCCCAGGAAAGAGGGGGCCUUCCGGUAAGGAUUUCUCCUCACUGGUGCGCAAUUACCUAACCUCUCCUUGACAGAACUUCUAGACAUUGUCAAUAUUGCAAUUUAAUAAUAUUAAUAAGUUUACCAUCUUAAUUAUUUAUUUAAUAAUAUAACAUAUUAUGCAGAUGAUACUGUGACAAUAAUUGAAUCAAUAAUAUGAGAGAUAUGAUGUAAUAAUUACUGUAGCAAUAAUUGAGUAUAACUGAGUGACUUCUUACGUAAGCAUUAAUAAUCAAUACCGUGUGCUACUCAAUUCGUCAGCUACCACGUUCGCUCUUUCAUGAUGAUAUUGAAUGGUACGAUCGUAAUCUUCUACAGCUCAAGCCAACGUCUUUGGCACAUUAUACGAUUAUUUUAGGUAAAGAAAUAUUUGAGGGUUUUAGAAAUGAGUUUUGUACUUGGGUCAAUACAAAAUAUGAUUUCACGCUCUGGGGUAGGCAAGGAAGUUCUUCGAGAAUACGUCAGAAUAUUUAUUAACAAUAGAAAUAUCAUUUAAAAACUGUGACUCUCAUCCAAGACUUGGACAACACAUGAAAUGAAGGUUUCUACUAACGAAGUUUCAACCAAUAAGUCAAAGUCUAACUUCUCUGGGGUCAAAUUUAAAUGUUGAGCGCAAGCAAGAGAGAUAAAAGAAUGGGUAGAACCGGUAUCUAAUAAGGUAUAGACUUCGCAAAAAUUUAUAAUUAACUAACCCGUGCUAACUUCGUUCGGGUUACUCGCUUUUUGAGAAGUCAUGAAAAACGCUCUUCCUGAAACCACCGACUUUGUUUUGUCCAUAUCCGCCUUUGGUGCCACCGUCCCAGCUGGACUUGACUUUGGUGCACGACAAAAUCGGGCUAAGUGUCCUUUUCCAUAAUUAUAACAUGUUUUGGACUGCAUCACGCAGUUUGGACUGAUAUGUCCCUCCCCUCCGCAUUUGAAGCAUACAAUUGGUGGUCGUUCUCCUUCCUUGAAAACGGGUGUUGGUGCUGCUGUCUUUGCAUCUUUGUUGAACCUUCUCUUCUUGAAAUUUCCACUCCUAUUAUCUUGGUCAUGAUUACCACCGAAGUGGUUACCAUUCUUGGUGUAAGACCCCAACUUUUAUGAAUAAAAAAUGAAUUUUCUAUAAAUAUCAUUUUUGAAUAUUAUGGAGUAAAUUUGAUAUAAUGUUAUAGUUGUGGGUAAUAUUUAUAAAUUUUGAAAAGUACGCAAGUUGUUAUAUAAUAUUCGUUUGGUCGGAAAAUAUUCUUUUUGUCGGGAAUAUCCGUACGACGACACAAUCAUUGGUGGACCCCCACAACGGAAGUAUUGUCGUAGUAAGAAAACGACAGAAUUAUCUUUUUAUAAAAAUAACGGCUAAAGUUUUACCGUUAAAACUGUUGAACUACUCGGUAGUAAAAGUACAGUAAUACGUGUGGUUGCAUAGUAGCACACGAUAUUGAUUAUUAAUACUUACGUGAGAAGUCACUCAGUUAUACUCAAUUAUUGCUAUAGUAAUUGUUGCAUCAUAUCUCUCAUAUUAUUGAUUCAUUUAUUGUCACAGUAUUAUCUGCAUAAUAUGUUAUAUUAUUAAAUCAAUAAUUGAGACGACAAAGUUAUUAAUAUUAUUAAAUUGCAAUAUUGACAAUGUCUAGAAGUUCUGUCAAGGAGAGGUUAGGUAAUUGCGCGCCAAUGAGGAGAAAUCCUUACCGGAAGGCCCCCUCUUUCCUGGGAACGAUCUUGUUGUUAAAUAUUAUGAGUUAUAAUAUUAAUGAUGAAUAAGUUUUGUUGAUUAAAGAUGAAAUUGAUAGUUCCAUUGUGUUGGGAUUAUUAGCGUUAGUGGAAAUCGACAUUUAUUUUGAUGAUAGUUGAUGUCUGGGGGUUAUAUUGAUAAAUCGGGUAAUUUAUCGGAUAAAUGAGCAAUUAAUUGCUACUAAUUCACAUGUUUAUAUAACUAUUUGUUCACAUGUGUGUACUAUUGAUUCACAUUCUGGUACUAUUAGGGGAGUUGGUGCAAGAUUGAUAAUACUUGCAUGACUAAGUUAAAAAUUGAGGUAUAGAUGGAUGUACUAUACUGUAAUUCGUAUUUUCACAUAUCUAGAACUAUUGAGUCACAUGAUUUACUAUUAAUUCACAUGAUUUACUAUUAGGGGAGUUGGUGCAAGAUUGAUAAUACUUGCAGGACUAAAUUAAAGAUAAAGAAAAAGAGGAAGGUAUUAUACUGUAAUAUUUUGAGCCCCAAAACGUGCAAUUAUCAAAACUAUAUUUUCCUAUAAAUAGAAGCUCAUUCCUUCAUUAUUUUUCACUAAUUCACUAAAGCUAUAGAGCAUUUAUUAUAGAGAGAAAUUAUAGAGAGAAAGAAGAAGAAAAGUCUACACUUCACUACUCCAGUAUCCAAUCUUCUUUGAGGUAAGGGGUAUUAUUCUUUCGUAUUCAUGAAGAGAGUUAUUUUUUUUCAAUACUCGUUAUUCCAUUCCUUAUUAUUAUGUUGGAAUAACAUGUCUAUGCGAAGUACCGCAUACAUGGUGAAAUUCUUCUAUUAUUCCAUUCUUUAAUAUUCUGUUGAAAUAUCUUGUUUGUGCGUUUUACGCAAGACCUGGUUCCAUUAUAUAUUAUUCUGUCAGAAUAUCUUGUCUGUGCUUUACGCAUGACCUGGUUCCAUUAUUUAUUAUUCAGUUUGAAUAACAUGUAUACGCGGAUUACCGUAUACCUGGUGAAUUUUGUUGUUAUUACAUUCUUUAUUAUACUCAGUUGGUUAAAGUUUUGGCUUUUAUACUCUAUGAAAUUAGUGGAAUAUCCUUGAUAUUUGCGCUUCAUCCAAUAUCUUUUCAUGGAAAUAUUCUUCUGAGCAUUCUUGAAUUUUACAUCACAAAGCAGUAUCAUGUUGACAUUUUGGACGUUAUUGGUUCCUGGAUAAAUUAAUUCUUGAACUUGUUUUAUUGAAUUCUUAUAUCAUUAUCAUCAUCCUCAUGUUUAUAUUCUGUUGAGAGUCAUCUGUGGCCUGUAGUGCAUAGAUGGACUUGGUAUGAUUAUGACCAGGGAUUAUUCGGUAUAAUCAUGACUGUAAUAUUACAAAUAAUAUGGUAAAAGUCCUCAUUGGCCGUAGUGCAUUGUUGGACAAUUGUUGGUAUGAUCAUGACCAUUGAUGAAUACACGAAUAUCCUUGGUCGUAGUGCAGGGAUGAUGUUGAUUAUUUAUUAACCUGAGUCUCAGCGAUGAAAAUGAUGAAAAACCUUUUUAAAUCAUAGAAGAUAAUAGAUUUUAUGCUCUAUUUGACUCUUUUAAUGGAUUGCUUAUUUUCGCUGCAGUUUUUGAUCUAAAACUUGUUGUUUAUUAUAUUCUAUCAGUUGUUAUACUGUUGAAGGCUAAGGAUAAUUUAUUCUGCAUUAACUUAGUCAUAAUAUUUCUUACUGGGCUUGUUGAGCUCACCCUUUUCUUUCAUGGUUCUCUUCAGGAAAUGAGAACGUAGCUGAGACUAGUCAGGGAACAGAGUGACGGCCCAGAUGUUUGCAUUAAUUGUCCUCACUAUUCUGUGAAAUAGUGUGAUAAUAAAUGUAAUGAGGACUCCAUUGAGUGUGGAUAUUGUCUAGAUGACAAUAUUCUUCUUAAAACUCUUAGAUUAUGUUUUGUCGUAUUUUACACGACUGUUGUAUAAUUAAGUUGUAUUUGAAUUUUGUACCAUAUAUCCGGCGACUCAAGAUGGGUGAUGUAUACCUAUUUUGAGGGCAUCAUAGUUGGUAUCAAAGCUUAGGGAUAUGAUCCCUGGUUGAGAUGUGAGAUAAGAACUAGGAGGGGAGAGACGGGGAAUUCCUUUGUUAGUAUAACCUACCUAAGUUUAUUUGGUAUUUAAUUGGUCGGUCACAAUAUAUGGAUAAUAUGUGACAUGUCAAUUAACCCUUGUUUUGUGACAGUAUUUGAAAAUGGCAUCCGAAAAUGUUGAGAAUAGCAAUGGAGCACAGGAGACCGUUGAGUCACCAUAGAUUAAUACCCAGGAUAAUGUGUAACAGGAAGAAAAUAAUCCUCAGGUAAACAAUAACACCGAUGAAAUGGGGAACGAUGGGAUGUUCAGAGGCUUUAUGCAAUUCAUGCAACAUCAGGCGAGGGCGGCUCCUGUCCAAAAUGCAGGUGGAAACACUGACAACUCUCGGACGGUCACCGCUAAGCAGUUCAAGGAGCUGGGACCACCGGAGUUUUUUGGAGAGCCAAAACCACUUAAGACAGAGACGUGGAUAAAGAAGAUCAACAGGAUAUUUGAUGUCUUGGGAUGCUCCGAGGAACAAAAGGUUCCUUUUGUCACCUUCAUGUUGCGAGCAGAGGCAGAUUACUGGUGGGAAUCCGUAAAGCGUACUCAACUUGCCGCACUGAAAAUGUCUUGGGAGAAGUUCCAAGAACUGUUCAACGAAAAGUACUUUCCCGAAAGUAUUCGUCAAAUGAAAGAGGUAGAGUUCAUCAAGCUUGAGCAAAAAAAUAUGACUGUGGCGCAGUACAAAGCUAAGUUUGUCGAGUUAUCUCGGUUUGCGUCCCACUUGAUUGAUAAUAAGGAGAGAAUGACGCGGAUGUUUUCAAAGAGGUUUGAAACCCGAGAUACGUCAAUACCUAAUUUCUCACAAACCGUGUUUGUAUUCAGAUGUUGUGAAUAGGGCUCAGUUAUUGGAGCGCGAUAAUGAAUCAACCCAACCAAGAGAGAGCAGCCGACAAGUCGAUAAUACCAGUGGUAGCAGUCAUCGAAGCGGUGACAACAAGCGUGGAGGGAAUCAACAUGCCAAAAAUGGUAAUCACUUCGGUGGUAAUCAUGGCCAUGACAAUAAGAGUGGACAUUUCAAGAAGACGAGAUUCAACAAUGAUGGAAAGACGUCAGCACCAGCACCUGUUGUUAAGGAAGGAGAACAAUCGCCGGUCGUAUAUUAUAAAUGCGGAGGGGAGGGACAUAUCAGUCCAAACUGCGUGAUGCAGUCCAAAGCAUGUUACAAUUGUGGAAGAGAAGGUCACCUAGGCUGAUUUUUUCGUGCACCAAAGUCAAGUCCAGCUGGGAUGGAGGCAUCAAAGGCCGUCCCAGACAAGACAAAACCGGUAGUUCAACGGAGAGCGUUUGUCGUAACCUCCCAAAAAGUGAGGAAUCCGAAUGAGGUGAUCACGGGUAAGCUAAUCAUAAACUCUAGCAAAGUCUAUACCUUAUUUGAUACCGGCUCUACCCAUUCUUUUAUUUCUCCUAUUUGCGCUCAACGUUUAAAUUUGACUCCGAAGAAGUUAGACUUUGACUUAUCGGUUAAAACUCCAUUGGGAGAAACCUUCAUUACAUCCACUAUUUAUAAGUCUUGUUUGAUUCAAAUCGGUAACCGUACAUUACCUGUCGAUCUUUUUUCUUUGAAAAUACUUGCAUUUGAUGUGAUUUUAGAGAUUAAUUGGUUAACUACUCAUCAUGCUAAAAUCGAUUGUUUUCGUAAGGUUGUUAGCUUUCAUAUUCCUAACCAACCUAUUAUGCGAAUUCAAGCAACCAAACAACUAAAAUCAAUCACUAUCAUAUCAAGCCAUAAAGCUAUUCAUUUAUUAAAAAAUGGAUGUCAAGCUUUCUUAGCCCAUGUCACGGAUUUAAAUAAAAAUACGUCAGAUUUGAAUGAUAUUUCUAUUGUUCAUAAAUUUCCUGACGUAUUCCUUGAAGAAAUUCCUGGCCUACCCCUAGAGUGUGAAAUUGAAUUUUGUAUCGACCUUGAAUGUGGUACAAAACCCAUUUCCAAAGCCCCAUAUCGAAUGGCUCCUAUUGAACUUCAGGAGUUAAAAACCUAACUACAGGAAUUAUUAGACAUCAGUUUCAUUCGUCCUAGUACAUCUCCUUGGGGUGCUCCUGUUCUAUUCGUGAAGAAGAAAGAUGGAAGUAUGCAACUUUGUAUUGAUUAUCGGGAGUUGAAUCAUGUCACCAUCAAAAAUAGGUACCCGUUGCCUCGCAUUAAUGACCUGUUUGACCAGUUGCAAGGAGCUAAAUUCUUUUCAAAGAUUGAUCUUCGUUCCGGAUAUCAUCAGUUGAAGAUUAAAACUGAUGACAUUCCAAAGACUGAUUUCAGAACUCGGUAAGGGCAUUAUGAAUUUCUAGUCAUGUCUUUUGGAUUGACUAAUGCUCCUGCUGCCUUCAUGGACAUGAUGAACCGAGUAUUCAAGGAAUAUUUGGAUCACUUUGUGGUCGUCUUUAUUGAUGACAUCCUCAUAUACUCCAAAAGCCGUGAAGACCAUGAUCAACACUUGAGGCUGAUACUUCAAAAACUUCGUGAGAACAAGCUUUAUGCCUAGUUAAAGAAAUGUGAGUUCUGGCUUGAGGAAGUUGCAUUCCUUGGGCACGUGAUAUCAAAUCAUGGAAUAUCUGUUGAACCAGCAAAGAUUGAAGGAAUCCAAAGCUAGGAGCAACCAAAGUCAGUGACUGAAAUACGUAGCUUUCUUGGCUUAGUUGGUUAUUAUCGGAGAUUCGUGGAAGGAUUUUCUCGAAUCGCUACUCCAUUAACUCAGCUGACUCGAAAAGAUACAAAGUUCAGUUGGAGCGAGAAAUGUGAGAAGAGUUUUCAAGAACUCAAGAGAAGACUCAUUUCAGCACAUGUUCUGACAAUACCAUCUGGCUCGGAGGGAUUUGUCAUCUACAGUGAUGCUUCAGGCAAAGGGGUUAGGAUGUGUUCUCAUGCAACAUGGAAAAGUCAUAGCCUAUGCCUCACGACAACUCAAAGAAUAUGAGAGGAAUUAUCCUACUCAUGAUCUAAAGUUGGCAGCAGUCGUUUUUGCGCUUAAGAUUUGGAGGCAUUACCUGUAUGGAGAGAAGGUGGAGAUCUAUACGGAUCAUAAAAGCCUCAAAUAUUUCUUCACUCAAAAGGAACUCAACAUGCGGCAAUGACGAUGGCUUGAGCUGUUAAAAGAUUAUGAUCAUACCAUCCAAUACCAUCCUGGAAAAGCGAACGUAGUAGCUGACGCAUUGAGUAGAAGAUCAUAUGCGGGUACGAGUGCAAUAUUGUCAACGCUAAGACCCAUUUUGUAUGACUAACGAAGGAUGGAGAUAGAGUUAAAAACUCCAGGGACCCAUGUGAUAAUGACGGAUAUACGAGUAGAACCGACUUUAAUCAAUAAAGUUAAAGCUGCUCAAGCUACAGACCUGGAGCUGAUGCAUAUGAGGAAGAAAGUGCAAGAAGGUGCUAUUCCAGAAGCAAGAAUCGAUGAAGAAAGAAUACUUCGAGUCAACUCCAGACUUUGUGUUCCUAACGAUUUUGACUUGAAGUAUAAAAUCAUGAUGGAGGCAAACAACACACCGUUUGCAAUCCAUCACGGGAGUACCAAAAUGUAUCGUGAUCUUCGACAUACAUUUUGGUGGAGCAAUAUGAAGAGAGAGAUAGCGGGGUUUAUCUCAAGGUGUCUAACUUUUCAACGAGUCAAGGCGGAGCAUCAAGUGCCAAAAGGUCCAUUGCAACCACUUGAAAUUCCAGAAUGGAAGUGGGAGCACAUUACCAUGGAUUUCGUUACUGGUCUUCCCAAGGUUUCCCAAGGCGUAGAUGCGAUUUCGGUCAUUGUUGAUAGAUUGACCAAGUCUACUCAUUUCUUACCGAUACGAGAAACUUAUACACUUGAACGUCUUGCUAGUAUGUACAUAAAUGAGAUUGUAAGAUUGCAUGGCAUGCCAGUAUCCAUAGUUUCUGAUCGAGACCCAAGAUUCACUUCAAGAUUUUGGGUUAGUGUGACGCCCCCAAAAUAGGUCCACACGAACCAUUCUGAGUCGCCAGAUAUCACACUAUAAAAAUCAAAUACAAACUUUAUUUAUACAACUGUUGAACUGUCGUGCAGAGUACGACAACAGUUAACUGUGAGUUUUAAUACAAAUAUUGUCAUCGUAGACAGUAUCCAAACUCAAAUUGUUACAAUGCCAUAUAAAAUACAGCAGCAAAUAUUUUAAGACCCCAAAGAAGAACGAGAAGAUUACUAUCAUAUUCAUUCUAAUGAGGUGCACUUUUGACGCUUUCAAAGUCGGGUUCUCAUCACCCUUAUUGUUGUUCACCAACAUCAAUUAUUAAGUGACGUAUAAAAUACAACACACACAUCUUAGGUCUUUAAUACAAUUAUCGGUUGCAUAUCAUGCCGUUUUAUAAUGUAUUGAGAAAUUUCGACAGUCUCGGACCAUCACACUAUUUUCCUGUUAUCCCCGCUCGACCCAGCUACACUCUUAUUACCUAAAAGGAAUUGUGAAGCAAAAGGGUGAGCACAAUUAGCCCAGUAAGGAAUAUCAUGGCUAAGAUAAUUAAUUUAUCAACAGCCUUUAUCAGAAUAAAUCAGAGAUUUAGAACAUAUGGUAGAUAAUAAAACGUUUCAACCAUAGUUGCAGCGGAACGAGUAAUCCAUUAGAUGAGUCAAGUAGAACAUAAUGUCUACUAUCUCCUCUAGAUUAAAAGUCCAUCGUUGAUAUUUUAUUCCUGUAAUACUCAUCAACAGUUCUUUGUUAUACUUAAGACAAAUAAAACUUUCAACACUUGUCUUCACCUGAACCACCAAAGAUGUUAGUUAAAUUCACAAUUCAUAUUUAUAAUAAUGUGAAUUAACAGUUCCUUCUUUCCACCAAGACUUAAUAGAAUGUUUACUCAAUAUCUUUACCCCAAAGGCUGAAGGUAUUCAAAUGUAAUAACAAUGAUCAUACCAAUCAGUUGUCUAUCUUUGCAUUACGGGCCAAAGAUAUUCAACUAUAGAACCAAUGGUCAUGAUCAUACCAAUCACAUCAUUGAAUUAUCCAUGCACUACGGCCAAGGAUAUUCGUUAGUAUCACUAGUGGUCAUGAUCAUGUCAUACACCUGUCCAUCUUCACACUACGGGUCAAAGCUAUCAAAUAACAGAUCAUCUUUGCACUACAGGCCAAAAAUAUUCAACAACAUAUCGUCUUUGCACUACAGGUCAAAGACAUACUACUGUAAAACCAAUAACCAACAAUAUAAUAAAGAAUGGAAUAAUAAAAGAAUUUCACCAUGCGUGCGUAAUCCGCACAGAAAGGUUAUUCCAACAUAAUAAUAAAGAAUGGAACCAGGUCAUGCGUAAAUGCACAGACAGGAUAUUCCAACAGAAUAAUAAAGAAUUGAAUAACAACAGACUUCACCAAGUAUACGGUAAUCCGCGUAUACAGGUUAUUCCAACAGAAUAAUAAAGAAUUGAAUAACAACAGACUUCACCAGGUAUACGGUAAUCCACGUAUACAGGUUAUUCCAACAGAAUAAUAAAGAAUUGAAUAACAACAGACUUCACCAGGUAUAUGGUAAUCCGCGUAUACAGGUUAUUCCAACAGAAUAAUCAAGAAUGGAAUAACAACAGACAUCACCAGGUAUACGGUAAUUCGCGUAUACAGGUUAUUCCAACAGAAUAAUAAAUGGAACCAGGUCAGGAGAAAUUCGCACCGACAGGAUAUUCCGACAGAAUAAUAAAGAAUAAAAUAAUAGAAGAAUUUCACCAUGUAUGCGGUACUUCGCAUAAACAGGUUAUUCCAACAUAAUAAUAAAUAAUGUAAUACAUAAGGAUUUCACCAAGUAAAGGGUAUGACGCUUAUACAGUUUAUGUAUAGGGUAUGCCUCAUAUACAGGUUAUUCCAACAGAAUAAUAAAGAAUGGAAUAACAGAAGUUCUCUUCAUGAAUAAGAAAGAAUAACACCCCUUACUAUAAUAAUAUUAUCCCUUACCGUAAAAAAACUGAAAAUAGAGGUAGUGAAGUAGCAGAAUAGUCUUCUUCUUUCUUUCUAUAAUUUCUCUCUCUAGAGUUUCAGUGAAUUCGUAAGAAAAUAAUGAAGGAAUGAGCUUCUAUUUAUAGAAGAAUGGAUUGCAUAGUAACUAACUCAUGAACGGUCCAAAUUGAUUUACUUUAAUCUGACGGUCCAUAUUUAAAGCAAAAUCUUUUAAAUAAAAUAUAAUAUAUUCUAUUUAUAAUCUAAUAAAAUAAAUAACUUUAUGUAAAUACUAUGCAGGCACUAUGCAAAUACUAUGCAUAAUAAAAUAUAAUAUAAUCUAAUUAUUGUCUAAUAAAACGAAUAACUUUAGAAAAGUAUUAUGUUUUAUAUAAAAAGAUUUUACUAUUAGUCUAAUAAAAUGAAUAACUUUAUAAAAGUAUUCUGUUUUAUAUAAAAAGUUUUUCUGUUUUAUUACGUUAAUAAUACGAAUAAAACAAAACUUCAUCAUCGCUUACUUUGAAAAUUUUUCAAAUGUCACCCUUAACUUUAAACUUUUAUCAAUUUAAUCAUUUACCAAAAUAGAAAAAUUGAAUACUUUUAUUUCAUAAAAUUCGGGGUCUCACAGUUAGUUUGCAAAAAGCUAUGGGCACGGAUUUACGAUUUAGUUCGGCAUAUCAUCCUCAAACGGAUGGGCAGUCGGAAAGGACUAUUCAAACUCUUGAGGAUUUAUUAAGAUUAUGUGUCCUUGACUUCAAGGGAAGUUGGGACAAGUUCUUACCAUUGGUGGAGUUUUCCUACAACAAUAGUUAUCAAGCAAGUAUUGGCAUGACUCCAUUUGAAGCGUUGUAUGGAAGAAAGUGUCGUUCUCCAGUAUGCUGGGAUGAGGUGGGUGAAGCAACGUUGUUGGGACUGGAGUUGGUACGUAUGACUACGAAAAAGAUUCAAACGAUCCGACAACGUAUAAAAACCUCACAAGAUNNNNNNNNNNNNNNNNNNNNNNNNNNNNNNNNNNNNNNNNNNNNNNNNNNNNNNNNNNNNNNNNNNNNNNNNNNNNNNNNNNNNNNNNNNNNNNNNNNNNUAUAUAUAUAUAUAUAUAUAUAUAUAUAUAUAUAUAUAUAUAUAUAUAUAUAUUGUCCAAAAUUAAUUUUUAGUUUUUGAGAUGGCAUGUAACCAUCACAUAUAUAUUUCUCCUUAAUGUGAUUGCAUUUAAGCCAUAACAAAGAAAAAAGUUUAAAAUAAUCUUUGGUGACAGCCAAGACCAUCACGAAAAGAAAACCACAUGUGAUGGACCUUUAUGAUUACAUUUAAAGUAAUCUCAACAAAUGGUAUUAUAUGAUGGACUUUUUCAACAAUCACAAAAUAAUAAUAUACAUGACGGCUCCUAGUAGUGGUUAUUUUUUCCAUCACCAUAAACUAUUUGUGACGGACAAGACAAUCACUAAAAAACAAGCAUAUAUGAACAACAAAUAUAUUAGGCGAGGAAUUUACUAGCAAUCACAAAAUAGUAGUAUAUAUGGUAGAUGUUACUCAAUGUCUAAUUGUGCCAUUAUUAUUAAAUAUUUAAGACAAUCAUUACAAUCACUAAAUUUUUCGCGUAAAUUGUACAUCUCUUUUUUAAGUCCCCAUUAAUCUUUAUUUUGCUUUGUUCUCUUUGUAAACUCAUUGUUUUUAUUGUGAAUUCAAAGGAUUUAGAGUUUAUCUCGUUUUUAUAUAACUAACUAUUUACGUUUGUUCUCUUUGUCUCGGUUGGUAUAUAUCUACUUCUUUCUAUGCAAGAAGUCUAGAGUCCAAAUCUCCACCCAAAAAAGAAACAGUGCAAAUGAUGGAGCAAAAUUCUUGCUGUUGGGGAAGAGCAGAUGGACUAAUUGAUGUAACCUUCAAAUUGGUGGGAAGAAAUCUGAAAUGGAAGGAGCAGUAAGCAGGAUUUUUUUUUUUACUAAAUUUAAAUUGUAUUAAAGGAGAAAGAAUGUACAAAAAUCAUGGGAAAACCCAAUCAGAAUAUAGUAUAUACAUCACCUCAAUCAGAAUAUAACAUAGACAUCAUAGGACAUGCCAUAUGAUGUCAUGACUAAAAAAGAAAAUAAGGCCAGAUGCCCAAACAAAAGAGAAACAAUCUCAACAUUCAUGAGAAUACAAUGCAUAGAAAUCAGACACAAAACCAAGAAAAACCUCAUCCAAAGUAGCAGCAGCCCACAAUAGCAGCAAAAGAAAAAUCAGUCCAAAGACCAAAAGGCAUCAUCCAUAACAGAACCGAAAGAGCCUACUGCAGACUAGCAGCACAAUAGAGCACAAGGCCCAACAAGAGAAGCCAACAACAGUUUAGCAAAGCAAAACAGCAGACAGGACAUGGAAAGCAAGAGCAACAAACCCCAAGAGCCCAAUGGCAGCCAUAGAAGUGCAGCAGCUGCAGCCGACAUCAAAUAAAACAGCAGUAAACGAUAGCAGCCAUAAGUACAGCACCACCCCCCAAAUCUGCAGCAUCAAGACAUAGAAAUAGUCACAAUACUGCAGACCAAAACACGCAAACAAUGCAGCAUAAGCAACAAACAGAGCAGCAAAUAGGUCUAUUUUCCUGCUUGUUUUCAAGGUUGUGUAGUAUUUAUUGUCAUUUUAGUAUUUUACAUAUAUGUCCAUUAUGGGUAAAAUAAGUUGUUUGGCAUGGGCAAUGAUGCCAGUGAAGGUUUUCUUUCUUCAGUGCUUGAUGGAAGCUCUCGAGCUGUAGUCACUACAAAGAUGAGGAGAUGCUGAAACCAUUUUCGAGCACAGUGAGAUAUAAUAGUUACAUAUAUGAAUAUGCCAUCUCAGAUGAUCAUGUUGGUGUAACACAGAAGCAUGUCUUCCAUGUGCUGGUACCAUUUCUCCUUCCUUUUCUGACAGUAGGCCUAUGAUUUCUUCUGGGAGUGCUGAGAAAGAGACUGCUAGACUAGAAUAUUGUAUACGGCACUAGAAAUAGGGCAGUCUUUCUGUAAACUGCAGAGCUAUGGUUCCUUGGAAUGAUCAUUGCUUUACAACGCAUUGAGUUUUUUUUUUCUACAUUUCUUUUUCCUGGAAAAGCCUAUUUGAGGGAGGAAAUAGGAGAAGUAGAAAUUUGUUGUGGGUAGAGAUGUUUUGGAUUUGUCCUUGGUUUCAGUAAUUAAACAUCUGCCAUUUUUAUUUGCGAUUAUAUCCGGAGGAAGCUUUUAUAUACUAGAUUCAUAAAUCAAGAAGUUCAAUAUAGGGAGCACCAGCUGCAACAGCAGCAGAGCAUGAGCAGCAACAUUAAUGUAGGUGGAAGCAUUGAAAGGACGUUCUAUUUGUUCAUGCCAUUUAAUCAUGGCAAUCAUUCUAUUUAUUCAUGGUAAUCAUUUUAUUUGUAUAUGCUUGUUCUUAUAUAGCUUAUAUUGACAGAAAAUUUAAAUGGAAGCUAUGAGAACCACAUUUUAUCAAGUCUUUCAGGUGGGUUAGCCUCUGCAUAGCUCUUACUAUUUCUUGCAGCUCGAGGAGCUAAAGCUUCCUAAAGUAUAGAAAUCACAAAACCAAGCAAAUAAGUUUAAAAAAAAAAAAGAACUAAAGAUAGAGUCGCAUGUCUUUCAAAUAUGUUUCAAAAAAAAAACACAUUCUCUAAAACACUGGUAACAGAGCUUCUCUAAAACUGAAUUUCAUGUCCAAGUUCAUGUUAUCAACUUAUAGUCUUAUAUGUAAUCAACAUAACUCAAACGACUUCCUCUUUUUCUAAUAAUUAAUAACAGGGAAAAAAUUUAAAAAUAUGGGUGAAUUGGAGAAAUAUAUCUUACAAUAACAAAGAAAAAGGGAAUCCUAGUCCAGAAACUUGUGCGCGCUCUCACGAAAGAUGUCUCAUGAGUAAGCCUGAAUCUUGACGGAUCUGCAUGUUCAUUGUAGGAGAAAUUUAACAUAAAGAGAUAGCCUCAUGUACACAAAUAUUAAAAUGAAUACUAAAUUCAAACUACAGAAUGAUAAAUAGUCAUUUCUUGAUCGUGCAGCGACAUAACAAUGGAAAACUCGGUCCUGAGAGGCAGUUUCCUGCUCCCAGACCUUCCAGCCACGAAUCUGUACAAGUUAAAAACUUAUUAGCAUUAUAUGUAGAAUCAAUCAGGUGAUAAUAUGAAGAGUGAUAGUGUUUUAUAGAAAAUGAAAAUAUUCGAAAAUUGUUUCGAACAUAUAUUAAAAUAAAUUAUUGUCCUUUUAUUUUAUUAAAUAAAAUAUUAAAAAAAUCAUUGUCUUCUUUAAUGCAGUUUAUAAAGAAACACGGGAAAAUGAAUAUAGGCCAAGUUAGUGAUAAAAGAAAGUGAAUGACAGACUUGGCAGGAACUCUAUUACUGUAGAAAAAUAAAGCAACAAUUGAAAGGAUUCUUAUUUCGAUAAUGAAAGGAAAUAAUAAUCGACUGAUAAUUAUCUGGAACAUGCCAACUACUAUAUAUAUAGGAAAACAUAACUAAAAAACUCAGCUACGUAGGCCUAAAUAUCAUCAUCUUCUUCUUCUUCUUCGAAAUAUUCAUCAUCAUUAAAAUAUUCAUUAUCAUCUUCAUCUUCAUCACUACAUUCUCUAUCUUCAUUUUCUGCUUCCGCUAAUGAUGGAUCCACUUCCGCCCACAUUAGGAUUACUCGUCAAUGGUUGAUCAAAUUUGAUAGAUUCGCCUUCUGAAACAAGAAGUUCUGGCCCUGGAGGGAUAAUAUCAACCACUUGACGUCCAUCCGAUGCAUCCGUUAUGGUUAUUUCGUAACCCCCCUUUUCUUUUCGUAUUAUUUUGCCUACUAUACCUGCUGCUGUAGCAUUAUAAACCGUAUUGUUACUCUUGCUCCCGUCGGGAUAAAUCUGACCCCUUCCCCUGUUUCCGCCUACGUAUAUAGGAUAUUUUAAGAAGUGAACAUCUUUCUUAGUAGCGGGGUCCGGGGAAAGAAUAGGAAAGGUGAUUUCACUAUAUUUUUGACCAGGAACAGGGCCUAUCACAAGAAUAUUUUUUUUAGUGGGGCGAUAGCUCUGAAAAGAAAGAUUGCCUAUCCUUUCUUUCAUCUCGGGAGAAAUCCGAUCAACAGGAGCUAAUUCAAAACCCUCCGGUAAAAUAAGAACAGCCCCUACAUUCAAAGCCCCCUUUUUACCAUUAGCAAGAACUUGUUUUAGUUGCAUAUCAUAAGGGAUUCGAACAACUGCUUCAAAUACAGUAUCAGGAAGUACGGCUUGUGGAACUUCAAUAUCCACGGGCUUAUUAGCUAAAUGGCAAUUGGCACAUACAAUACGCCCAGUCGCUUCUCGUGGAUUUUCAUAACCCUGCUGUGCAAAAAUGGGAUAUGCACUUGAAAUGGAUGUCCGAGUUAUGAUAUAUAUCAUGAGCGAUGCGGAAAUGGAUCGAGUAAUCUGUUCCUUUAUCCAAGAAAAAGUCUUUCUAGUUUGCAUGGUCCAACCAUUGAUCCCGAAAAUUUCUACAAUAAAUUGGGUAGGUCGCUAAUAUAGUUCCCUAUCCGCGAUUCUGCUAUUUACUGGAAUAAUAUAUNNNNNNNNNNNNNNNNNNNNNNNNNNNNNNNNNNNNNNNNNNNNNNNNNNNNNNNNNNNNNNNNNNNNNNNNNNNNNNNNNNNNNNNNNNNNNNNNNNNNGAGAAUCAUCAAGCAAUAUCAAAUUCUGAGUUUGCUCCUCAAUAUUAUAUAAGUCAAAAUCAUGAAACUCUUCCUCUUGAUAUGUCUCUUCAUUACUAUUUUCGGCAACAUCAUAUGUGUUUCUUGCUUUUGUUGUGAUUACAGUAGACCAACCUUUAGCUUUAGUCGACACUGGAUUAGCAUAGAACACUUGUACAACUUGUGAUGCAAUAACAAAUGGCUCAUACGGCUUGUGCCUUGAAUUUGUAUCAAUUGUAGUUAUCCCGUACUUGUUAAUAACUACCCUUUUUUCAGAAUCAUACCAUUCACAUUGGAACAAAAAUACUGAAUUCUCUUCUCCAUAGUAUUCUAGUUCAACUACUUUAAUUAAUUGUCCAUAAUAGUCUCGUUCUUGGCCUUCAAAAGUACAUCCCUAGACUAAAACACCACUAUUUUGAGUUACCUUUCUUGACUCCAAUUCUUUUGUAUGGAACCUAAAGCCAUUGACAAUGAAUCCAUCAUAACAUGUUACCUCUCUAGACGGACCCAUAGCGAGCGCUUUUAGACGCGUAUCAACGACAUCAUCAUUCUUGACUCUCUUUUCAAACCAUUUUAUAAAUGUCGAAUUAUGUUCCUUUUAUAGCACUUUAUCCGACAUGUUUGGACGUAAUUCUUUCAAUAAAUGCUUGUGCUCCCUAGAAGUAAUGAAAUAAAUUAGUAGAUAUAGAGUAAUGAUUUACAUAUCUAAAAGUAAUAAACUUUAUAAGAAUUAAAAUGUCAUACUCGAUGAAAUCAAAGACUUCCUCAUAAUUAGACAAGAUGUAUAAGGUUGCUGCCUCGAGUUCUUUAUCAGAUAGAUCUUCACGUUUUCGUUUUCCUCCAAUUGGACGACCAGGCCUAGGGUGGCUAAAUAUUGAUAACUUUCCAUUAGUUUCAGCUUGACCGCCAUCGUCAUUUCGAUCAGCUCGGUUGAACUUGGUUUGCACCCUAAGAUCAAAAUAUCGAGAAGAAAAGUAAACUAGUUCGUCUAUUAUGUAUGCCUCAGCUAUUGAACCCUCGGGGCAAGCCUUGUUACGCACCCUUUUCUUCAAAGAACACAUGCACCUAUAAUUAUAUUGAAGUUAGGUAAUCACUUUAACUAUAAAAAAGCCUUGGCAAGAAAAGAGAUAUAAUUUAUUAAAACAUCACCUCUCGAAAGGGUACAUCCAACGAUAUUGUACUGGCCCUCCGACCUUGGCUUUAUAUGCCAAAUGAACAAGUAGAUGCUCCAUUGAAUCAAAGAAAGAUGGUGGAAAAAUCAUCUCAAGAUUGCAUAAUAUUUCAGCAAUAAAUAGCUCAAGCUUCUCUAACUCAGCUAACUUAUACACCUUAGAGCAUAUGUCUCGAAAGAAUUUGCACAAAGCAUUUAUUGGUUCCCAUAUAGAGUUUGGUAAGAAAUCACGAAAGGCCAAUGGCAAGAAUCUCUGCAUGAGAACAUGGCAAUCAUGGCUCUUUAGCCCAAUUAUUUUGCAAUUGUCAAGGUUAAUACAAUGAGAGAUAUUUGAAGCAUAACCGUCUGGAACUUUCAACGAUUUAAGCCACUUGCAAACUUGCUUGACUUCUUCGCUUUUUAAAGAAUAUUUAGCUUUUGGCAAUUUAAAUUUCCCAUUACCACUCUCUUCAGGAUGUAAUUCAAAUCUUAUACCAAGCUCUUGCAAAUCUAAACGAGCUUUAAGGUGGUCUUUUGAUUUUCUAGUAAUGUUCAUCACAGUGUAAAAUAAAUUAUCAAAAAUAUUUUUCUCAAUAUGCAUCACGUCUAAGAAAUGUCUUAUUAGAAGCAAACUCCAAUAAGGCAAUUCAAAGAAGAUACUUUUCUUUGUCUAGUUAUGCUCGAUUCCAAACCCAGGAGUCUUAUCGGUACUAUUGUUUUUAUCCUUUCCAAAGAUGACCGAACUAAAUUGAGAUACAAAAUUUAACUCCUCAACACCUGUUAGUCGAGGCGGGGGAUUUCUCCGUUCGGUUUUAUUAUUGAACUUACUCUUCUCAGCUCGAUAUUUAUGAUUACGCUUCAACCAACGACGAUGGCAUCCAAAAUAACUCGGCUUCCUCCCAUGUUUAAGGUUAAAAGCUACACUUGGAUCCAUACAAGGACAUGACAAGGCCCCAUGUGUACUCCAACCCUUCAAUAUGCCUAGCGCAGGAAAGUCACUGAUUGUCCAUAUUACAGCUGCUUUCAUAUAAAAAUUUUGCUUUGAGAAAGCAUCAUAUGUAUCAACUCCAACAUCCCACAAAGUCUUUAGUUCUUCUAUAAGAGGUCGCAAAUACACAUCAAUCUCUCUUCCAGGUCCAUGUGGACCUGGAAUAAGCAGUGACAUAAACAUGUACUCCUCUUUCAUACACAUCCAAGGGGGGAGAUUGUAUGGAACAAGGAAAACUGGCCAUGUCGAAUGAGGUUUGCUAGAAUGCCCAAAAGGAUUAAAUCCAUCAGUAGCUAAGCCAAGUCUUAUACUACGAGCAUCUUCAGCAAAAGAUGGGUAAUUGAGGUCAAAAUAUUUCCAAGCCUCACUAUCAGCAGGGUGCCUUAGCUCACCUGGAAUAUCACAUCAUUUUUCUUUGUGCCACCUCAUAGGCUCGGCCGUUUUUGAUGACAAAUAAAGCCUUUGAAGCCUUGGUAUAAUUGGUAAAAAAACUUAAGACCUUCCUUGCUAUUGGUUUAUUCUUUUUCCCUUUAACACUGCCAUGGUUUUUAUACCUAGAUUCGUUACAAAUUGGGCAAGCAUCUAAAUCUGCAUAUUCUCCUCGAAACAAGAUACAAUCAUUAUUACAUGCAUGUAUUUUUUGUAGAGGUUGCCCAAGGUCCUUCAUUAAGGCCUUGCAGUGAUAAAAUGACUCGGGUAAUUUAUUCUUUUUAGGCAACAUUUCCUUGAAAGCUGAAAGAAAAGCAUCAAAUCCAGCAUUAGACAAACAAUACUUGGAUUUUAGGUGCAACAACAAAGUUACGGCUAAUAACUUGGUGUGAUUUUGACAACCAUCCCACAAGGGCUCGUCUGCAGCCUUUAGAAGGUCAUAGAACUUCUUUGAUUCGCUAUUAGGAUCCUCAUCAAAUUUAGGGCUAAUGCAGCUUGUAAUAUCCCUUAACAUGUCUUUAGGCCAAUUUGCAAUUCCCUCAUCAAUAUCGUCAUCUUAAUUCCCUACUUUCUUAAGUGACUCCCCAUGCUCCGUCCAUGUAGUGUAGUUUGGUACAAAUCCAUGCUUAUAAAGACACAUUUCUACAUCUUCACGUGAUUUAUAGUUUAUGAAAUCACACUUGGCACAAGGACACCGAAUCAUGCCAUCAUCUACGCACUCAGGAUUAGAAAAUGCAAAAUCAAGAAAUGUAUUGACCCCACUCAUAAAUUCAUGUAUAUGUUUAGACUUUUUCCCAACAUGCCUAUACAUCCAACUUCGAUCAUCCAUCUACCAUUUGUAAUUCAAAUAAUUGAAAAAUGUUCAUUUAUGGUGAUAAUUAACCCUUUUAUGAAAUAGAAAAGAAAAAAAAAACUGUACUGACUUUACAACUUAUUUUCUAGCACACUGUUCUUAACAUGGUCACAACUUAUAAUUAAAGAAAACAACAUAUACUACCUGAAUUCAAGAUAAUAUUGGUUAUGAGGUAGUAAAUCAAACAGAGAAAGCGUAAUCAGAGAAAGCAUAUUAGAUUUUCUAAUUAAUGUUCCUAAUUAGUUUUAUAUUAGAUUUUUUACAUGCUACACAGGAAUUGGGGCCAAAUUCGAACAGAGAAAGCAUAAUCAAAAUUCUAAAAUAAUUGGGGCCAAAUUGGAACAGAGAAAGUAAAGAGGGAGACAAUAAACACCCAAGGAAGAGAGGAUUUACCUUCAAAAUCACAAAGCUUAACUUGGAUCACAACUUUGGUACGUAGAAGAAAGGGAGAUGGUUUUAGUUACCGUCUAUGGAGAAGAUGGGAAGAGUUGUUUAGAGCCGCAGAGAGCACUGGGCAGAGGCCGUCGACUGAGAGGGAGUAGUCGACUGUCGACUUUGUCAAGAAAGAGGCAAGCAAGUAGCAACUGAAGCAAUCAAACAAAGAGUGAAGAAGGAGAACUGAAGAUAAGGGCUAGGGCAAAUGUCAAAUGUGAAAGUGAAAUCAGAAAUGGACCGCCGACUCGGUCACUUAGGAUUAUAGAUAGGAGUGAGAUAUAAUAAUAUUAUAAAAUUGUUUUUUUUAAGAAUUACGGUUCGGUUAUUCGGGUAUCCAAAUAACCAGUUUUUGAACACCGAAUCUGUAAUCGAAUACUAAAUAAUAAUUCGGAUAUAACUGAAAUUGUAAAAAAACCGAAAAACCGAAAUAAUUCGGUUAAAAAAUUUCGAUUCGGUUCGGUAAUUCGGUUUUAUUCGUUUUUUGCUCACUCCUAGUCACUGGACAUUUAAUUUUUGUUGGCUUGUUGUUGCUGACUUGCUGUAUUUUGGACAGUUAAUUAGGCUUGCAUUAUUAAGUCAUAAAUUUCAUGUUGGCUUGUUGUUGCUGCUGGACAAGUAAGUUAACAGUUGCUGCCUGCUGGGCAGUUAAUUUGCUAAAUAGUUAACAGGGAAUUUAUGUUGUAUGAUAUUUCGGUUAUUACCCGAAUAUCCGAAAUUACAAUUCGGUAUUCGGUAAUUCGGUUAUUUUCACAUUUCGAUUAGAAUUUUGGAUAGUGGAAUUGUCAUUAAUUCGGUUUUCGGUUAUAACCGAAUAGCUUAUUCGGUUCGGUUAUAACCGAAUGAUCACUCCUACUAAUAACUUGGUAUUUUGAAUCAAAUAUCGGCAUCGACACAUAAGGCUGUAAAAUGAGCAAACAGUUCGGGGUCGAUUCGUACUCGCUCGACUAAAAGUUCAAUUCGAGCUCGACUCUAAAUAUAAAUGAGUCAAAUAUGAGCAAAUUUUAAAGUUCUAUAAAUUACUCGAACCUCCUCAAAUUAUAAUUUUCUAUUGAUACUCGGAUCAUAUUCGUUCGAAAAGUUCAAACUGUUCAGGCUCGAUUCGGAAUCGUACUCGACUCGAUAGCUAAAUGAUCCUCAAUCAAACCUUAUAAUAUACUUGAUAAAAUUUGUGAACCAAAUCUGAUAGAAAUACAUUACGAAAAUUUAAAAAGAUUAUAAAAUGAGUUUUAGUUUUAGUUGGACCAGAUUAAGUAAUCUCAAGUACAUGAAAUUAAAAAUAAAAUAAAAUUAACAAAUUGAAAAAAACAACAACUAGUAGACUCGGGCGUAAAUUAACUUUUAAGGGUUUAAUACACUAUUUGUACGUUCCAAAUUUUAUAUUUGACUUUGUACCAUUGACAUUUAUUUUUUCGUGGGCAUAUAUUUUUAUUAUUAUUAGUUAUUGUCAAUUUUGGUGGAUAAAUUAUUUAAUGUUUGAAGACUAUUUGGGGGAUAUUAAAUAUAUCAUUACUCAUAAUGAUAUUAAAUAUAGUGGGUGCAGAUGAUAGUAAUGUUAUAAAAAAAUUUCAGGCUUCACAAAGAAGAAUAUAAGUUAUUGUAUUAAGCUUCAAUACUUUUUGUAAGAGUAAUAAUUGAUAUUAAAACAUCAUUUUUAUUAAUAAUAUUAUUUUAAAAUAAUAAAAGAGAGGAGACUUAAUUUGUAGCUUAAUCUAAAGAAAGUAUAUAAAUUUUUAAUAUUAUUUUAAUUUAUUUUACUUUUUUGAAUAACAAAUUUGUACUUAAUUACUAGUGGAUCAAUUAAUUCAUAUCUCACAAAUUUACUAAAAAUAAUAAUUAAAUGAUACUCUUUUUUUUGUAGAACAAAGGGUAUAUCAAAAGAUAAUUAAAUCAAAAGAAAUUUAAGCUAAUUAAAUUUAAUUAAAAGAUAAUUAAAAUUUAAACAAACAAAAAUAGACUAAUUUAGUGGCAUAUUCCACUCAUUUUGAAGAAAUGGCGGGAUCUCUGUUUCUAUCUUUAAUUUCAAGUACCAUUGUAUAAACUUCCCCAUCUUUUCCAUAGGCAGCAAACUGAAACCCUACAUCCAUCUUCUACCAAAAUUGUGAUCCCAGUUAAGGUUGUGAUUUCAAAGGUAAGUCCUCUCUUUGGGUGUUUAUUCUCUCCAUCUUUCCUUUCUCUGUUCUAAUUUGUCCCCAAUUCUUAUUUUAGAAUUGUGAUUAUGCUUUCUCUUUUCGAAUUUGGCCCCAAUUCCUGUUUUUAUAGAGAUGUUUUACGAACUGUUAUUGACAAUUUGAUUGUUCAUGUGUUUGUGGAGAUUUAAUAUAUAUAUAUAUAUAUAUAUAUAUAUAUAUGAUUUUGAUAGCGUAUUUACUAAUUUUAANNNNNNNNNNNNNNNNNNNNNNNNNNNNNNNNNNNNNNNNNNNNNNNNNNNNNNNNNNNNNNNNNNNNNNNNNNNNNNNNNNNNNNNNNNNNNNNNNNNNNNNNNNNNNNNNNNNNNNNNNNNNNNNNNNNNNNNNNNNNNNNNNNNNNNNNNNNNNNNNNNNNNNNNNNNNNNNNNNNNNNNNNNNNNNNNNNNNNNNNNNNNNNNNNNNNNNNNNNNNNNNNNNNNNNNNNNNNNNNNNNNNNNNNNNNNNNNNNNNNNNNNNNNNNNNNNNNNNNNNNNNNNNNNNNNNNNNNNNNNNNNNNNNNNNNNNNNNNNNNNNNNNNNNNNNNNNNNNNNNNNNNNNNNNNNNNNNNNNNNNNNNNNNNNNNNNNNNNNNNNNNNNNNNNNNNNNNNNNNNNNNNNNNNNNNNNNAUAUAUAUAUAUAUAUAUCCCUCGAUUUAUAUAUGUAUGUUAAUUAGGUACGUAUAUGUAUGCAUGAAUAUAUAUGAAACUUUGUUAGUUAAUUACUUUGGUUGAGAAUGGAUUGUAGUUUGUAAACAAAUCUAAUAUGAAACUGAUUAGGAAAAGACUUAAAUUGGAAUUCUUCUUUUGGUUGAAUGGAAGGGUUACUCAUUACUUCAUUAAUUUGACAUUAAUUUUGUAUUAUUUUGUUUAAUUAUGUUUUGGUUGGUUAUGUUUUUCAUUUAUUUUAUUCUAUUCCAAGUCAUUAAGAGCACAUGAUGUUUUAGGUAAAACACUGAUUCUACUGGACAGAUGAUUCAUGUACAAAACCAAAGUUAGUGCACACACCCUAUUAUUUAAUAUUCAAAACAUUGGGUUGCUGUUGGGGUGGGUCUGUAGGAGGGCAGGGGUGGAGUUGCAGGGGAGGCGAAUGGAAGAGGGCAAAAGUGCUGGAUGAAGGAGGGACGUUGGCAUGUUCUUGAAUGAUGGUAACCCAUUCUUUAUACAUUUUGAAUGAGAGUGGUUAAUUGCAAAAAAGCACUUGCAAUAGCUACAUUGAAAUUGGUUCCAUUUAUGAGGGACAAGAAAAGCAGCAGUGGGCAGUAAGGAACUGCUAUAACAGUUUUGGGUAUAUCAUUCUAGCUCUAGAAUCUAGUUUGAAGACUUAACCAUAGAGUUUUAGUUUUAGUUGGAGCUGUACAUUCUUUACCAUUAAUGAUUAGUGAUUCUAUUCAAAGUUACCAUGCUUUUUUAAGUUCUCACUUGGGUUUUUGUAAAUGGGUCAAGCUUUGCUUAUUGUGUGCAAGAAAAUCUGAUAUCGCUGUGAAAUCUAUAGUAAGAAAAUUAAAAAUGGUCACUUUGAUAUACUUGCACUUAAUUGAUGCCCACAAUUGUCGUCUUUAAUUGUACUAAUCCAUCAAAGGAGCAUGUCAAUAUUGUUCUAUUCAGCAGUACUAUGAUUUAAUUGAUGCCCUCAUAGUAUCCAUCAAAAGAACAUUUAAUCUUGAUGUAACCAGCAUGCCACGGAACCUGACAUGUGUAGCAAAAAAGCUUUUUACAGUUCAGACAUAUUAGAAAUGAUUGUUCCAUUGAAAUGAUUGUUUGGCAUAUUAGAGGAUCUAACAAGUGAUUACAGUCCAAAGUGGACGACAUUUAAUGCUGGCUACAUUGUCUUCAACUUUUACUUCGAUGUACUUGGUGAAGCAAUCCACACAAAAAGGAUGAAAACAUUCAUCAUUCUUCUUGAAAACAUUCAAUGCAUAUCUCACAAGUGAAAGUUGAACUCUCUUCUUCACCUGAUUUAUCCUCUUCUGUUUUCGCCAAACUCACCUCUUGUUUUUAGCUGUGUGUUCCCCAUUGUUUGUUCUGUUUCUGUUGCAAAAAAAUCAUCAGCUCAUGUGAGAAACAAUUAGAGAAAGUGGAAUUGUACAACAGAAACAUGCAUGAAGUUGUAUAUUAUUGCAAAAUAAAUGGCAACUCUUUCUACAAUUACAAAGAAAAUGCCAAACACAUUUUGAAUUUGCAGCUACAACUAUUACAUGUGUUAUACAAGAGAUGAGAAUACAUUUUGAACAUGCAUGUGUCAAUUUGUGAUCUACAACACAUUUUGAAAAUGCCUAACACAUUUUGAACAUGCAUGUGUUCUACAAUUACAUGAAUUAAUUUGCAUGUGUUGUACUUUGUGUUGUGCAUAUAGUAAUAGGUUCAAUUAAAUGUUGUGUCAAGUGAUAGUGCUAAUUUAUUUAUUUUUUGAUAAAAAAAUGUACAUGCUUGUGGUAUAAUUUCAAACUAGUUUUCCAAUGAGUCAUGAUUAAUUAUUGCUGAUUAAUAUGUUGGGUAUAUAAAUUGUUCUUUGUACGGUUGAAUGUUAUUGUCUUGACAGGUAAGAUGCUAAUUGAUUUUGGAGCUAGUAGAGUAGUGAAUAAUUUUGAAAUUGUAUUACAACAUCAUCUUGAAUAAUUUCUUUUAUUUAUCCUAUAUUUAAUUAUAAGUUUUUUUUCUUCUCCAGCUAUGGUGAGAACUAGAGGUGGGAGUAGUCUUUCCGGUAGGAGAUCAACUCUUCCUCAUAAUAGUGGCGAGACUGUUAACAUGAACAGAAUGAGAGAUGAGCCUAUUGUAUCUCAUGAUAGUGGUGAGAGUAUUGAUAGGGCUACACCGAAUACUACACAAGCCGAAAGGUUAUCUCGUAAGAAAAGGGGGCCAACUCUAGGGAUAAUAAAGCCUAAAACAGGCCAAACAAAGAUGCUUGUUAAUAUCAUUGGACAAAAGUAAGUUUUUACUAAUCUACUCGUGCUUGUCAAUAUGCAAGUUACAUACAAUCAAUUCUGGAUACGUUAAAGAUUCAUUUUCUGACACAUAAUAUAACGUCCGUUUUAACUAUAACAGGGUAAUCUAUGUAGCACAAUGUAAUCCAAAGAACAUAAAAGCAACUAAUCAUAUCAUGUUACUAUAAAAAGCAAUUAAUAGGGGUUCCAUUUAACAAGAUUUGAUUAAUCCUAUUGUGACAACUUUGUUUCUACUUUUCAUUAUUGUUGUACUAAUCAUAUCAUGCUAUGUUACCAUAUCUUGUAAUUAGCUUCCUUGAACCUGAAGCUCGAAGCAAGACUCACAUAUUAUUUCAAAAACGUUUUAAAGAAGCUCGAACCAAAUUCGAGCAAUGGCCAAAACAUGAAAUUGAACUUCUUUGGGGAGAAUAUUUGGUAUGUUUUAAUGAACACACAUUUUAAUUGUAGAAAAAAGUUUAUCAAAAAGUGUAUUAUUCAUUAUAUAUUAAUUAUUAUUUUUACUUGUGGAUGGUGUUAUAGAAAUAUUUUCGUUUCUCUUCAUCGAAGGAGGAGGGAAGGGGUCGAAUCAUAUGGGAGGAAAAUGCACGAAAAAGCUACCCAAACUAUUUAUGGAGAUGGAAAGAUGAUGCCAUUAAGAAGUUUGGCUCCAUUGAGGAAGCAAGGGAUAAAAAGCCUAAUUGGACAACUCUUGAUGUGUGGCAGGAGAUGUGUGAUUAUUGACUGAGUAAAGACUUUUUAGACUCUAGUGAGCUACAAAAAAAGAACAGAAACAUAACUACGUAUGUUCCUCACACAUCAGGCUCCAUAUCGUACGCCGUUAGGAGGGAACAAGAGGUAAAUUAUAAGUUGAUAAAAUCAAAUUAAUAAUAUGCGUAGUCGAUAAAUGCACAUGAUAAUGGUAAAAGAUUCAUAUCAUGAUGCUCUGUUUGGAGUUUUUAAGUGUUCAUGUGGUAUGUAUUGCUUAUUUUUAAUAUUAAUGUUUAUAAUUAAAAUAAUUAUUAUUUUGCUUGUUUUGUCUUAGAAACAAAGACUGCAUCGUCCGCCAACGCAAUAUGAGUUAUAUAAACAAACUCAUAUGAGGAAGGAGAAGGGUAGCGAGGAAAAAACGUGGGUUUGUGAUGAAGCAAAGAGGAAUUUGGUAUGAUUUUCUCUUGUAAAAUUAUAAACUUUGUUUACUCAUGCGAAAGUGAAGAUUGUUGUUCGUUCUUUUCAUAAUUAGUUAUGAGUAUUGUUAAUUAUAUAUACAUAUUUUAUGCAUUGUAUAGGAUGAUUAUGAGAGAAGACUCUUAGCCAAACAUGGUGAUACAGAUAAGCCCGUGAAUGAGUUAGAUGAUCCAAAUUUGGAGACAUGGCAGAAAACUGUUGGAGGCGUCAAAAAGGGUAGACUUGUUGGUCGACCAGGGGAAAAAUGGAGUUCUCGUCGUGGUUCGUAUUGUCCAUCUUUGGUUGCAGAUGAGAACUAUAUUAAAUUAAAGAAAAUGGAAAGCUACAUGACUUAUAUUCAUCAAUACACAAAAAAUAUGGCCGAAACACUUGCACUUGAUCCUCCUAUAGACUUUUGUGAUUUGUUUGCUUCAUCAAAUGCAUCAGCUGAUAUUCCAACGAAUAACUCAACCACGCAUGCUGAGAAUGACAACGGAGAUGAUGACGACUCUCAAGAAAACUUCAUGGAGAAUUCAGGAUGAUUUAGCUCUGCUUUACUUAUCAAUUUUAUUAGUUUAGGGUUCUUUGAUAGAUGUUGGGUUUGUUAAUUGUUUGAUGAACCUAUGACAUGUAGUUACCUAUUUAAGUAGUUGGUAAUGAAUUUAUUUUUAAUUAAAUGGAUCAGAUUUCUUCAUUUUAAUAAAUUUGUAUGAUUUUACGUUUCAAAUUUAUUGUAAUUUAUGUCAUUUAUAAAUUUGAAAUAUAAAAUUGGCAAUUAAAUAUAUUUUAAUAUAGGAAUUUGGUGAUGGCUUUACUAUCACCAAAACGUAUAAAAAGGUUACAAAAAUAGGAAUAAUUGUGAUUGCUUUAGCCAUCACAAGAGACUUAUGCCAUCACAAAAGAAUGUGAUUGUUUUGGCCAUCACAAAUAAUUGGUGAUUGUUUUGGCCAUCACAAAAAGAUGUGAUUGCUUUGGCCAUCACAAAUAAUUGGUGAUUGUUUUGACCAUCACACAAAGAUGUGAUUGCUUUAGCCAUCACAAAUAAUUGGUGAUUGUUUUUACCAUCACAAAAAGAUGUGAUUGCUUCGGCCAUCACAAAUAAUUGGUGAUUGUUUUGACCAUCACAAAAGAUGUGAUUGCUUUGACCAUCACAAAUAACUACUAUGCUAUCGAGAUUACUUUCGCCAUCACAAAUAACUUGUGUGAUUUCGUGAUGGUCAAACUAAUCACAAAAUACAUGUGCGCUAAUGUGACUGAUUUAGUCAUCACAAAAGGAUCGAAUGUUUUGGUGAUUGCCAAAACCAUCACGUAAAACCUUUCAUGAUGGACGUAUACAAAACGGCCAUCGUGAUGCUUAAAAUCAUCACGUAAACCUUUCGUGAUGGUUUUUUUAGUUUUUGUGAUGGAUUUUUGCCAUCACAAAUGACCAUUUUUUUAGUAGUGAUCGAAAGGACGUGGAAUUUAAUAUUGGAGAUCACGUGUUGUUACGUGUUGCUCCAUGGAAAGGAGUUACGAGAUUUGGAAAGAGAGAAGCUCAAUCCUCGAUUCAUUGACCCAUUUUUAAUCCUCGAGCGAGUAGGAACUAUGGCCUAUAGACUCGCCUUACCGCAAAGUAUGUCUCGUGUUCAUAACGUUUUUCACAUAUCUAUGUUACAUAAAUAUGUGAAAGACCCGAACCACAUUAUUGAAUUAGAACCAGACAAGAUAGAGGAAGAUUUAACAUAUGAAGAGUUACCUAUUAAAAUCUUGGAUAAGAAGGAUCAUAUUCUACGCUCCAAGGUUAUACCUCAAGUCAAAGUUUUAUAAGAGAAACCACGAUGUGGAGGAAAUGACCUGGGAGUUAGAAUCUGAGAUGAAGUCAAGAUAUCCUCGUCUCUUCGAUAUACCAGGUACGUACCCUAGUUUCGAGGAUGAAAUUUCAUAAGAAGGGGAGGUAGUAAGACCCCAACUUUUAUGAAUAAAGAAUAAUUUUCUCAAAAUAUAUUUUUGAAUAUUAUGGUGUGGAUUUGAUAUAAUGUUAUAGUUGUGGGUAUUAUUUACAAAUUUUGCAAAGUAAGCAAGUGGUUAUAUAAUAUUCGAUUGGUCGGGGAAUAUUCGUUUUAACAGGGAAUAUUCGUACGACGGUACAAUCAUUGGUGGACCCCACAAAGAAAGUAUUGUUGUAGUUAAAAAACGACAGAAUUAUCUUUUUAUAAAAAUAAUGGCGAAAGUGUUGCCGUUAAAACUGUUGAACUAACCGGUAAUAAAAGUACAGUAAUACGCGUGGUUGCAUAGUAGUACACAGUAUUGAUUAUUGAUGUUUACGUGAGAAGUCACUCAGUUAUACUCAAUUAUUACUAUAGUAAUUGUUGCAUCAUAUCUCUCAUAUUAUUGAUUCAAUUAUUGUCACAGUAUCAUCUGCAUAAUAUGUUAUAUUAUCAAAUCAAUAAUUGAGACGACAAAGUUAUUAAUAUUAUUAAAUUACAAUAUUGACAAUGUCUUGAAGUUCUGUCAAGGAGAGGUUAGAUAAUCUAAUUGCGCGCCAAUAGGGAGAAAUCCUCAUCGGAAAGCCCCCUCUUUCCUGGAAACUACCUGGUUGUUAAAUAUUAUGAGUUAUAAUAUUAAUGAUGAAUAAGUUUGUGUUGAUCAAAGAUGAAAUUAAUAGUUCCAUUGUAUGGAAAUUAUUAGUGUUAGUUGAAAAUCGACAUUUAUUUCGAUAAUAAUUGAUGUCUGGAGGUUUUAUUGACCAAUCGGGUAAUUAACCGGAUAAAUGAGCAAUUAAUUGCUAUUUAUUCACAUGCUUAUAACUAUGUGUUCACAUGUGUGUACUAUUGAUUCACAUGCAUGUACUGUUAGGGGAGUUGGUGCAAGAUUGAUAAUACUUGCAUGACUAAAUUAAAAAUUGAGGUAUAGAUGAAGGUACUAUACUAUACUUAAUUUUUUCACAUGUUUAGAACUAUUGAGUCACAAGAUUUACUAUUGAUUCACAUGAAUUACUAUUAGGGGAGGUGGUGCAAGUUUGAUAAUACUUGCAGGACUAAAUUAAAAAUAAAAAAAAAGAGGAAGGUAUUAUACUGUAAUAUUUUGAGCCCCAAAAUGUGCAAUUAUUGAAACUAUAUUUUCCUAUAAAUAGAAGCUCAUUCUUCCUUCAUUUCUUACCAAUUCACUAAAGCUAUAGAACAAUUAUUAUAGAGAGAAAUUAUAGAGAGAAAGAAGAAGAGAAGUAUGCUACCUCACUACUCCAGUAUCCAGUUUUCUUCUAAGGUAAGGGGUAUUAUUUCUUUCGUAUUCAUGAAGAGAGUUAUUUCUUUCAAUACUCGUAAGGGUUGUUAUUCCAUUCUUUAUUAUUCUGUUGGAAUAACCUGUAUAGGUGGAUUACCGAAUGCGGUGUGAAAUUCUUCUGUUAUUCCAUUCUUUAUUAUUAUGUUAGAAUAACCUGUCUGUGCAGAUUAUGCACGCCUGGUGAAUUCUUUUGUUAUUCCAUUCUUUAUUAUUUUGUCGGAAUAACCUGUCUGUGCGGACUACGCACGCCUGGUGAAUUCUUCUGUUAUUCCAUUUUUUAUUAUUCUGUUGGAAUAACCUGUCUGUGCGGUCUAUCGCAUGCCUAGUGAAUUCUUUUGUUAUUCCAUUCUUUAUUAUUUUGUUGGAAUAACCUGUCUGUGCGGUCUAUCGCAUGCAUGGUGAAUUCUUCUGUUAUUCCAUUCUUUAUUAUUCUGUUGGAAUAACCUGUCUAUGUGGAUUACCGCAUGCAUGGUGAAUGAUCCUUUGUAUUCAUUCCUUAUUAAAUUGUGGAAAUGAUAUGUCUACGUGGAUUACCGCAUGGCGGGCAAAAAUCCAUUUGCAAUUUUAUAUAUUCUAUUAUACUCAGUUGCUUAAAGUUUUGGCUUCUAUACUCCAUGAAAUUAGUAGAAUAUCCUGGAUAUUUGCGCUUCAUCCAAUAUCUUUUCAUGGACAUAUUCUUCUGAGCAUUCUUGAAUUUUACUCCACAAAGCAGUAUUAUGUUGACAAAUUGGAUGUUAUUAAUUUCUGGAUAAAUUAAAUUAUAAAUCUUUAAUAUUUAUCCUUGAACUUGUUUUAUUGAAUUAUUAUGUCAUUGUCAUCAUCCUCAUGCUUAUAUUGUGAUGAAAGUCAUCUUUGGCUUACGUGCAUAGAUGGAUUUGGUAUAAUUAUGACCAGGAAUUAUUCGGUAUAAUCAUGACUGUAAUGUGACGAAUGAUGUGGUGAAAGUCCUCAUUGGCCUGUAGUUCAUUGAUGGACAGUUGUUGGUAUGAUUAUGACCAGGGAUUAUUCGGUAUAAUUAUGACCAUUGAUGAUUACACGAGUAUCCUUGGCCAUAAUGCAUGGAUGAUUCGAUUUUAUUUAUUAAGCUGAGUCUCAGCGAUAAAGUUGAUGAAAAACUUUUUAAGUCAUAGAAGAUAGUAGAUUUUAUACUCUAUAAUUGACUCUUCUAAUGGAUUGCUUAUUCCGCUGUAGUUUUUUAUCUAAAACUUAUUGUCUAUUAUAUUCUUUCAGUUGUUAUACUGUUGAAGGCUAAGGAUAAUUUAUUUUGCAUUAUCUUAGUAAUAAUAUUUCUUACUGGGCUUGUUGAGCUCACCCUUUUCUUUCAUGGUUCUCUUCAAGAAAUGAGAACGUAGCUGGGACUAGUCGGGGAACAGAGUGACGGUCCAGAUGUUUGGAUUAGUAGUCCUCACUAUUCUGUGAAAUAGUGUGAUAAUAAAUGUAAUGAGGACUCCAUUGAGUGUGGAUAUUGUCUAGAUGACAAUAUUCUUAUUAAAACUCUUAGAUUAUGUUUUGUCGUAUUUUACACGACUGUUGUACAAUUAAGUUGUAUUUGAAUUUUGUACCAUGUAUCUGGCGACUCAAGAUGGCUGAUGUAUACCUAUUUUGGUGGCGUCACAUUAACCCUAUUGUUAUAUAUAUUAUAUCCGAUUAUUGUUUAUCAACAUAAUAUUAUACUAUAUAAUUCAGAUAUAUAUUCUGUUCAUUAAUUUCUAAAAAUGAUUAUACAAGUGUCUCCACCUGGAUAAUCAUUGUAUUUAAUCACAUGUUGAUAUAUAUAUAUAUAUAUAUAUAUAUAUAUAUAUAUAUAUAUAUAUACCUAUUGAACCCCAGUAUGUAUACAUUAAGUAAAAGUCGUCUAAGCUAUUCGACCAGCUAGACACAAAUUUAGUUAUAUCGUUUAAUAUGACAAAACUUUUUUGUAUCCAAUCAAAUUAUUUUGGUUCGGAUUCCAGACUAAGUAUGAACAUCCCGAACAUGAGAAAACUUUUAUGCGCCCAAGGCGGACAGAGUAAACGAUAAUAUCUUUCUUUCAUGCAGUAUUGAUCAAUACAGGGUCCAUGGGAUGUAUACCCUCGUGCCCGUAAGUUAUGACGGUUUGCAGAUGAAGUUCUGUUUAACCUUUUUGAAAAUAGAAAACAAUGUGUAUGUCACCCUAACCCUAUAUAUAGUCAAUACAUAGUUUCAAAAAUGUGAGAUAGAGUUGAUAUGUUAUUAUUAUCAGUUUAGUUUACUUCACAACUAUUGAAUCGUUGUAGAAGUAAUGUACAAAGAAAACAUUUAAUUCUUUCAGAUAAUUAUAUUUAUAAUUGUUAUUACUUGCUGGGCACUCAAAUGCUCAUCCUUGCUUAAUUUAAAUGUUUUCAGCUAAGCGUGAUCAACCUGAAGGUUUAGACAAUAAUAAGUGAAAAGGAAAGCAAACAGAAUAUGUUUAACGGUAUCUUUUGUAAUAGUUAAACUGUAUUAAGAUAAUGAUAUGUAUUAUCUAUCAUGUAAAGAAUUAUAGUAAAUGUUGCGUACUUGGGAUUAGACUAUGAUAUUUGUAAAUUAAGUUUGAUUUUUAUAUUAUUGUUAUUAUUAUUAUUAUUAUUAUUCUGCUCAUAAAAAUGGUAUCGUGAAGCACCGAGUUCGGGUUUCAAGUACCUAAAUUUGGGGGCGUCACAGUAUGGUAUUAGAGCUAUAGGUUAGAAACCUUAGGUGGGUUAAACCUUAGGCUAUAACCUUAGAACAGAGGGGAACGUUGAAAAUACAAAUAACUCAUAUAGAGUUUAUAAGGAGAUGAAUUUAAUAAAUUCAUCGUGAAACAAAAUAAAAGAUAACUAAUAAAACUAUUAUUUGCUAUGUGUUUAUACUUAGUGUUAAUCCGGAUAAUUUAUUUGUAUAGAUGUCAGAUAGAAAAAGAAUUAGAAUACCCUCAGAUCAUAAAGAAAGAGCAAAUCUCCAUGACCGAGCCAAUAUUAAAGCUAAUAGCUGAAAUAGAGGCACACAUUGAAAACUACCUCAAAGAGGAGGUUAUUUUGGAAAGUAUAAUACCAGAUCCAGAGACGAUAGUAUAACAGAUAGGUUGAGUGUAGUUAAAGAAUAUAUGGUGAAGCUUGAGUUCUUAAACUCAUUUAUUUGUGGUAAGUUCUUAAACUCAUAAUGUGUAGUAAGAAAAAGGGAAGUAUUUUAGAAUACCUCAUAUCAUUCUCGAAUUACUACUUCAUCUCCUCACCAGCUCUUGAACCCUUGACCUCUAGAAACUCAAUAAUCAAACGAGUACCAAAUGUCUACAAGGAGGACUAGUAUAGUUAUGUGUUAAUGGAUUAUUGAGGAUAAUAGAAUAUAUAGAAUGCUAAGCAAUUGAUCAUUAGUAAAGACGUAAGAAAUAGAUAGUGUUAGUAUUACUUGAAUAGGUAUGAUUCUAUGUGGUGUAAAUGAUAAGUAUGUCUGUGUAAGGAAAUAUUCUCAACUUUUGUAUAAGUUAUGGCUGCGAUUCCUGACUUGUGUGUUAUAAAGGAAUAGCGGAUGUUUAAAGCAGUAUGUGCUAUGGUAUGUCAAGUGAUAUGAAUAUGAGUCUAUGUUGGAUUAACGAAAUAAGUUGAUAUAAAGAUAGUAAUUAUUUAUCUGAACACUGGUUAAUACAGUAAACCGAAUUUUCAAAAUCUAAAAUUUUGAGUACAUGAUUAUUUGAAUAGAAAGUUUUGCGUUAUUUGAGAUGCAUGUACGAUAAGGCUUAGAAUGUAAGUUAAUAAGAAUAAUUUAUGAUAAUGCCAUCGAGAAGAAGAACCUGUCAAUAAAGCUAGAAGAUAACCAGACCCGCCAUAUAAUUUUGCGAAUGUGGACGCUCAAGCUAUGCAGAACGGAAUCCCAGCCGCGGGAAAUCGGCCAGAUAAUCGAUCGACAAACUUUAGAGACUUCAAGGCAAUCGUACUGCCAAGAUUUAGAAGAUCAACUGAUCCUGUUGACGCGUUUGUGAUAGUUAGGGUAACAUAGGGGCAAAAAGACAGCUUUUGCCACCUAUACGAUGAAAGGAGAUAGUUUUGAUAAUACCUGAAAUAAGCCAAGAGUGUGAUGGAAAGGAAAGUUUGUGUGUUGCAAAUGUGGACAGGAGGGAUAUAUCUCUCCUAACUCUCCCAAUCCAAAAGUGUAUAGUGGGUGUUUUAUUUGUGAGUUAAGGGAGCAUAAGGUGAAAGACUGUUUAAGAAAGAGAAGGGAGGCAAGGAAUGCGAAUACGAGGAGAGGCAGCAGGACAUUGACGACAACGAGACCAACUUCAACAAACAAACUGACGGAAUCAACCGCAAGAGUCAUCAACAUGACUGUUUAGGAUUCGGUAGCAGCCGGGGAUGCAACUCCAAGUAUUACUCGAACCAAUUUUAUUUUCUUAUAUAUGAUUUUCUUAUAUAUAUAGUAAAUUAUUUUAUAAAUUAUUUUGAAGGAGGAAUUUGAGUUCUUUUAGAAAUCAAAUUUCUGUUUAUGAAGAUAGAUAAGCUUUUUGCUGAAUAGUUAAAGAUCAGUUAGAUCAAUUAUGAUCGAGAUCUACUUGCAAUGAUUGUAUAGGUUAUGUACCCUUAUAUGUAUAGGUUUUAAAACGGUGAUUCCGGGGACGAAAUCUUUAUAAGGGAGGGUGAAUGUAAUAACCCGAUAUUUUCUAUAUAAUUAAAUCAGAAAUUUUGUGUAUGAAUUUAUUUAUUUAUUUAUUUAUUAAAGUUGGAAAUAUGUGCCAGGUAAUGUGUAUAUGUAUAUAUGUGAUAAAUAAAAUAUAUUUAUUGCAUGAAUAAUUACCAAUAGUUUUAUUUUAGAAUUAUUGCUCAUUAUAAAUUAUAUUAUAAUAAUAAUUAGUUUUAUAGUAGAAAUGUUUUUAUUAAUUCUAUUCUAUGAAAAUGUGUUUAUAUAUUAUUUAAAAAUUAUAUGAAAUGAUUAAAGACUUAUUAUAAUGAUUAUUCUGUUUUAUUAUAUGAAUUUUAGUUCAGAUUAUUUAAGUUAAUUAUUUUAACUUAAUUAUUAUUGUUAUGUAUGCAAGAUAAAUCAGAUAUGGAAUCCAAAUCCUAAUUUUGGAUUUUGAACAACGAAUGAGAAUAAUAAUAUAAUAUUAAUUAUAUUUUUAUUCUUCAGUGCUAUAAAUAUGUAUGUUAUGUUUGUAAGGUUAAUCUGGGGAGCAAUUUCCUUAUGACCUGAUAAAACCCUAAUUUGAAAGUCAAUUACGACUGUAAAAUCUGUUAAGUCAUUGUGAUAUGUGGUAUAUGAUUUGUAUUAUAAGUAUUAAUGUUAAUUAUAUAAAACCCUAAUUAGUAAUUUAAAACUCUAUUUUUCUUAUAUUAGAAACCCUAAACAGUAAUUAGCUAUCCGCUAAGUGGAAACCCUAAUUUAAAACUCAACUAUGAGUUUGAGACUAUUAUGUAACUGUGUUAUUAUGUUUAAGGUUAAGUAUUAUAGAAUUUUAUAUUAAUUAGAGAAACCCGAAUUAACAUUUAGAAAUCCUAAUUUCCAGAAACCCUAAUUUCUAAAUUAGUAAACCUAAUUUCUAAAUUAGUAACCCUAAUUUACUAAAAUAAAAUCCUAAUUGUUAAUUUAGCACGCUUAAUGAUAAUUAGUAAAAUCUAAACCUAAUUUUCAAGUCUAUGUAAUGAGGAAACCAAAUUAAUUACGAAACCUUAAUUUGUAUUUUUAGAAACUAAAAAUUUCAAUUUUUGUUUAAAUUAGAAAUCCUACAACACUUUGUGCUAAACCUUAUGGUCAAACCCUAAGGGUCAAACCCUAAGUGUUUGAUAAGUUACUAGUUUGCCCUUAAAUUGGUUAGCCAAAUGACAAAAAUACCCCUCUUGCAUUAUUGGACAUAACUUGUAAGACUAACCAAUUUUGAGUUGCUCAACAACUCUUACCAGCCCCAUUUGACUAAAAUGCCAGCAAUUAGCCAACUUGAUUUCAUGUUAUAUAUAGAGAGAUCAGGAAAGAGAAAUUUCAUUUAUUAGCCACAUUUGUACAAAAAACUCCUUACCAACUCUCUCUCUCCCAAAACCCACGAAAUGUUGUAGUAGAUCAGUCCCAUAUUAAAGCCCCACUAACACACUUAACCAAAUCAGCAGCCAGAAUCAAGAAUUGAUGUUUAAAGGUAUAAAAUCCUAAGUUAAAGUUUUGAUCUUGUAUGCUAUAUUGGAUUUAUGGUUUUUAUGUUUAAUCAUGUAGAAUAAGGUGUUAAUAGGUGAUCUGGGUUGGCACAUGUUAGAUCCAUAACAUCAAAGUGCUCGAAAUCUAAGUUUUUCAAAAUCUGGAAUUUUUUGUUUUUGUUGUCUGACAGCGAAUGUCAGGCCUUGUAGAUCUGUGCUUGUUUAUUGUUUUGAUGAUUUAAAGGUUUGAAGUGGUAGUUUGGUAUGAGGUCUUUCAUAUGAAAGUGGAAUCACUGUUAUUGGAUGUCUAGAUCGAAAGUUAUUGAUGGUCAAAAGUCGUUGACCAACCAUGACCGAGUGUAAAUCUGGGCAACCCAGAAAGCUUUUUCAGCGUCUGACAAUGUUUUGGAAGGCUUAGAUCUGUCAGUGUGUAAAUGAUUUGAUGAUGUUAUAAUAUACAGUUUAUAGCCUGUCAUAUGUACUUUAUAUUUGUGGCUUUAGAUCCUUUAAACAAACAAUUGAUCAAACUUAGUGGAUGGUCAAACUUGGCCCCUCGGUCACGAUUUCAUUUCUGGGAAUUUCCAGAAAAUCGGAAGAACAGCCCUCUGACAGGGUUUGACCAAGUUAUAUCUUGUAGAUCUGUUGAUGUUAAACUGAUUUGUUGUUAUAUUAUUGUUCCUGGACAUAAGGACUACAUCUUUGAGGCAUUAGAUCACUUGAAUCAUGAACGGAACCUAGAUUAAAUCGAGGAUGAAAGUGACUGGUCGACCACCUGGGUUUCUGGAAAACCCAGGAAUGCUCUGACAACAUAUUUGCAAGCCUAGAUCUCCUUGUGUGUUUGUUGUAUGACCUAGAUAUUGAUUGCUAGUUAUAGUGUUGUAUAAUGACUUCAAUAUUGAUGCUUAAGUUUGCCCAGAAACGAAUUAGACAGAGAAUUAUUAGUGGUCAAAGUUGACCCCUCAAACACAAAGCUAUAAGUGUUCUUGAGCUCAAGAACACCAACAGCGACGCUUACUGUCGCUAAAAGCCAAUAACGACGGUUUCUAAUACUUUUAAUUUCUGAUUUUUCGAAAAAUACUUAAAAAUAGAAAAUAAAUUAUAAAAAUUACAAAAAUGGUUUUAAAAAUUAUUUUCAAUUAUGAAAAAUAACUUUUAAUUAUUUGGGAUAUUUUUCAUUAAUAUUUAUAUAUUUUUUAAUAUUAAUAAUAUUUAAUUUAUUUAAUUAGUGUAUUAAAUAAACUAGAGAAAAAUGAUUUUAAUGUUAUAAAAAUCAAUUGAAAUAAGAAUAAAGUGUUUAAAAAUAUUUUUGAGUUAUAUAUGUAACUUUUAAUAUUUUUGUGAUGAAUUUCAUUAAUUAAUUAAUAUUGGUGAUAAUUAAGUAAUUUAAUAAAUGUAUUAAAUAAAUUAUGAAAAAUAGAAUUUGUGAUUUAAAAAUCAUAUAAAAGUGAUUUAAAGAUUAUAAAAAAAUAUUUAAAGUUAUAAAAUAUAACUUUUGAUAUUUUGUCAUGAAAAAUAUUAAUAAUUUAAUAUUAAUAAUAUUAGAUUUAUUUAAUGAUUAUAUUAAAUAAUUUAGUUUAAAAAUAAUUUUAUUAUUAUAAAAAUCAUUUUAAAUGAAAAUAAAGUGUUUAAAGAUAUUUUAAGUUAUAAAAUAUAACUUUUAAUAUUUAAAGGAUAAUUUCAUUAAUAAUUUAAUAUUAAUGAUAUUAAUUUAAGAUUUAUUGAUAUUAAAUUUAUUUAAUAAUUAUAUUAAAUAAAUAUUUUUAAAAUGGUUUUAUUAGUUUAAAAAUCAUUUAAAAGGAUAUAAUUGAAUUAAAAAUAUUUUAAGUUGGAAUUAAUGACGUUUAAUAUUUGGAUAAAUAGUAAAUUAAUAUUUUAAUAUUAAUGGUAAUUAUUUAAAAAUGAUUUUAAAUGUUUUAAAAAUCAUUUAAGGGUAGUAUUAGUACUUUAAAAAUAUUUUGAGUUAUUAUCAAUAACUUUAAUAUUUUGGUAAUGAUUAUAUUAAUAAUUUAAUAUUAAUUAAAUAUUAAUGAUAAUAUGAUUAUGUACUAUUUAAAUCAUUUAAUUAUGAUUCCAGUGUUUGAAAUUUCAUAAUAAAUUAUAAUAAAUGUUUAAAAAUUAUUAUAAGUCAUUUAAAAAUAAUAUGAUUGAUACUUGUAGAUAUUGAGAUACAAUAUAGAGUCUUAGACUCGAUAUUUACCCAAUAAAGCCGUCGGUAGACCGACAUAUUUUAAAAAUUGAUCUAGACUUAGAUAUUUGACUGUAUUAAUGUUUGUUUGUGAUUUAAUGAUUGUUGAAUAUGUGUGACAAUGUGAUUAGGUUAUGUCCUAACUGCAAUAAGAAGUGCUAUGUGUUAUAGUAUGUUAUUCUAAUCGAACAAAUGAUUUUAUUAAUGAUAGGUUUUGGUAUUAAAGAUAAAACUAAGUUGUGUAUUGUAAGUAGCAGACCAGACAAGUAUCCUAUCUUUGCAUUUUCAUUAUGCAAUGGACAUGAGUAAGAAGUUUAGAACUGUAUUACUACUGUAUCAGAUUAUUAACCCUAUUGUUAUAUAUGUUAUAUCCGAUUAUUGUUUAUCAACAUUGUGACGACCCCAAAAUAGUUAUACAACACCCAUUCUGAGUCGCCAUAAUACAUGGUACAGAAAGAAAACUACAACUUCACUAUUACAAUUGUCAUGCAAAAUACGACAACACAUACUGUGAGUUUAAAUACAAAUAUUGUCUUCUAGACAAUAUCCACAAUCAAAUAAGUCCUCAAUACAUUUAUUAAUACAUUAUUUUACAAAAAUAGUGAGGACUGCUAAAAUAACUAUCUUGAAUCAUCACUCCAUACCCCGGCUAGUCCCUGCUAUAUUCUCACCUCCUGAGAAGAAAAAUGGAACAACAAGAAAAAGGGUGAGUUCAACUAGCCCAGUAAAGAAUAUUAUGACUAAGAUAAUAUACAACAAAUUAUCAUUAGUCCUCAACAGGGAAAAAUCUGAUAGAAUAUAAUAGACAACAAGUUUUAGAUCAGCAAAUGCAGCGGAAACAACAAUCCAUUAGAAGAGUCACGUAGAGAAUGAGUUCUACUAUCUUCUAAGAUUUAAAAGUCCAUCAUCAAUAUUUUAUCCCUGUAACAACAAUCAAUAUACAUCUUUACACUACAGGCCAAAGAUAUUCAUUUAAAUCACCAGUCGGUCAUGUUCAUCUCAACACCUGUUCAUCUUUGCACUACGGGCCAAAGAUAUUCAUCAGUUUAUCAUUCAUCUUUGCACUACAGGCCAAAGAUAUUCAGUAAUAUCAUCAUUUAGGACUGAGGAUGAUGAAAAAUAUUUUUUUUUAAAGAAACGAAUCCAGUGAAACAAAAGGACAAGGAUUAAGAAUUCGUACUUUAGUUUGUCCAAAUUCAAAAAUACUCCAUAAUAAACAAUUAUGGGACAAAUUUUAAGAAUGAAGAUCAAAACAUGGAUAUAAUCAAAGCUAGUAUCAUAAUGGACAUUUUGGAUAAAAAGGAAAUUUUUUAUUUUUCGGUGAAUAAUGUCGUAUUCGUGAAUAGUGCUGUAUACGUGAAUAGUGCCGUAUACGUGAAUAGUAACCCCGACACAAAAAGUUCCAAAUUUGAUAAAAAGAUCAGAUCAAUAUUUCGACGUAAUGAUAUUGACGAAAAUAAUAUCAUUCAUGAAGAAAAUAAUAUUCCUUACCUCAAAGAAGCAGUACUUCGGAAUGAAAGGUCGGAAGUGAUGCUGAAUGAAACUUGUACUGAACAACAACUCUCAAAGUAUCUAAAUACUCACAAAAUACGCUCGAUAAUAUAGAGAGAAAGAGAGAAAGCUUAUGUUUCUUGUGUGAUUUUCAAUUCUAACUUAGCCAUCUAUUUAUAGAAAAAUGUUAACCCGCCGAAGCAGACUUGACCUGCUACCUGAUGGCUUUACCUGUUACUAUUGCCACCCACCACAUUUAAAAUUCAAUUUGAGCACAUUUCUCACCAACCACAAGUGGGGCCCAUUCAAUUCUAGAAUUUUCCACCAAAAUCAUUUAUAACCCUAAUUUCCGAAGCAGUCACCUCUUAAAAUUCAUAACAAAUCAUUCGUUCAUUUUUAACGGUUCAAAAUUUGUGGACAUAUACCCAACUUAUAUAUGUAUAACAUAACCAAAAAUCACAACAAUCCAACGGUCAGAGUAAAAAUUAUAACUCACGCAAUAUAUCGUAAAAAUACUGAUUUGAUUUUUAAUACCUCCAUUCCGACAAAAAUAUAGAUAAAACACCUCAACAUUAACUCCUUCAAUUAUAAUCACAUAAAAUAAACAAAUCCAUCAUUUAUAUAAAAUAAAUAUUUCCUUAUCAUAUAAAUCAAUAAUUAAUUAUUCACAAAUAAUAUUAUAGAAUCACAAUUAUGACAACCAAGCCGUUUCCAGGAAAGAGGGGGCUUUCCAAUAAGGAUUUCUCCUUACUGGCGCGCAAUUAGAUGACCUAACCUCUCCUUAACAGAACUUUCUAGACAUUGCCAAUAAUGCUAUCUAAUAAUAUUAUUAAAGCAAUAUGAAUUAUUGAUCUGAUAAUGGGAAAUACUGUGCAGUAACAAUAAUUGAAAUAAUAAUAAUAUAAAAUAUCAACGCAGCAAUUAUUGAAUCAAUAAAAUAAAAUAUUAAACAGUAACUACUGUAACAAUUAUUGAGUAGUGCCUUCUUACGUAAGAAUCAAUAAUUCAACUAUACUGUGUAAUACCGUGUGCUACUGUGCAACUACGCGUAUUACUGUAUUUUAACCACCAGGUAAUCCAACAGUGUUAACGGUAACAACUGCGCCGUUAUUUAUAAAAACACAUACUUGUCGUUUUCCUUCAUCCAACCAUUUUUCAUUAUGGGGCCCACAAAUGGCUGCGCCGUCGUACGAAUAUUCCCUGACAGCAAGAAUAUUCCACGACGAAACGAAUAUUCCCCGACAACAAUGAAUAUUUUAUAACCACUUGCUUAUUUUGCAAAAUUUGCUUAUCUCAUCCAUAACCAAAAUAUUAUAUCAAAUUAACACCUUAUUAUUCACAAUAAUAAUAAUUAGAGGAAAUUCAAUUUCAUUUAUAAAAAGUUGGGGUCUUACAAACAUGAUAUUAUAUUAUAUAAUUCAGAUAUAUAUUCUGUUCGUUAAUUUCUAAAAAUGAUUUAAUCACAUGUUGAUAUAUAUAUAUAUAUAUAUAUAUAUAUAUAUAUAUAUAUAUAUAUACCUAUUGAACCCCAGUAUGUAUACAUUAAGUAAAAGUCGUCUAAGCUAUUCAACUAGCUAGACACAGAUUUAGAUAUAUCAUUGAAUAUGAUAAAACUUUUUUGUAUCCAAUCAAAUUGUUUUGGUUCGGAUUCCAGACUAAGUAUGAACAUCCAGAACAUGGGAAAACUUUUAUGCACCUAAGACGGACAGAGUGAAUGAUAAUAUCGUUCUUGCAUGCAGUAUUGAUCAAUACAGGGUCCUUGGGAUGUACACCCUCGUGCCCAUAAGUUAUGACGGUUUGCAAAUGAAGUUCUACUUUACCUUUUUGAAAAUAGAAAAUAAUGUUCAUAAUAUGUCACCCUAACCCUAUAUAUAGUCAAUACGUAGUUUCAAAAAUGUGAGAUAGAGUUGUUAUGUUAUUAUUAUCGGUUUAGUUUACUUCACAACUAUUGAAUCGUUGUAGAAGUAAUGUACAAAGAAAACAUUUAAUUCUUUCAGAUAAUUAUAUUUAUAAUUGUUAUUACUUGCUGGGCACUCAAAUGCUCAUCCUUGCUUAAUUUAAAUGUUUUCAGCUAAGCGUGAUCAAUCUGAAGGUUUAGACAAUAAUAAGUGAAAAGGAAAGCAAACAGAAUAUGUUUAACGGUAUCUUUUGUAAUAGUUAAACUGUAUUAAGAUAAUGAUAUGUAUUAUCUAUCAUGUAAAGAAUUAUAGUAAAUGUUGCGUACUUGGGAUUAGACUAUGAUAUUUGUAAAUUAAGUUUGAUUUUUAUAUUAUUGUUAUUAUUAUUAUUAUUAUUAUUCUGCUCAUAAAAAUGGUAUCGUGAAGCACCGAGUUCGGGUUUCAAGUACCUAAAUUUGGGGGCGUCACAAAUAUGGCUCAGUUAUUGGAGCGCGAUAAUGAGUCAACCCAACCAAGAGAGAGUAGCCGACAAAAUGAUAAUACCAGUGGUAGCAGUCAUCGAAGCGGUGUCAACAAACGUGGAGGGAAUCAACAUGCUAGAAAUGGUAACCACUUCGGUAGUAAUCAUGGCGAAGAUAAUAAAAAUGGAAAUUUCAAGAAGAGGAGAAUCAACAAUGAUGGAAAGACGUCAGCACCAGAACCCGUUGGUAAGGAAGGAGAACGACCAGCGAUCGUAUGCUACAAAUGCGGAGGGGAGGGAUACAUCAGUCCAAACUGUGCGCAGCCGUCCAAAAUGUAUUAUAAUUAUGGAAGAGAAGGUCACCUAGCUCGAUUUUGUCUUGCAAGGAAGCCAAGUCAAGCUGGGAUGGAGGCACCAAAGGUCAUCCCAGAAAAGUCAAAACCAGUAGUUCAAGGGAGAGCGUUUUUCGUGACCUCCCAGAAAGCAAGGAACCUGAACGAGGUUAUCAUGGGUAAGCUAAUCAUAAACUCUAGCGAAGUAUAUACCUUAUUUGAUAACGGUUCUACCCAUUCUUUUAUUUUACUAUUGGCACUCAACGUUUAAAUUUAACUCUGGAGAAAUUAGACUUUGACUUAUCUGUUAAAACUCCGUUGGGAGAAACCUUCAUUACAUCCACUGUUUAUAAGUCUUGUUUAGUUCAAAUCGGUACCCUCACAUUACCUGUCGAUCUUAUUUCUUUAAAAAUACUUGCAUUUGAUGUGAUUUUAGGGAUUGAUUGGUUAACUACUCAUCAUGCAAAAAUUGAUUGUUUUCGUAAGGUUGUUAGCUUUCAUAUUCCUAACCAACCUAUUAUGCGAAUUCAAGCAACCAAACCACUAAAGUCAAUCACUGUCAUAUCAAGCCAUAAAGCUAUUCAUUUAUUGAAAAAUAGAUGUCAAGCUUUCUUAGCCCAUGUCACAAAUUUAAACAAAAAUACGUCAUAUUUGAAUGAUAUUUCUAUUGUUAAUAAAUUUCCAGAUGUAUUCCCUGAAGAACUUCCUGGCCUACCCCCAGAGCGUAAAAUUGAGUUUGUAUUGACCUCGAACUCGGUAAAAGACCCAUUUCCAAAGCCCCAUAUCGAAUGGCUCCUAUUGAACUUCAGGAGUUAAAAACCCAACUGCAGGAGUUGUUAGACAUCUGUUUCAUUUUUCCUAGUACGUCUCCUUGGGGUUCUCCUGUUCUAUUCGCAAAGAAGAAAGAUGGGAGUAUGCGACUUUGUAUUGACUAUCGGGAGUUAAAUCAUGUCACUAUCAAAAAUAGGUACUCGUUGCCUCGCAUUGAUUACCUGUUUGACCAGUUGUAAGGAGCCAAAUUCUUUUCAAAGAUCGAUCUUCGUUCUGGAUAUCACCAGUUAAAGAUUAAAACUGAUGACAUCCGAAAGACUGCUUUCAGAACUCGGUACAGGCAUUAUAUAUGAAUUCCUAGUCAUGCAUGUCCGUUGGAUUGACUAAUGCUCCUGCUGCUUUCAUGGAUAUGAUGAACCGAGUAUUCAAGGAAUAUUUGGAUCAUUUUGUGGUCAUUUUUAUUGAUGACAUCCUCAUAUACUCCAAAAUCCGUGAAGAUCAUGAGCAACACUUGAGGUUUAUACUUCAAAAGUUUCGUGAAAACAAGCUUUAUGCCAAGUUGAAGAAAUGCGAGUUCUGGCUUAAGGAAGUGGCAUUCCUUGGGAACGUGAUAUCAAUUCACGGAAUAUCUGUUGACCCAUUGAAGAUUAAAGCAAUUCAGAGCUGGGAGCAACCUAAGUCAGUGACCGAAGUACGUAGCUUUCUGGGCUUAGCUGGUUAUUAUCGGAGAUUCAUGGAUGGAUUUUCUCGAAUUGCUACUCUAUUAACUCAGCUGACUCGAAAAGAUACAAAAUUCGGUUGGAGCGAGGAAUGUGAGAAAAGUUUUCAAGAACUCAAGAGAAGACUCAUUUCAGCACCUGUUCUGAUAAUACCAUCUGGCUCGUAGGGAUUUAUCAUCUACAAUGAUGCUUCAGGCAAAGGGUUAGGAUGUGUUCUCAUGCAACAUGGGAAAGUCAUAGCCUAUGCAUCAUGACAACUCAAAGAAUAUGAGAGGAAUUAUCCUACUCAUGAUCUAGAGUUGGCAGCUGUCGUUUUUGCGCUUAAGAUUCGGAGGCAUUACCUGUAUGGAGAGAAUGUGGAGAUCUAUACGGAUCAUAAAAGCCUCAAAUAUUUCUUCACUCAAAAGGAGCUCAACAUGCGACAACGACGUUGGCUUGAGCUAUUGAAAGACUACGAUCAUACCAUUUAAUACCAUCUUGGAAAAGCGAACGUAGUAGCUGACGCAUUGAGUAGAAGAUCAUAUGCGGGUACGAGUGCGAUAUUGUUAACGCAAAGACCCAUUUUGUAUGACUUACAAAGGAUGGAAAUAGAGUUAAAGACUCUAGGGACCCAAGUGAUGAUGGCAAAUAUACGAUUAGAACCGACUUUAAUCGAUAAAGUUAAAGCUGCUCAACUUACGGACCUGGAGCUGAUGCGUAGUAGGAAGAAAGUACAAGGUGCUAUCCUGGAAGCAAGAAUCGAUGAAGAAGGAAUACUAUGAGUCAACUCUAGACUUUGUGUUCCUAACGACCCUAAUUUAAAGUAUAAAAUCAUGAUGGAGGCGCACAACACACCGUUUGCAAUCCAUCCUGGGAGUACCAAAAUGUAUCGUGAUCUUCGACAUAUAUUUUGGUGAAGUAAUAUAAAGAGAGAGAUAACAGAGUUUAUCUCAAGAUGUUUAACUUGUCAACGUGUCAAGGCGGAGCAUCAAGUGACAAAAGGUCCAUUGCAACCACUUGAAAUUCUAGAAUGGAAGAGGGAGCACAUUACCAUAGAUUUUGUUAUUGGUCUUCCCAAGGUUUCUCAAGGCAUAGUUGCAAUUUGGGUCAUUGUUGAUAGAUUGACCAAGUCUGCUCAUUACUUACCUAUACGAGAAACCUAUACACUUGAACGUCUUGCUCGUAUAUACAUAAACGAGAUUGUAAGACUGCAUGGUAUACCAGUAUCCAUAGUUUCUGAUCGAGACCUAAGAUUACUUCACGAUUUUGGGUCAGUUUGCAGAAAGCUAUGGGCACGGAUUUGCGAUUCAGUUCUUUGAUGCCCCCAAAAUAGGUAUACAUCACCCAUUUUGAGUCGCCAGAUACAUGGUACAAAAUUCAAAUACAACUUAAUUAUACAACAGUCGUGUAAAUACGACAAAACAUAAUCUAAGAGUUUUAAUAAGAAUAUUGUCCAUCUAACAAUAUCCACAAUCAAUGGAGUCCUCAUUACAUUUAUAAUCACACUAUUUCACAGAAUAGUGAGGACUACUAAUACAAACAUCUGGACCGUCACUCUGUUCCCCGACUAGACCCAGCUACGUUCUCAUUUCCUGAAGAGAACCAUGAAAGAAAAGGGUGAGCUCAACUAGCCCAGUAAGAAAUAUUAUGACUAAGAUAAUGCAAAAUAAAUUAUCCUUAGCCUUCAACAGUAUAACAACUGAUAGAAUAUAAUAGACAACAAGUUUUAGAUCAAAAACUGCAGCGAAAUAAGCAAUCCAUUAGAAGAGUCAAGUAGAGCAUAAAAUCUACUAUCUUCUAUGAUUUAAAAAGUUUUUCAAAAUUUUUAUCGCUGAGACUCAGCUUAAUAUAUAUAUAUAUAUAAAAGCAAUAAACGCACCGGAUGUAGACUUACAGUGGACUGCCAAAGUAGACUUCUUGGACUGCAAAUGGAUGAACACUCGUCUCUCGCCGGACUAAAAGUAGCUAUAUACGAGCUAACUAGUGUUUAAAGAAAAGGAAACACUCAAAAGAUGUGUAUGCAGAGCUAAACGGACAGGGCUUCCUCGCCUUUUUCCCUCUCUUCCUUCUCUCAAAUGGCUGACCCCCCCUCUAUAUUUAUAGACGGAUGGCCGCAGGUCUACCUGCGGCUGGUCGUGGUGGGCCCGGGCAUCGCGGGUCUCGUCGUCUUGUAGUACGUGCACUUGCGCACGGUAAUGUCCAAUCGAACUUUCAGAACUUCAAUCCUAGCAUCCAAACGAAGCGUGUCUGUACUUCUUCGGACCGCUGGUGUCGAGAGUUACGUAAUGACAUGGAUUAGAGGUUGUACGAAGUCAGGAAGCGGGGUAUAUGCCCAUGGUCUUCAGGCUUCAAAUUCUAUCCAAAGUAUUGUCACAGGUAAUAGUCACUCGGGAUUGUCAUUCCUCGGUUAUUUGGGACAUUGUUGUAUGUAUGUAUGUCUGAAAGGUUGAGACGACGUGCCAUUUGUUGGACGAACAAGAUGAUGUUUGACUCUUUGCCGGAGUUAUCGCCUGGUUGAGCUGAAAGUAACCGUUGCUCAGGUUACAUCUGAGAUUGGACUACUUGUUGGUAUGCUGCUAUAUCAUCUUGUUACGAGAUGACGUUGGUGACUCCUCACCGGGUUUAUCGCCGGUUUAAGCGGAAAGCAGACGUUGAUCAGGGUUACAGCUAAGAUUGGACCGCCUAUUUGUAUGCCUCACUGUCAUCUGUGAUUGAAGCUGAUUGCAUGUGUUUGCAACAAGCAAUUCUGGAGUUAUCGCCGGAACUGCGAUGGCAUCACUUGGGGUUAUCACCAAGGAUGGGACUACUACUCCCAAUGUUGUCUCUGGGACUGGAACUGAACGUCGCGGUGUCAUCACCGAGACAGGACUGUCCUCUCCGGUGUUGUUGCCGGUCUUUUGAUCUGCACAUCUCGGGGUUAUCUCCGAGAUUGGAAAUGACGUGCCCGGUGUGUGUUCCGGGUUUGGAACCGAUGCUCCCGGUUUGUGUUCCGGUUUGGAGCGAAACUUCCGGUAGUAUCUGGACUUGUUGUGAGCUGUCUUUCAGGGUUAUCUCCAAAAGACGAAUCUACCCUCCUGCAAUGUUAGUAAUAGGAGUGCAGAAAAUUUCGAGUGUCUACAACACCUAGCAACCCAGAUCAUCACUAUAGACUAAAAACAACAUAUUCUAACACCCAAACAUAACAUUUAACAACAUAUCAAAGGUCAGAUUUUUAGGUUUAGUGUUAUACCUUCUUGCUCAAUUUCUUGAUUUUAUGUUACUGAUUUGUUAUGGGAUUUCGUGGGGCUUGAAAAUGGGACAAAAAUGCUAUAGAUUUUCGUUGGUUCUAGUGAGAGAAGCUCUUGGUUGAGUGUUGUGCAAUUUUUAGUGAACAAAUGCAUUUUCUCUAUCCUUAAAUCUAUUUAUAGACAAAUUAGAUACAUGAAUGGCUGAGCUAGAACUUGUUGUUGUCAAUUUAGUGUCACAUGGCUACUCUAGGGUUAGCCAACCACUCCAUCUAGACCUAUUUCUACAAGCAAGCUUCAAUAAUACAAUAGGGCACAAAAGUCUUUUGGCUAGCAAUUUUAAGGGCAUUUUUAUAACUUGUCAAACCCUUAGGGUUUAACCCUUAGGGUUUAGCACAUAACACAAAUGAUUUUUAGCAACUUAGGGUUUGAAUAAAAUAAAAUUAUUUUAGCUUCUAAAAUUUGAAAAUCAAGAUUUGUUAAUUAGAUUAAGUUAGUAAUUAUAUUAUACAUGAACAUUAGGGUUUAGUACCACUAAUCAUAAUUAACCUUGCCAAAAUAGCAAUUAGGGUUUAAGAUUUUAAUAAUUAGGAUUUCUAAAACUCAAUUAGGAUUUUCUAAUUAUCCAAUUAGGGUUCUGAACAUUAGGGUUUUAAUUUAAUAAUUAUGUUUACCAUAAUUAGCAAUUAAAGUCUAUUGUACGUGUUAUUAAUCACAGUAACAUAAUUUUUGACAGAUAAAAUUCUUCAGUUUAAGUUUUGAUUUAGGGUUUCUAAUAUCAGAAAUUCAAAUCUAAUUAGGGUUUGACAUUUAUAAUUAGGGUUCCCUAAUUGGCAUAUCAUUAUGUAACACAACAUAUAACACAGUUAUAUAACAGUCUCAAAUUUCCCAUUUAAAUUGAAAAACAGGGUCAAACCAAUUAAUGCUAGGGUUUGGUCAAUAUACACCAUAAUUGACCAACCAUCAACAGUACGUACAUACAGUACAUAUUUAUGGCACUGAGAAAUUAAAAUAUUAUAAUAUUAUAUAUUAUUCUCAUGCCUUGAUCAAAACCCAAAAUUAGAGUUUGGAUUCCGUAUCUGAUUUAUCUGCCAUAAAUAACCUUAUUAAUUAAGUUAAAAUAAUUAACUUAAUAAUCUGAACAAAAUUCAUAUAAUAAAAUAAUUAUUAUAAUUAUUCUAACAUCAUUUCAUAUAUUACUUAUAUUUUCAAGGAAAAUAAUUAAUAAAACAUUUCUAAUAUAAAAUUAACUGUUAUAAGAAUAUAAUUUAUAAUAAUUAAUAUUUCUAAAAUAAAUCAAUUUGUAAUAAUUAAUGUAAUAAAUUUUAUUUAUCACACAUAUAAUUAUACACAUAUUACCUUGGCACAUAUCACCCAUAUUUAUUUUAAUAAAUAAUAAAAAAAAAAUUUAUACGCAAAAUUUAUGAUUUAUUUAUAUAGAAAAUAUCGGGUUGUCACAUUCUUCACAUUCAUCAGAUUCGGGUGUGUAGCUUGAGCGGCUUUAACUUUAUCGAUUAAAGUCGAUUCUGCUCGUAUAUUCGUUAUCUUCACGUGGGUCCUUAGAGUCUUUAACUCUAUCUUCAUCAUUUGUAAGUUAUACGAAAUGGGUAUUUGUGUUAACAACAUCGCACUUGUAAACACAUACGAUCUUCUACUCAAGGCGUCAGCUACUACGUUCGCUUUUCUACGAUGAUAUUGAAUGGUAUAGUCGUAAUCUUCAAUAGCCCGAGCCAACGUCUUUGGCGCAUGUUACGUUCGUUUUAAGUGAAGAAAUAUUUGAGGGUUUUAAAAAUGGGUUUUGUACUGGGGUCAAUACAAAAUUUGAUUUCACGCUCUAGGGGUAGGCUAAGAAGUCUUCAGGAAUACGUCAGGAAACUUAUUAACGAUAGAAAUAUCAUUCAAAACUGUGACUCUCAUCCCAAGACUUGGAUAGCCCGUCAUAUUGAUACCUAUCAACUUGCCACCGUUAUUCACGGCGUCCCCUACGGAUAGUCUGGCUUCGGUGUAUUCCAAGACUUGGAAGUCAUCAGCGAAAGGCUUAGGUCUCUUUACUUAUGGCUUGAUAUGACAAUGAUUGGCUUUAGUGGUUUGGUUGCUUGAAUUCGCAUAACAGGUUGGUUAGGAAUAUGAAAGCUAACAACCUUACGAAAAGCAUGAUGAGUAGUUAACCAAUCGACUCCUAAAAUCACAUCAAAGGCAAGUAAUUUCAAAGAGAUAAGAUCGACAGGUAACGUGAAAGUGUCGAUUUGAAUUAAACAAGAUUUAUAAACAGUGGAUGUAAUUAACGAAGGUUUCUCCUAACAUAGUUUCAACCGAUAAGUCAAAGUCUAAUUUCUCCGGAGUUAAGUUCAAACAUUGAACACAACUAGGUGAAAUAAAAGAGUGAGUAGAACCGGUAUCUAACAAGGUAUAGACUUCGCAAGAGUUUAUGAUUAACUUACCCGUGAUAACUUUAUUCAGGUUUCUCGUCACGAAAAACGCUCUCUCUUAAACUACUGAUUUUGACUUGUCUGGGACAUCCCAGUUGGACUUAACUUUGCUGUAGAGUACAUUCCACCCUUAAUUGCUUCAUCACAUUCCUGAUCCAUGAUUCGAAUCAUUACUCUCUGAUCCAUAUCGAAUUGGGGUUAACCGCUCUGCACAGGGUAAUUUCGAAUUCGAUGUUGGAUUCUCCCAAUUGUUGUCCAAAAAGCAAAAUCCAUUUCAUCUAUUUUAGCCUUAUUGGAUCUGACGUCUUUUUCUACAAUAUCUACACGUCGUGCGACUUUUACCCAUGCAUCAUCUAUUCUCAUUCGUUCAGUUGUUUUUUCUUUCAUCAGAACUUUGAUCAUAGCAUUCUUAAAUUCCAGCUCUAAUAUCUUAUACUCUGCCAAAGAGUGCUUCUGUUCGAGCAUCGUACAUCGGGUAACACAAUUUUGAAUUGCUACAUCUCUUUGCUCCACGACCGCCUGUCGUUCUUCAGCCUGCUCUUCUAGCUCAUGAAUACAAUUUUGUAAUUCUAAAUUUCGAUCAUAAAAUUCUUCUAAUAAAUUCACCUCAGGUUCCUCUUCUUCCUCACUCUCAGCUGCUACCUCUGCAACUAGCUCGAGUGCAACUAUUAGUUCUUCACUCACCAUGUAGAUAUCUCUAAUUUCUUCUUCGUUUGACAUCACAUUAACCUGGUUAGUGAUUAAAGGUGUCUCAACGAUCUCAUUCACUGCAUUGUUAAUAUUUUUAGCCGCCAUUUUUAAAUACUGUCAUAAAACAAGGGUGAAUUAACAUAUCACAUAUUAUCAAUAUAUUAUGACCGACCAAUUAAAUACCAAAUAAACUUAGGUAGGUCAUACUAGCAAAGGAAUUCCCCGUCUCUCCCCUCCUAGUUCUUGUCUCACAUCUCAGCCAGGGAUCAUAUCCCUAAGCUUUGAUACCAACUGUGACGCCCCCAAAACAGGUAUUCAUCACCCAUCUUGAGUCGCCAAAUACAUAGUACAAAAUUUAAAUACAACUUAAUUAUACAACAGUCGUGUAAAAUACGACAAAACAUAAUUUAAGAGUUUUAAUAAGAAUAUUGUCAUCUAGACAAUAUCCACACUCAAUGGAGUCCUCAUUACAUUUACUGUCACACUAUUUAACAGAAUAGUGAGGACUACUAAUGCUAACAUCUGGACCGUCACUCUGUUCCCCGACUCGUCCCAGCUAUAUUCUCAUUUUCUGAAGAGAACAGUGAAAGAAAGGGUGAGCUCAACUAGCCCAGUAAGAAAUAUUAUGACUAAGAUAAUGCAAAAUAAAUUAUCAUUAGCCUUCAAUAGUAUAACAACUGAUAGAAUAUAAUAGACAACAAGUUUUAGAUCAAAAACUGCAGCGGAAUAAGCAAUCCAUUAGAAGAGUCAAGUAGAGCAUAAAAUCUACUAUCUUCUAUGAUUUAAAAAGUUUUUCAUCAUUUUUAUCGCUAAGACUCAACUUAAUAAAUAAAAUUGAAUCAUCCCUGCACCACAGCGAAGUUUAUUCAUGUAAUCAUCAAUGGUCAUGACUAUACCGAAUAAUCCCUAGUCAUAAUCAUACCAACAACUGUCCACCAAUGAAUUACAUGCCAAUGAUGACUUUUACCACAUCAUUCGUCACAUUACAGUCAUGAUUAUACCGAAUAAUCCCUGGUCAUAAUCAUACCAAGUCCAUCUAUGCACGUAAGUCAAAGAUGACUAUCAUCACAAUAUAAGCAUGAAGAUGAUAACAAUGACAUAAUAAUUCAAUAAAACAAGUUCAAGGAUAAAUUUUAAAGAUUUAUAAUUUAAUUUAUCCAGGAAUCAAUAACGUCUAAUUUGUCAACAUGAUACUGCUUUGUGGAGUAAAAUUCAAGAAUGCUCAGAAGAAUAUUUCUAUGAAAAGAUACUGGAUGAAGUGCAAAUAUCUAGGAUAUUCUACUAAUUUUAUGGAGUAUAGAAGCCAAAACUUUAACCAACUGAGUAUAAUAGAAUAUAUGAAGCUGUAAAUGGAUUUUCGCCCGCCAUGCGGUAAUCCAUGUAGACAGAUCAUUUCCACAUUUUAAUAAGGAAUGAAUACGAAGGAUCAUUCACCAUGCAUGCGAUAAUCCACAUAGACAUGUUAUUCCAACAGAAUAACAAAGUAUGGAAUAACAGAAGAAUUCACCAUGCAUGCGAUAGACCACACAGACAGGUUAUUCCAACAGAAUAAUAAAGAAUGAAAUACUAAAAGAAUUCACCAGGUGUGCGUAGUCCGCACAGACAGGUUAUUCCAGCAGAAUAAUAAAGAAUAGAAUAACAGAAGAAUUUACCAGGCGUGCUUAAUCCGCACAGACAAGUUAUUCCAACAGAAUAAUAAAGAAUGGAAUAACAGAAGAAUUCUCCAGGCGUGCGUAAUCUGCACAGACAGGUUAUUCAACCAGAAUAAUAAAGAAUGGAAUAAUAGAAGAAUUUUGCCACGCAUACGGUAAUCCGUGUAUACAGGUUAUUCCAACAGAAUAAUAAAGAAUAGAAUAACAGAAGAAUUUCACCACACAUACGGUAAUCCGCGUAUACAUGUUAUUCCAACAGAAUAAUAAAGAAUGGAAUAACAACCCUGACAAGUAUUGAAAGAAAUAACUCUCUUAAUAAAUACGAAAGAAAUAAUACCCCUUACCUUAGAAGAAAACUAGAAUAGUGAGGUAGCAGACUUCUCUUCUUCUUUCUCUCUAUAAUUUCUCUCUAUAAUAAUUUCUCUAUAGCUUUAGUGAAUUGGUGAACAAUAAUGAAGGAAUGAGCUUCUAUUUAUAGAAAAAUAUAGUUUCAACAAUUGCACAUUUUGGGGCUCAAAAAAUUACAGUAUAAUAUCUUCUUCUUUUUCUUCAUUUUUAAUUUAGUCCUGCAAGUAUUAUCAAACUUGCACCACCUCCUCUUGGAAGUCCUUGAAUCAAUCAGCUCGAAACAAUCCUUCUUGGACUCAAAUUCUAGUUAAAAUUACCUUUUCUACGCGUACCCAAGCCCCAGCUUGGGUAUUGCCUUGUAAAUAGUAAGCCCCGGCUUGCUAUGCUUCUGAUUUUGAACUCAGGACCCCAAGCCCCGGCUUGGGUAUAAAGCUUAAAAGAGCAAGCCCCGACUUGGGUGCAAGCUGCUAAUAGUUUUUUCUGCUGCAGUGUCCUCAGGUAAAAUGGCCAUAACUUUUGAUCCGGGAGGAGUUACGGGGCCUGCCACCUAUCAAAUCAAAGAUAUCGACGAGAUCUACAACUUUCAUUCUUUGAGAAUUGAGUAAUAACGAACGAAUGAAGGUAGAAAUUGGACUAGAAAUGACUGUUAUGCAAAUGGCCACCCAAAAUAGCGAAGUUAUUCAACAGUCUCCUGUGCUCCAUUGAUAUUCUCAACAUUCUCGGUUGUCAUUUUCAAAUACUGCCACAAAACAAGGGUUAAAUAACAUCACAUAUUAUCUCUAUACUCUGACCGACCAAUUAAAUACCAAAUAAACUUAGGUAGGUCAUACUAGUUCCCCGUCUCUCCCCACCUAGUUCUUAUCUUACAUUUUAGUCAUGGAUCAUAUCCCUAAGCUUUGAUACCAACUGUGACGCCCCCAAAAUAAGUAUACAUCACCUAUUCUGAGUCGCCAAAUACAUGAUAUAAAAUACAAAUACAAUCUUAAAUAUACAACAUAAGUUGUGAGUUUUAAUACAAACAUUGUCUUCUAGACAGUAUUAAAACUCAAAAUAAGUCAUCAAUACAUUUAUUAACACACUAUUUCACAGAAUAGUGAGGACUACUAAUGCUAUCCUCUGGACCAUUACUCCAUUCCCCGACUCGUCCCAGCUAUAUUCUCAUUUCCUGAAGAGAACAAUGAAAGAAAGGGUGAGCUCAACUAGCCCAAUAAGAAAUAUUAUGACUAAGAUAAUGCAGAAUAAAUUAUCAUUAGUCUUCAACAAUGUUAAACUGAUAAAAUACAAUAACUGCAGCGAAAUAAGUAAUCCAUUAAAAGAGUCAAGUAGAGAAUAAAAUCUACUAUCUUUUAUGAUUUAAAAGGAUUUUCAUCACUUUUAUCGCUGAGACUCAGUUUAAUAAAUAAUCCACAUCAUCGAAUCACCCCUGCACUACGGCCAAGGAUAUUCUUUAGUAUUACAACCAUAAAUAUCCAUGCACUACGGGCCAAGGACAUUCGUGUAUUCAUUAAUGGUCAUGAUCAUGCCAAAAACUGUCCAACAAUACACUACGGUCAAUGAGGACUUUUACCACAUCAUUUGUAACAUUACGGUCGUAAUUAUACUGAAUAAUCCCUGGUUAUAAUCAUACCAAGUCCAUCUAUACACUACAGGCCACAGAUGACUUUCAACAGAAUAUAAACAUGAGGACGAUGACAAUGAUAUAUGAAUUCAAUAAAACAAGUUCAAGAAUUUAUUUGUCCAGGAACCAAUAACGUCCAAAUUGUCAACAAGAUACUGUUUUGUGGGAUAAAAUUCAAGAAUGCUCAGAAGAAUAUUUUCAUAAAAAGAUAUUGGAUGAAGCGCAAAUAUCAAGGAUAUUCCACUAAUUUCAUGGAGUAUAGAAGUCAAAACUUUAACCAACUGAGUAUAAUAAAGAAUGAAAUAACAAAAGAAAUCACCAUGCACGUGGUACUUCGCAUAGACUGGUUAUUCCAACAGAAUAAUAAAUAACGGAACCAGGUUAGGCAAAAUUCGCACCGAUAGGAUGUUCCAACUGAAUAAUAAAGAAUGGAAUAACAACAGAAAUCACCAUGCAUACGGUACUUCGCAUAGACAGGUUAUUCCAACAGAAUACUAAAUAACAGAACCAGGUCCGGCGUAAAACGCACAGACAGGAUAUUCCAACACAAUAAUAAAGGCGGAACCAGGUCCGGCGUAAAAGUCACAGACAUGAUAUUCCAACAGAAUAAUAAAUACGGAACCAGGUCCGGCGUAAAACGCACAGACAGGAUAUUCCAACAGAAUAAUAAAGAAGAAAAUAACAGAAGAAUUUCAUCAAAUAUAGGGUAGCCCGCGUAUACAGGUUAUUCCAACAGAAUAAUAAAGAAUGGAAUAACAGAAGUUCUCUUCAUGAAUACAAAAGAAAUAAUACCCCUUACAGUUACAACAAAUAAUAUCCAUUACCGUAAAAGAAACUGGAUAUAGGAAAAUAAAGUUAGCAGACUUCUCUUCUUCUUUCUCUCUAUAAUUUUCUCUCUUUAAAGUUUCAGUGAAUUCGUAAGAAAUAAUGAAGGAAUGAACUUCUAUUUAUAGAAGAAUGGACUGCAUAGUAACUAAUUCAUGAACGGUCCAGAUUGAUUUACUUUUAAUCGAACGAUCCAUAAUUAAAGCAAAGUUUUUUAAAUAAAAUAUAAUAUAUUAUAUAUAUAACAUGUGCAAGAAAAGAAAAAUCACGGGUGGAAGACCCGUGAAUUCAUCUUACUCCCUCUGUCCAUUUUUUCAAACUUACAUAUAUAUAAUAUAAUAUAAUAUAAUAUACAUAAUAAUACUCCUCCCGUCCAUUUCAUCCAUACCCCCCCACCCAAGACUUUUCAUCACAUAUAUAAUAUAAAACAUAUAUAUAUAUAUAUAUAUAUAUAUAUAUAUAAUACUCCCACUAACUUUUCCUUCAACCAACCCGUGACAAACAUAACAUUUCACCCAAGACUUUCCUCCACAAAUGGGCCCCACCCGUGGCCCUCCUAAAAUAACUUCUAUCGAUUAUUUUGAAAACUGGAUAAAUAGGGAUCCAUAAAAUACGUCAAAAUUCACAACAAUUACUAUAACAAUAAUUGAACAAAACUGAGUAGUUCAACAGUAUUAACGGUAAAACUUCCGCCGUUACUUUCAAUAAAAUAUUUUUGUCGUUUUCUCAAUCCGACAAUAAUUCUGUUGUGGGGUCCACCAAUGAUUGUACCGUCGUACGGAUAUUCCCUGACAAAAAGAAUAUUUCCCGACCAAUCGAAUAUAAUAUGACAACUUGCAUACUUUGCAAAAUUUAUAAAUAUUACCCACAAUUAUAAUAUUAUAUCAAAUUAUUCCAUAAUAUUCAAAAAUGAUAUUUAUUGAAAAUUCAUUUUUAUUCAUAAAAGUUGGGGUCUUACAGUAGUUAAAUUCUUAUUUUUGACAUUUUUCAAAUAUUUCAUCCAUGCUUUUACAAUAGACAUCUUUCACUUUGAUGGCGUUUGACAUGCUUACAACAAGUAAUAGAAAUCAUUUUACAGUCAUUAUUUGCAUUAAUCAAGCAUGUUAGUCACAUAGUCAAGUCGUAGUUUCAAUGGUAAUGAAUAGAUUUCUUAUAUGUAAUACAUUUUUCAAAUAUCUCAUCCAUGCUUUUAUCAUCACCAUUUUUCUCUUUGAUGGGGUGUAGUAUGAUAAUAACAUGCAACCAUACAUAUGUAUAGUUACACCAUAUUAAGAACUUAGUUACAUGAAGUUUUCAUGCUUUGCUUAGAGACUUCUAGCAUACAAGGUGCUUUUGUAACUUAUUUUAUGCCUUUGAAAAUAUUCACAACUUGGUUGAGUAAUUUAUAGUUCUUAUAACACUUUUUAGCUUUAUUCUUGUAUACAAAAGUGUAUCAUUCUUGAUUUUCCUCUCUUUCCCAAAAUAGUCCUAACAUGAUCUAUUUGGGGCAAUCAAGCUAGCUUCUCUUGACCAUUUGGGCUUAGUCAGGCUUGGGGUAGCCUAGAUUGGCCUUGCAGUCCCAAUUGGCCUCUAUCUAUGGCAUGAUUUUAUUAAUACCCUCUUCUAUUAAGGUUUACUCUCACCUAUAUCACCAUUUGAUUCUGUUAUUUAUAGGUGAGGAUUUCUUUGAACUGCUACAUGUUUGCUACUUACUUGAUUUUGUUUUCUUUCCGUUUGUAGCUAACUACUCACUAGUAGCAGCUCUCUACUUUAGAUACUAAAUUUACUAGCUUUUAAUCUCCCACUAAACUUUUGGGUCAGCAGCUAGGGGACACAACUCCCUAAUAAUAGAGCAUAUUGGUUAAUUAUCUUAAGCAAUAUAGUUGUAUUGUCUGAAGGUCUAAAGGACAAGUUCAUUACCCAGCUCAGCUACUGUUGCUAUUAGUUGUUAUUUUUCAGUAAUAGAUUGACAGUCUUCAAACUUACCAUGUUUCUUCUUUAAUAACUUUUGUCUAGAAAAUUUCUAUUGCACUAUGUGCACCUUUGAAUACUUGCUUAAAUAAGUAACAAUUACACUCUAUUUAAUUCUGCAGUUUGCAUUUCAAAUCCAAACUACGUUGCCUAUAGCAGUUUAUUGAGGAUGUUUAUUAUUGCCUUAUAGCAACAACCCCCCCUAUUUUGUAAAAUUUCCCAAAUCACAAUUUUAGAUUAACCUAGACUGCCCAAAACCAUUUUAGUAAUGGCUCAUAGCUACAGUUUUAAGCCAACUGUUGCUGCUCCUAGGUAGCAGCUACAUUUGAUUUUGUUUCAUGCCUUGAACUCUCCCUAAUUUUGGUUUACUUGCACUUUAUUUGAAAGUUAUAUAACUAACAUUUUCAACUAAUAGGGAAACUUUAAAUCAAUAGUGAAAUUAUAAUCUAUAUGAUCCAACAUGUUAGCUAAACUGACCCUAGCGAGUCCAGAACAAUGGUCUACAGUCUUCUUUUGUUUUUCUAUGCCAGCAACCAAGCUUGGCUUGGCCCUGUAAGGCUGAUCACCUAAGCUUGGUGUGGCCCUGCUUGGCCUCACGGUCCCUAAGUCAAAUCCAAAGUUGUUAUAGCAGCUGCUAUCUUGGCAACUGCUGCCAUCAAGGAAUAACAGCCCUGCCACUCUUCUUUAAUUCUUAUACUUGCAAACCCCAGAGGAAUGUUUAUACACUAACUUCAACCAUACAUCCUAGUUAGCUCUUAUAAAGUUAUAUUAAUUUGUUAAACAGACUGCCCAAAACUGCUUUAGCAGUCAUUCACUUGUCGACUGUCGCUGCUUGUUUCUAUAACCAGUAGGCAGCCGUCCCAAGUCUUAUGCCACUAAAAGCUUUUACCUCUUAGAUUGAUAUGAAAUCUUGGCAUGUUAUAGGUGAUUCAAAUUCUGAUUAUUUUUAGCUACCAACUAGACUAGGAGAAAAGCUUGCUAGUGCCACUAAAGGUUAAUAUUUCUGCUGCUGCGACAUGCUUUUUGCUGCUGCUUGCAGCUAAUUGCUGCUGCCAAUGGGCAGCUGCGCCCCUUACUUCAGGCCAUUUUUGGCUUCACAUCAAUUAGCCUAUUCACAACCCACUUUCAUUGAUCAAUAAAUGGUACACCUGCCUUCUAAGCUAACUUAGCAACUGUGGCCCAAAUGUACUAUAUGUAAAUCAAAAUGGUGUGCUAACCUUCCUGCUCGGCUCUGCAGAGCAGUGCAGCACAACGCUGGGCGUUUACUGCCAAUGCCUGCAGUAGCCUCAGCUAGCUUUGCCCAAGCUCAAACAUUUUUUUUUCUUAAAAUUUGUUUUUCUUUCCAUUAAUAUGUCAAAACAUAUUUCCUAAUCUUAUAUAAGACGUCCAUAUAUAACCCCAACUUUAAUUCCCUCUAGAAUUCUCUUUUUAGCCAAAACAGUCCACUUGGGACUUUUAACAAAUAUAUGGUGUGCACAGUUUUAAUUUACUCUUUCCAUAGCCAUUUACUUGUGUUAUAAUCUCAUGUUAGCCUCCUUAUUACUCCACAGCCACCUAUCUCCUUGUGCCUAAAUUACAUACAUCUAGCAUGCUAGUGAAUAACCUUUACAACAAUAAAAAAGUAAAAUAAAUGCUAUGUGACUUUACCAGGCCAUUCGGCCAUAACAGUCCAUCACAACUUGCACGAAAUAGUGUUAAACAAGAUAGUUUAUUACUUGAUAACUUUUCCUUAAAAGUUUGAUAUCACAACUUUUACAGAAGAUUACAAUUACCCAUGACAAGUAUAAUUUACUAACACAUCUACAUUACAACAUUAAUAAUACUAACAAUAUAGCAGCCCCUUCUUUUUUCUUUUCAGGCCAUUCGGCCACUGUAGAUUACUAGCAGCAAGAAACUAAAGUGGAAAAGGAUUGGAAAUCUUACCUUAUUGAUUCGAAGGAAACAAAGAAGUUAUACUGCCCAGCUUCUCCACCUACUCUUAGCCGAACUCUUCCACCCUCUCUCUAUAUGACCGAAUUGCUAUAGCUAUUUUGUCUCUACUAAGUGAUGAAGCUAAACUAGUUAAUAAGCUUGGCCCCUUUUUUAUGGCUGAGCUUGGUUCCUUCUACUGUUAACUGCAUCACCUCCUAGUUGGCCCCUACACAGUCAUCAUUCCUAACCUAGCUUCACAGCCACCCUAGCAGACUCUACUUACCUGCUAAGCCUUAUCUUCUGCAAGCUUAUCUAACAUAUUCUUUGUCUGUUAUACAAACUAACCUACCUGUUAACUAGAACCAACUUAGAAACCAUAUGCUUACAGCCUGACUAUGUACUCACGUUAUGCCACUGCUUUUCUUAUUUAGUCUGAAACAGUUAGCUUGUUAUACACCACUGGGUUUACAGGAUUGGUUUAGGUAGGAGUUUGAUAAAUACUUAAUUUGGGCUUAAACCAAUCCUCAAUGGUGGCUGCCGAAAUUGGGCUAGAAAAUGAGUUAGAAUUGGCUUUAUAUUAGACCCAAUACCAUAACCCUUAUUCCUACAUUAAUUAAAGGAGACUUGCAAACAUACAAUUGCAAAAAUUUAUUAUGGCCUAAUAUUUUAAUAUGGACUCUUGUUAAAUUAACACAUGGACUUUUAUAUAUUAUUUUCUCUAGCAACAAUAGUUAACACAUAUAUCAUUAAAAUGUCUAUUCCAUGUAAUCUUAAAUAAUUCAUGGUGGUACAAUAUUUCUUUAUCCUUCAUAAUUUAAGAUGUUUAAUAACCUAUUAAAUAAAUAAUAGUUUUGUCACAAUGAGAAAUAACAUAAUUAAAAUAAAAUAAAAAAUAUACUCACAAAUUGACAUUAUAAUAAUUAAAUAUUACAUAGGAUUUUUUGAGUCAUUACAUACGCGAUAACUCUGCCGUUCUGCAAAAGCACACAGCCUUGUCCUUUAUGCGAUGCAUCAUUGUAUACCACAAAAUUCCCUGUAUCAUCAGGCAAUGACAACACAGGUGUUGAACUCAACCUUUUCAUUAAUUCUUGAAAACUUUCCUCCCACUUCUCUGUCCAAACAAACUUAACCGUUUUCUAGUUAAAUUCGUCAACGGAGUUGCGAUCUUGAAAAAGUCUUGAAUGAAACGCCUAUAGUAACCCGCCAAUCCUAAGAAACUCCUUACUUCUGACGGUAUCUUCGGCUGAUCCCAGUUUAUUACAGCUUCAACCUUUGAUGGAUCUACCGAAAUUUCGUCCUUAUCAAUAACGUGUCCGAGAAACUGUACACGUUCCAACCAAAACUCACAUUUUGAAAAUUUUGCGUACAACUUUUCUUUUUUCAACGUCUCUAACGUCAAUCUCAAGUGUUCAACAUGUUCCUCUUUGGUCUUGGAAUAUACCAAUAUAUCAUCGAAUCAAAUCCAUGAUAUAUUGGUAUGAACAGGGUGUUUAUAUCAUUUGUCUAAGAAUGGUUUAAACACCUUGUUCAUCAAAUCCAUGAACGCUGCAGGUGCAUUGGUUAAACCAAAAGACAUAACCAGAAACUCAUAAUGACCAUACCGAGUUCUGAACGCUAUUUUUGGUACAUCCUCUGGCCUCACCUUUAACUGAUGAUAACCACUCCUCAAGUCUAUCUUUGAGAAAUAGCUUGUUCCCUUCAGUUGAUCGAACAUGUCAUCGAUUCUAGGUAAUGGAUACUUAUCUUUAAUCGUGAUCUUAUUCAAUUCUCGAUAGCAAUGCAGAGCCGUAUCGAUCCAUCUUUCUUCUUAACAAACAACAUCGGCGCUCCCCAUGGCGACACACUCAGUUGAAUAUACUUUUUGUCGAGUAAUUCUUGCAAUUAUACCAUCAACUCCUUCAUCUCUACUGGGGCCAUUCUAUAUGGUGCAUUAGAUAUCGGGGUCGUUCCUGGUAAUAAGUCAAUUACGAACUCGAUUUGUAGAUCCGGCGGAAGACUCGGCAAAUCGUCUGGAAAUACGUCUGCAAAAUCUCUUAUGAUUGGUAUCUCUUCUAACUUCGCACUCUUCUUUUGUGUAUCGACUAUGUAGGCUAAGUAUCCUACACAUUCUUGUCUCAACAACUUCUUGGCUUGCAUCACCGUUAGACAACUUGCUUGUCGAGGUGACUUGCUGCCGUAGAACACAACCUUUGAUGGAGUCAUAAGGUUAACACAUUUCCUUUCGCAAUCAAUUACUGCUCCGUAAUUGAAUAACCAAUCCAUUCCCAGUAUAACAUCAAACUCACAAAGUCUAAUUGGUAUCAAAUCUACCAUCAUCUCGUGACCUUUUAUAACCACCCUACAAUUCCUAUAUAUAAAUCUAACAGGAAUCACUUCCUUAUUCGCAAUCUCUAUGCUUAAGGGAAAUUCUAAUUCUUCCUGAGGCAAAUCUAAAUUUUGAGCAAAUUCAUUGGAUAUAAAUGAAUAAGUAGCACCCGAAUCAAAUAGUACAUAAGCAUUAAUACCAUUAAUCUAAAUGAUACCUGAGACCACAUCCUUAGACUAUAUAACAUCCUGCACGGUCAUAUUAAAAGUCCUCGCAGUAGGUCGACUUUGUGACGCCCCCAAAAUUAGGUAUACAUCACCCAUCUUGGGUCGCCACUUACAUGGUACAAAAUACAAAUACAACUUAAUUAUACAACAGUCGUGUAAGCUACGACAAAAUAUAAACAAUGAGUUUUAACUCGAAUAUUGUCAUCUAGACAUUAUUCAAACACAAAUAAGUCCUCAAUACAUUUAUUGUCACACUAUUUAACAAAAUAGUGAGGACUACUAAUGCUAUCAUCUGGACUGUCACUCCGUUCCCCGACUCGUCCCCGUUACGUUCUCAAUUCCUGAAGAGAAUAGUGAAAGAAAGGGUGAGCUCAACUAGCCCAACAAGAAAUAUUAUGACUAAGAUAAUGCAGAAUAAAUUAUCAUUAGUCUCCAACAAUGUUAAACUGAUAAAAUACAAUAGACAUCAAGUUUAACUGCAGCGGAACAAGCAAUCCAUUAAAAGAGUCAAGUAGAGAAUAAAACCUACUAUNNNNNNNNNNNNNNNNNNNNNNNNNNNNNNNNNNNNNNNNNNNNNNNNNNNNNNNNNNNNNNNNNNNNNNNNNNNNNNNNNNNNNNNNNNNNNNNNNNNNNNNNNNNNNNNNNNNNNNNNNNNNNNNNNNNNNNNNNNNNNNNNNNNNNNNNNNNNNNNNNNNNNNNNNNNNNNNNNNNNNNNNNNNNNNNNNNNNNNNNNNNNNNNNNNNNNNNNNNNNNNNNNNNNNNNNNNNNNNNNNNNNNNNNNNNNNNNNNNNNNNNNNNNNAAUAAUUAAAACGGAACCAGGUCCGGCGUAUAGCACAGACAGGAUAUUCCAACAGAAUAACUGAAUAAUUAAAACGGAACCAGGUCCGGCGUAGCACAGACAGGAUAUUCUAACAGAAUAACCGAAUAAUUAAAACGGAACCAGGUCCGGCGUAUAGCACAGACAGGAUAUUCCAACAAAAUAACUGAAUAAUUAAAACGGAACCAGGUCCGACGUAUAGCACAGACAGGAUAUUCCAACAGAAUAAUAAAGACAGAAUAAUAGAAGAAUGUCACCAAGUAUAGGGUUGCCCGCGUAUACAGGUUAUUCCAACAGAAUAAUAAAGAAAUGGAAUAACAGAAGUUCUCUUCUUGAAUACAAAAGAAUAAUAUUCCUUACCAGAAAAGAACUUAAUAUAAGAGUAGUUUCAGUAGCAGAAUACUUUUCUUCUUUCUCUCUUACAAUUUAUCUCUCUAGAGUUUCAAUGAAUUUGUAAGAAAAUAAUGAAGGAAUGAGCUUCUAUUUAUAGAAAAAUGGAAUGCAUAGUAACUAAUUCAUGAACGGUCCAGAUUGAUUUACUUUUAAUCGGACGGUCCAUAAAAUAUAUUAUAUAUAUAUAAUAUAUAUAUAUAUAUAUAAUAACAAUAAUACUCCCUCCGUAUAAACCAAAAAAAUAAUUUGACAACUUUGAAAAAAACUCCCAACCUUUCAAUUUUCAAUACCGUGGGCCCCACAUGUUCCCCUCCCCCCAACAUGUCAAUAUCACAAGGGUCUCAUUAUAUGUAAAUAACUUUCUAUCAAUAAUAUUGAAAAAUAGGUAAAUGGGGGUCUAAAUAAUACGCCAAAUUUACAACAACUACCUCAUAAAAAUCCCUUCAAUAUUUUUAACAAUAUUUAUCAUCUUUAUUACAAUUCACAAUAUUAAUCGACCAGGUCGUUCCCAGGAUAGAGGGGGCUUUCCAAUAAGGAUUUCUCUCUAUUGGCGCGCAAUUAGAUUAUCUAACCUCUCCUUGACAGAACUUCUAGACAUCGUUAAUAUUGCAAAUAAUAACAUUAAUAACUUUGUCGUCUCAAUUAUUGAUUUAAUAAUAUAAAGAAUAUCAACAAUAAUUGAAUCAAAUAACGUGAGAUACUAUGCAACAAUUACUAUAACAAUAAUUGAAUAAAACUGAAUGACUUCUCACGUAAGCAUAAAUAAUCAAUACCGUGUGCUACUAUGCAACCACGCGUAUUACUGUACUUUUACUACUGAGUAGUUCAACAGUAUCAACGGUAAAACUUCCGUCGUUAUUUUCAUAAAAAUAUUUUUGUCGUUUUCUCAAUCCGACAAUAAUUCUGUUGUGGGGUCCACUAAUGAUUGCGCCGUUGUACGAAUAUUUCCUGCUAAAACGAAUAUUCCCCAACCAAUCGAAUAUAAUAUAGCAACUUGCAUACUUUGCAAAACUUAUAAAUACUACCUUCAACUAUAACAUUAUAUUAAAUUUAUUGCAUAAUAUUCAAAAAUGAUAAUUAUAGAAAAUUUAUCUUUAUUCAAAAAGUUGGGGUCUUACAACCCCCCCUUCUUAAGAAAUUUCGCCCUCGAAAUUAGGGUACGUACCUGGUAUAUCGAAGAGGUAAGGAUACCUUGAUUUCAUUUUAGAUUCUAACUCCCAGGUCAUUUCCUCAACAUCGUGGUUUCUCCACAAAACUUUGACUUGAGGUAUAACCUUGGAGCGUAAAAUAUGUUCCUUGUUAUCCAAGAUUUGAACAGGAACCUCUUUAUACGUUAAAUCUUCCGCUAUUUCGUCUGGUUCUAGCUCAAUAAUGUGGUUCGGGUCUUCCACAUAUUUACGUAACAUGGAUAUGUGAAAAAUGUUAUGAACACCAGACAUACUAGGCGGUAAAGCGAGUCUAUAGGCCACAGUUCCUACUCGAUUGAGGAUUAAAAAUGGGCCAAUGAAUCGAGGAUUGAGCUUUCUUAUCUUUCCAAAUCUCGUAACACCUUUCCAUGGAGCAACAUGUAACAACACAUGAUCUCCAAUAUCGAAUUCCACGUCCUUUCGAUGAAGAUCAGCAUAACUCUUUUGUCGAUCUUGUGAGGUUUUUAUACGUUGUCGAAUCGUUUGAAUCUUUUCCGUAGUCAUACGUACCAACUCCGGUCCCAACAACGUUGCUUCACCCACCUCAUCCCAGCAUACUGGAGAACAACACUUUCUCCCAUACAACGCCUCAAAUGGAGCCAUGCCAAUACUUGCUUGAUAACUAUUGUUAUAGGAAAACUCCACCAAUGAUAAGAACUUAUCCCAACUUCCAUUGAAGUUAAGGACACAGAGUCUUAAUAAAUCUUCUAGAGUUUGAAUAGUCCUCUCUGAUUGUCCGUCCGUCUGAGGAUGAUAUGCUGAACUAAAUCGUAAAUCUGUGCCCAUAGCUUUUUGCAAACUAACCCAAAAUCAUGAAGUGAAUCUUGGGUCUCGAUCAGAAACUAUGGAUACUGGCAUACCAUGCAGUCUUACAAUCUCGUUUAUGUACAUACGAGCAAGACGUUCAAGUGUAUAAGUUUCUCGUAUAGGUAAGAAAUGAGCAGACUUGGUCAAUCUAUCAACAAUGACCCAAAUUGCAUCUAUGCCUUGAGAAACCUUGGGAAGACCAGUAACGAAAUCCAUGGUAAUGUGCUCCCACUUCCAUUCUGGAAUUUCAAGUGGUUGCAAUGGACCUUUUGGUACUUGAUGCUCCGCCUUGACUCGUUGACAAGUUAGACACCUUGAGAUAAACACCGCUAUCUCUCUCUUCAUAUUGCUCCACCAAAAUGUAUGUCGAAGAUCAUGAUACAUUUUGGUACUCCCAGGAUGGAUUGCAAACGGUGUGUUGUGCGCCUCCAUCAUGAUUUUAUACUUUAAAUCAGGGUCGUUAGGAACACAAAGUCUGGAGUUGACUCGAAGUAUUCCUUCUUCAUCGAUUCUUGCUUCCGACAUAACACCUUCUUGCACUUUCUUCCUCAUACGCAUCAGCUCCAGGUUUGUAGUUUGAGCAGCUUUAACUUUAUCAAUUAAAGUCGAUUAUACUCGUAUGUUCGCCAUCAUCACAUGGGUCCCUGGAGUCUUUAACUCCAUCUCCAUCCUUUGCAAGUCAUACAAAAUGGGCCUUUGUGUUGACAAUAUUGCACUCGUACCCACAUAUGAUCUUCUACUCAAUGCGUCAGCUACCACGUUCGUUUUUCUAGGAUGGUAUUGGAUGGUAUGAUCAUAAUCUUUCAACAGUUCAAGCCAACGUCGUUGUCGCAUGUUGAGUUCCUUUUGAGUGAAGAAAUAUUUAAGGCUUUUAUGAUCCGUAAAGAUCUCCACUUUCUCCCCAUACAAGUAAUGCCUCCAAAUCUUUAGUGCGAAGANNNNNNNNNNNNNNNNNNNNNNNNNNNNNNNNNNNNNNNNNNNNNNNNNNNNNNNNNNNNNNNNNNNNNNNNNNNNNNNNNNNNNNNNNNNNNNNNNNNNNNNNNNNNNNNNNNNNNNNNNNNNNNNNNNNNNNNNNNNNNNNNNNNNNNNNNNNNNNNNNNNNNNNNNNNNNNNNNNNNNNNNNNNNNNNNNNNNNNNNNNNNNNNNNNNNNNNNNNNNNNNNNNNNNNNNNNNNNNNNNNNNNNNNNNNNNNNNNNNNNNNNNNNNNNNNNNNNNNNNNNNNNNNNNNNNNNNNNNNNNNNNNNNNNNNNNNNNNNNNNNNNNNNNNNNNNNNNNNNNNNNNNNNNNNNNNNNNNNNNNNNNNNNNNNNNNNNNNNNNNNNNNNNNNNNNNNNNNNNNNNNNNNNNNNNNNNNNNNNNNNNNNNNNNNNNNNNNNNNNNNNNNNNNNNNNNNNNNNNNNNNNNNNNNNNNNNNNNNNNNNNNNNNNNNNNNNNNNNNNNNNNNNNNNNNNNNNNNNNNNNNNNNNNNNNNNNNNNNNNNNNNNNNNNNNNNNNNNNNNNNNNNNNNNNNNNNNNNNNNNNNNNNNNNNNNNNNNNNNNNNNNNNNNNNNNNNNNNNNNNNNNNNNNNNNNNNNNNNNNNNNNNNNNNNNNNNNNNNNNNNNNNNNNNNNNNNNNNNNNNNNNNNNNNNNNNNNNNNNNNNNNNUCAAAAUCCAAUUUCUCCGGAGUCAAAUUUAAACGUUGAGCGCAAGUAGGAGAAAUGAAAGAGUGGGUAGAACCAGUAUCAAAUAAAGUAUAAACUUCGCUAGAGUUUAUGAUAAGCUUACCCGUGAUGACCUCGUUCGGGUUCUUUACUUUUUGGGAGGUUACAACAAAUGCUCUUCCUUGCACUACCGACUUUGACUUUUCUGGGAUGGCCUUUGGUGACUCUAUCCUAACUGAACUUGUCUUCGGUGCACGACAAAAUCGAGCCAGGUGACCUUCUCUUCCACAGUUGUAACAUGCUUUGGAUGGCAUCGCACAGUUGGGACUGAUGUGUCCCUCUCCUCCACACUUGAAACAUAUGAUAGGUGGUCGUUCCCCUUCCUUAACGACAGGUGCUGAUGUUGACGUCUUUCCAUCAUUGUUGAAUCUCCUCUUUUUGAAAUGUCCAUUUUUAUUGUUUUGGCCAUGAUUACCACCGAAGUGGUUACCAUUUCUGGCCUUUUGAUUUCCUCCACGCUUGUUGUCACCGCUUUGAUGACUGUUCUCACUGGUAUUAUCAUUUUAUUGGCUGCUCUCUUUUGGUUGGCUUAACUCGUUAUCACGCUCCAAUAACUGAGCCCUAUUAACAACAUCCGAAUACAAACACAGUUUAUGAGAGAUAAGAUAUUGACGUAUCUCAGGUUUCAAACCUCUUAAAAACAUUCGCGUCAUUCUCUCCUCAUUAUCAACCAAAUGGGACGCAAACUGGGACAACUCGGCAAACUUGGCUUUGUACUGCGAUACUGUCAUGUUGUUUUGUUCCAGCCUGAUGAACUCUACCUCUUUCAUGUGACGAAUACUUUUGGGAAAGUACUUGUCGUUGAACAAUUCUUUGAACUUCUCCCAAGUCAUCUUCAGUGCGGCAGGUUGAGUACGCUUUACAGAUUCCCACCAGUAAUCUGCCUCUCCUCGCAACAUGAAGGUGGCAAAGGAAAUCUUUUGUUCCUCGGAGCAUCCCAAGACAUCAAAUAUCUUGGUAAUCUACUUUAUCCAUGUCUCCGCCUUAAGUGGUUUUGGUUCUCCAAUAAACUUCGGUGGUCCCAGCUCCUUGAACUGUUUGGCGGUGACCAUCCGAGAGUUGCUAGUGUUUUCACCUGCAUUUUGGACAGGAGCCGCUCCUGCCUGAUGUUGUAUGAAUUGCAUGAAUCCUCGAAACAUUUUGUUGUUCAAUAUUUGGUCAGUGUUGUUGUUUGCAUGAGGAUUUUUGCCUUCCUGAUGCACAUUGUCCUGAUUGUUGAUCUGUGGAGACUCAACGGUCUCCUGUGCUCCAUUGAUGUUCUCAACGUUCUCGGAUGCCAUUUUCAAAUACUGCCACAAAACAAGAGUUAAUUAACACAUCACAUAUUAUCCCUAUACUCUAACCAACCAAUUAAAUAACAAAUAAACUUAGGUAGGUCAUACUAGCGAAGGAAUUCCCCGUCUCUCCCCUCCUAGUUCUUAUCUCACAUCUUAGCCAGGGAUCAUAUCCCUAACCUCUGAUACCAACUGUGACGCCCCCAAUAUUAGGUAUACAUCACCCAUCUUGGGUAGCCACUUAUAUGGUACAAAAUACAAAUACAACUUAAUUAUACAACAGUCGUGUAAGAUACGACAAAAUAUAAACAAUGAGUUUUAACUCGAAUAUUGUCAUCUAGACAGUAUUCAAACACAAAUAAGUCCUCAAUACAUUUAUUGUCACACUAUCUAACAGAAUAGUGAGGACUACUAAUGCUAUCAUCUGGACUGUCACUCCAUUCCCCGACUCAUCCCCGCUACGUUCUCAAUUCCUGAAGAGAACAGUGAAAGAAAGGGUGAGCUCGACUAGCCCAGUAAGAAAUAUUAUGACUGAGAUAAUGCAGAAUAAAUUAUCAUUAGUCUCCAACAAUGUUAAACUGAUAAAAUACAAUAGACAUCAAGUUUAACUGCAGCGGAACAAGCAAUCCAUUAAAAGAGUCAAGUAGAGAAUAAAAUCUACUAUCUUUUAUGAUUUAAAAGGUUUUUCAUCACUUUUAUCGCUGGGACUCAGCUUAAUAAAUAAUCCACAUCAUCGAAUCACCCCUGCACUACGGCCAAGGAUAUUCUUUAGUAUCACGACCACAAUUAUCCAUGCACUACGGGCCAAGAAUAUUUGUGUAUUCAUUAAUGGUCAUGAUCAUGCCAACAACUGUCCAUCAAUGCACUACGGGCCAAUGAGGACUUUUUCCACAUCAUUUGUAACAUUACGGUCAUGAUUACACCGAAUAAUCCCUGGUCAUAAUCAUACCAAGUCCAUCUAUGCACUACAGGCCACAGAUGACUUUCAACAAAAUAAUAACAUGAGGAUGAUGACAAUGAUAUAAGAAUUCAAUAAAAUAACUUUCAAGAAUUAAUUUGUCCAGGAAUCAAUAACGUCCAAAUUGUCAAUAAGAUAUUGUUUUGUGGUGUAAAUUAUUCAAGAAUGCUCAGAAGAAUAUUUUCAUGAAAAGAUAUUGGAUGAAGUGCAAAUAUCAAGGAUAUUCCAUUAAUUUCAUGGAGUAUAAAAGUCAAAAUUUUAACCAACUGAGUAUAAUAACGAAUGGAAUAACAAAAGAAAUCACCACGCAUGCGGUACUUCGCAUAGACAGGUUAUUCCAACAGAAUAAUAAUAACGGAACUAGGUCAGGUGAGAUUCACACCGACAGGAUGUUCCAACAGAAUAAUAAAUAAUUAAAACGGAACCAGGUUCGGCGUUUAGCACAGACAGGAUAUUCCAACAGAAUAACUGAAUAAUUAAAACGGAACCAGGUCUAGCGUAUAGCACAGACAGGAUAUUCCAAAAAAAUAACUAAAUAAUUAAAACGGAACCAGGUCCGGCGUAUAGCACAAACAGGAUAUUCAAACAAAAUAAUAAAGACAGAAAAAUUGAAGAAUGUCACCAAGUAUAGGGUUGCCCGCGUAUACAGGUUAUUCCAACAGAAUAAUAAAGAAAUGGAAUAACAGAAGUUCUCUUUUUGAAUACAAAAGAAUAAUAUUCCUUACCGUAAAAGAACUUAAUAUAAGAGUAGUUUCAGUAGUAGAAUAAUUUUCUUCUUUCUCUCUUACAGUUUAUCUCUCUAGAGUUUCAAUGAAUUCGUAAGAAAAUAAUGAAGGAAUGAGCUUCUAUUUAUAGAAAAAUGGAAUGCAUAGUAACUAACUGAUGAACGGUCCAGAUUGAUUUACUUUUAAUCGGACGGUCCAUAUUUAAAGUAAAAUCUUUUAAAUAAAAUAUAUUAUAUAUAUAUAUAUAUAUAUAAACAAUAAUACUCCCUCCGUAUAAACCAAAAAAAUAAUUUGACAACUUUGAAAAAAACUCCCAACCUUUCAAUUUUCAAUACCGUGGGCCCCACAUGUUCCCCUCCCCCAACAUGUCAAUAUCACAAGGGUCCCAUUAUAUUUAAAUAACUUUCUAUCAAUAAUGUUGAAAAAUAGGUAAAUGGGGGUCUAAAUAAUACGCCAAAUUUACAACAACUACCUCAUAAAAAUCUCUUCAAUAUUUUUAACAACAUUUAUCAUCUUUAUUAAAAUUCACAAUAUUAAUCGACCAGGUCGUUCCCAGGAUAGAGGGGAUUUUCCAAUAAGGAUUUCUCCCUAUUGGCGCGCAAUUAGAUUAUCUAACCUCUCCUUGACAGAACUUCUAGACAUCAUUAAUAUUGCAAAUAAUAACAUUAAUAACAUUGUCGUCUCAAUUAUUGAUUUAAUAAUAUAAAGAAUAUCAACAAUAAUUGAAUCAAAUAACGUGAGAUACUAUGCAACAAUUACUAUAACAAUAAUUGAAUAAAACUGAAUGACUUCUCAUGUAAGCAUCAAUAAUCAAUAUCGUGUGCUACUAUGCAACCACGCGUAUUACUGUACUUUUACUACCGAGUAGUUCAACAGUAUCAACCGUAAAACUUCCGCCGUUAUUUUCAUAAAAAUAUUUUUGUCGUUUUCUCAAUCCAACAAUAAUUCUGUUGUGGGUUCCACCAAUGAUUGCGUCGUUGUACGAAUAUUCCCCGCUAAAACGAAUAUUCUCCGACCAAUCGAAUAUAAUAUAGCAACUUGCAUACUUUACAAAACUUAUAAAUACUACCCACAACUAUAACAUUAUAUUAAAUUUAUUCCAUAAUAUUCAAAAAUGAUAAUUAUAGAAAAUUCAUCUUUAUUCAAAAAGUUGGGGUCUUACAGACUUGACUGUGCUGAUCCAGAGAUAGUUAAUGUACCACCAACGUUGUUGUUUCCUUUUCCACCACUUGCACUUCCUGCUGGCUUCUUAGGGCAAUCACGAGCCAUGUGAUCCUACGAACCGCAGGUAAAACAUGCUCCUUUAUUUGGACUAAAACAGUUCAGUGUAAUGUGUCCCUCCUGACCACAGUUGAAACACACCCGCUUUCCCUUCAAACAUACUCCAUUAUGAUUGUUUCCAUAAGUCGCAUAAGCUUCAAACUUUUUCUUCUGCUGAUUUCCUUGUUGUCCUCCCGCAGUCGAAUUUUCACUCCACUUCCUCUUCUGAUUGUUAUUUCCAACGUUACUUCCACCAGCCUUAUUUUCAUUCUCAGUCUUCCUCUUCUUAUAUUCUUGGUUGUACUUGGUCAAGGCAUCGCUUUCACCUUCUGCGAUAAUUGCCUUUUCCAGUAUAACCGCAAAUGUAUUUAACUGAAAUAUUGAAACCUUGCUAUACAGCCAGGGUUUCAAUCCAUGUUCGAACCUUAUCGCCUUUCGUUCAUCAGUAUUGACUUAAUAAGUGGCAAACCUUGCCAAUUCAUUAAACUUCGCAGCAUAUUCUGGCACCGUCAUAGUUCCUUGUUUCAGUUCCAGAAAUUGCAUUUCCAACUUAUUCUGAGAACUCGCUGGAAAGUACAUUUCAAAAAAUAUCUCCUUAAAUCUAUCCCACGCUAUCACUCCUUGUCCCCCACGAACCUUAUUUGCCUGCCACCAGUAGCUAGCUUCAGACUUCAGCAUGAACGUUGUGAACGCAGUCUUCUGAUCCUCGUUGACUCUAGAAACGUUGAACACUUUCUCCAUUUCCAUGAUCUAGGUUUGGGCUUCUACUGGAUUCAUAGACCCUUGAAACUCUGGCGGUCCAACCGCUUUGAAUUCCUUAAAGGUCAUGACUUGAGCUUGCGGUUGAUUCGCAAGUGCACCUGUUAACAAGGUUACCAACUGCUGAACCGGGUUAGCAUUGGCCUCGUUAUUAUUUUUAGUAGACCCCUCAGGAGGUGGUUGUUGACGUGUUUUUCUUCUUCUAGGAGGCAUUUUCUGUUAAGAUAUACGCUCAUUAGUUCAUUACUCAACUUCUUGAUUAUUUGAAGUUUAACUUAAAUAUUCUAAGAUUAAAGUUAUAACACAUAACAUUUCAAAUAAACUCUGGUAUUUUAUUCAUUCAUAAUGUUUUAAAACAUAUUAAAGAUAGCAUAACCGCUAUUAACAUUCACUUUCCUGAACUAAGCAAGUUUUAGGAUUACAUAUUCAUACUACCCCUUUAUUUAUCUCAAAAUAAGGGAUUCACAGUUUAUAUACUCACUUACUUAACCACGUAUUAUUAUUCUCAUUCUUUCUAUCUAGACAUAUUAAGAUGUCGUAAGGCUUCUCUAUGUUCUUCCUCCAUAAUUCGAUACAUCGUUCUACGAUCCAUCAUGAACUACAACGAAUCUUCAAAUUGAGGUGGAUAAUAAAAGACUCGAUCCUGGGCCCUAUCAAUUGCAGAAUUAAAGGCAUAAUCCAUCCCAUUCAUCUUGGCCUUCUUCACUUGAACUUUAUCCUCGGCACGGUCUGCACGUUAAGUCACCUUUAUCCAAGCGUCCUCUGCUCUCGUACGUUUAGUUGAAUCCUCUUUCAAGUCAUCUUUUAACUUCUCCACAUCAGUCUUCAUCUUCUUGUUCACUGCCAACAAAUCUUCAUGCUGACCCUUGGUAUGAAAUAGGUCCCACUCCGUGUUUCCAAGUCUUGAGUCGAGUUCUUGAAUCUCCGCAUCCUUCUGCUCUAUCGUAGCGUGAUGCAUCUCAACCAACUCCUUCAGCUCCUGAACUUUGUCUUGUAAUUCUAUGUUACGAUCGUACAGAGCAUCAUACAUCUCAGCUGAUAUGGAGCUUUGUGGAAACGCCACAGGAUCCUCUUCCUCAUCAUCCAACUCUAUCUCUUCAGAACUAUCCUCCUCGGGAUCGGUCACAGGUUCAUCCUCCUGGAUCAACUGUUCACGCAUAACAUGAAUAUCCCGGGGUUCCUCAUCUCUAGGUAUCUGAGGUAUUACUUCCCUAGCUGGAAUGGAUCCUCCUUCAUUAGACAUCCUAACAACAAAAUAUUUUAAGUUUACUUAACAUUUUUCGAUACUCGCGAGCACAUAAGUUAUUACACAUAGCACAUAAUGUCUUUUAUUAUUUAUCUUCAAUGGAUAGCUUAAUCCAUUCAUUAAAACUCGAUAAGAGUUAGACACCUCUAUAUUUUCUGUCUUCUUAAAGGUUACUUCCUAAGGUUUCCCCACCUAAGGUUCAUAACCUAAAGCUCUGAUACCAACAUGUGACACCCCCAAAUCUGGGUAUUCCUUUUCCACAGGAUUUGGUGCUCACUAUCCAAAACCAUUACAUCUAACUACCCAUAACAAAGGAUAAAGACAUAAUUUAAAUAACUUAACAAUAAUCUUCCCAUUAAAGGGUUACAUCGUCAUAAAACAAUCCCAAAUAAUUUAAUCUUAAAUUAUUACAUAAGUUUGCGGAAUACAUCAUAAAAUAAAACAAGUCUUAUAACAUAAACAUUUAAAUAAACUUUCAUAAAUCUUCAACACUUGGACAUCUUUCCCUUUUCUUUGCUAGUAGAUGGCUCAUCGACUUUCUCAACUUUAGCUGCAGUGUUAAAUGCAAGAGUGAGCAAACAAUUGCUCACUGAUAUAGAGAGUAGUAAUGAUAACAACAUAAGAUUAAACAACGAAUGCUGAACAAUAAUGAAAUUGUUCUAUGAAUAAAAAAUAGAAAACAAGUUCAAAUUUAAUAUCUGAGGGUCUUAAGACCACGAACUAUGUCCCCGAUAUUUAGGUAUUAUUACCCAACCUUAACAGUCAUUUAGACUAUACAAACCCUUCUUAACGUACUUAGGGGGAUCAGCCCUUUGUACCAUGUAUUGUGCACAAACAUCUAAACGUUACACGUACAAAAUCCCCUAUGUUAGGGUUGUUCGUCUCAGCUUGAAUUUAGAAUUUCUGCACUAAAGAGAGUUUAGCUCGGAACUAACUUAUCAAUGGUUCUAGAAUUUUAGAACACUACUCAAUUAUAGACUAAUUCAAUCAAUAAGAGUUUGCUUGCUACUUGAAGAUUUAAUAUAACAAAAAUAGAAUUGAACAAGGCUAUCAAAGUCAAAGAUCGAAUAUCAACAAUAUACAGUUGAGCACUACAACAAAAAAGCUUAUCAGCGACCGCCUAUCAGCGACCGCCUGUGGUCGCUGAUAUCUAUCUGCGACCGUCUACUCGAGUAAACAUGAUAUACAUGCAAAGUACUAUAUCCAAAAGAGUUAGAAUAAUCUCCUUUGAAUCAAUGUAUUAGAACAAUAUAUUCUUUUGAAUAACAAUAUCAAGAUUUAGGAAAGUGAAACUCGCUCAAUGUAACAAACUAGAUUACAAGAGAUUGUACGAUACACGAGAUAGAAUCAAUAGGCUUGCUGAACUUUAAUGUAAAAUUUAGAAUUAGAAAGCUUGUUUGACAUAAAAGAUAACAUAGCUAUGAAACUUGCAUUCAUUAAUAAAAGAAUGAAGUUAGAAAACUUGCUCAAUAAAAGUUUAGGAUAAGAAACUUGCCUUGUAUGUAAGCUACACAAGUGUAAUAAUGUUCGCCAAUUACCCUACACAUAUCAUUGGAAUCGCAAUAACAAUUAGUUGUAUUAUUAUUAGCUUUAAGGGUUUAAACCACCAUUUAGGUCAUAACCUUAACUUAACAUCUAACCAUGUUGGUUAACACCUUUAACAAAUCUAAAAUCCCUCUAUAAACUAACAUAAACUUUAUCAUUCAUUUCUUACUUUCAUAAACAUUAUUUUUUUAUUCAUUACAUAACUUAAUUAAAUAAUCACUUAAAAUCUUCAUACUUUAUAUUACAUCACGUUGAAAUAUGUUAUUGUAGUUCACGUUAACAUGUAUGCCAAACUAGAUUAAGUCCAUUAAUCAUAACCUAUAAAUAAGCAGAAGUCAUUGCCUAGGCUCAGGGCACGGCGCAGCUGCGCUGUCCCAAGCCUUGGCAUCGGCACAGCUGCGCCGUACACGGACAGGAACUGCAGCAGCAGCUCUGUUACACAGCACACACCAAAACUCAAUCAAAUUUCACAGAAAUCAUAAAACUCAACAUCUAAAACUUUGUGAUAACAUUAAUAAUGAUGUUAUUCAUCAUUCUCACUACCUAAACAUUAUAUAUAUUAAAUUUUAAAAGAUCAAAACCCCAAUUUUUCCAAUUUCAUCAUUUUUUUACGCUUUUAGCGAAUUCGAUUGCUACGAAUUCAUUUCUUAAUCAAUUGACACAAUUCAAACUACGUUGUUUUCGUUUCUUAACAUACUAACACAUUCUAACAUCAAAUUACAGAUUAUAGCAAGUAUUGAUCAUGAAAUUUCGUACUUUCUAAAGCCAUUUUUCAAAAAUAAACACUAUUAUUAUAACUUCUUCCUUACAAAGCCAAUUCUCACAUGUUUGGAAAUCAAAUAGCACUCACAUAUAAUGAUUAACAGAUUAUAAACCAUAUAUACAUGUAUUUGUAUUAAUCCAUCGUAAUUAUCAAUAGAAAUUUCAAACAUAAAAGUUAGAAUUAGAGUUAUACCUUACUCCUUUGAUUGUUUGCUAGCAAAAAGAUGGUGACUAGGUUUAGAAAUCCCUCUCCUUGACAAUCAUAAAGAAUUCAAACUCACUGUGUUUUCCUCUCUUGCUCUCUCUCCAAGCUCUCUGUUCUUCACUAAUAUCUAGCCUUAGGGAAAGGAAUAAUACGCGUAAAAAAAUAUACUAACUCCCACUUUCCCCACUAAUGUCAGGUCACAAACCCAAAAGUUUGUGUCAGUUAGAAAUAAGCCAAAGGCCACAGGGCCUUGUUUGGCUAACCACAAUUUCUCCUCUACUAGAUUAUUUUUAUAUUAUUUUUAUUAUAUAGUUUUUAUUUGUCACACUUGCCACCAAUUUAAAUAGCUUACAAUAAUAAUUAUAAUAAUUAUAAUUUUUAUUAUAAUUAUUCUGAUGAUUAAUAAAUAAUUAUAUAUAUAUAAUUUAAUUAAUAAAUUUGACUUAAACAUUACUUUAUUUAAUUUACCUAUUUUCUUUAAUAUAAAAAAAAAUUUAAUUUAAUUUAAUUAUUUCAUUAAAUUAAAUCUUUCAAAUAAAAAAUAGCAUUAUUCAAUUUAAUUAACAUUAAUCAAUUUAGUCACUAAAUUAAUGCACCACAAUUCAUCAAUUAUUUAUUUUUCUCAAUAAAUAAAUUAUUUAAAAUAUUUAUUUAAUUCAAUAAAUAUUUAAAUUAAAUUACAAAUUUCUCGAUCGUUACACUAUUCAUUCGGUUAGUAUUUACCCGGGGUACUAUUCAUGACAAAAAUUGAUUUCUUUUAUGUCCAAAUUAUUUUUGAUACAAUAUUAUUCUUGAAUUUUACUCCACAAUUGGUGAUCAUGUUGACAAUUUAGAUAUUCUUAAACUCUGGAUAAAUUUAAUUAUAAAUAUUUAAUAUUUAUCCUUUAUCUCGUUUGAUUGAUUCUUUAUAUCAUUGUCAUGAUCCUCAUGCUUAUAUUGUGAUAAAAGUCAUCUUUGGCCCGUAGUGCAUAGAUGGACUAUUGGUUAUUGGUUUUACAGUUGUUUUUCUUUGGCCCGUAGUGCAAAGAAGAACUGUUGAUUGAUAUCUUUGGUCGUAGUGCAAAGAUGAAUUGUUGAUUGAUAGCUUUGGCUCGUAGUGCAAAGUUGGACAGGUGUAUGACAUGAUCAUGACCACUGGUGAUACUAACGAAUAUCCUUGGCCGUAGUGUAUGGAUAAUUCAAUGAUGUGAUUGGCAGGAUCAUGACCAUUAGUUAACAGUUGAAUGUCUUCGGCCGUAGUGCACUGACAGACAAUUGAUUGGUAUGAUCAUUGUUAUUACACUUGAAUGUCUUAGCCUUUGGGGUAAGGAUAUUGAGUAAACGUUCUAUUAAGCCUUUGUGGCAAGGAGAAACUGUUGAUUCACAUUAUUAUAAACAUGAAUUGUGAAUUUAUCUAAAAUCUUUGGUGGUUCAGGUGAAGACAGGUGAUGAAAUUUCUCUUUGUCUUGGUAUAAUAAAGAACUGUUAAUGGGUAUUAUAGGGAUAAAAUUGAUGAUAAACUUUUAAAUCAUAGAAGAUAGUAGAUAUCAUGCUCUACUUGACUCUUCUAAUAGAUUGCUUAUUCCACUGCAGUUGUUGAUCUAAAACUUGUUGUCUAUUAUAUUCUAGCAGUUGUUAUACUGUUGAAGGCUAAUGAUAAUUUAUUCUGCAUUAUCUUAGUCAUAAUAUUUCUUACUGGGCUAGUUGAGCUCACCCUUUUCUUUCAUUAUUCUCUUCAGAAAAUGAGAAUAUAGCUGGGACGAGUCGGGGAAUGGAGUGAUGAUCCAAGAUAAGUGGCUUUAGUAGUCUUCACUAUUCUGUGAAAUAGUGUGAUAAUAAUUGUAAUGAGGACUCCAUUGAGUUUGGAUAUUGUCUAGAAGACAAUAUUUGUGUUAAAACUCUCAGCUUAUAUUUUCUCGUAUUCUACACGACAGUUGUAUAAUUAAGUAGUAUUUGUAUUCUGUACCAUGUAUCUGGCGACCCAAGAUGGGUGAUGUAUACAUAUUUUGGGGGCGUCACAUCAACAACCACCACAAAUAUAAAACCUUUGAAGCCAAGCCUGUGAGACCCCAAAUUUUAUGAAUAAAGAUUUAAAUUUCUCGAAAUAUUUUUUUUGAAUAUUACGGUGUGGAUUUGAUAUAAUGUUAUAGUUGUGGGUAAUAUUUAUAAAUUUUACAAAGUAAACAAGUUGUUACAUAAUAUUCGUUUGGUCGGGGAAUAUUCUUUUUGUUGGGGAAUAUCCGUACGAUGGUGCAAUCAUUGGUGGACCCCACAACGGAAGUAUUGUCGUAGUAAGAAAAUGACAAAAUUAUCUUUUUAUAAAAAUAAUGGCGAAAGUGUUACCGUUAAAACUAUUGAACUACUCCGUAGUAAAAGUACAGUAAUACGUGUGGUUGCAUAGUAGCACACGAUAUUGAUUAUUAAUACUUACGUAAGAAGUCACUCAGUUAUACUUAAUUAUUGUUAUAGUAAUUGCUGCAUCUAUCUCUCAUAUUAUUGAUUCAAUUAUUGUCACAGUAUCAUCUGCAUAAUAUGUUAUAUUAUUAAAUCAAUAAUUGAGACGACAAAGUUAUUUAUAUUAUUAUUUGCAAUAUUGAGAAUGUCUAGAAGUUCUAUCAAGGAGAGGUUAGAUAAUCUAAUUGCGCGCCAAUAGGGAGAAAUCCUUAUCGGAAAGCCCCCUCUUUCUUGGAAACUACCUGGUUGUUAAAUAUUGUGAGUUAUAAUAUUAAUGAUGUAUAAGUUUGUGUUGAUUAAAGAUGAAAUUGAUAGUUCCAUUGUGUUGGGAUUAUUAGUGUUAGUGGAAAUCGACAUUUAUUUCGAUAAUAAUUGAUGUUUGGAAGUUAUAUUGACCAAUCGGGUAAUUAACCGGAUAAAUGAGCAAUUAAUUGCUAUUAAUUCACAUGCUUAUAACUAUGUGUUCACAUGUGUGUACUAUUGAUUCACAUGAUUUACUAUUAGGGGAGUUGGUGCAAGAUUGAUAAUACUUGCAUGACUAAAUUAAAAAUAGAGGUAUAGAUGAAGGUACUAUACUGUAAUUAUUUUUUUCACAUGUUUAGAACUAUUGAGUCACAUGAUUUACUAUUGAUUCACAUGAUUUACUAUUAGGGGAGGUGGUGCAAGUUUGAUAAUACUUGCAGGACUAAAUUAAAAAUGAAGAAAAAGAGGAAGGUAUUAUACUGUAAUAUUUCGAGCCCCAAAACGUGCAAUUAUCGAAACUAUAUUUUCCUAUAAAUAGAAGCUCAUUCUUCCUUCAUUUCUCACCAAUUCACUAAAGCUUUAGAGCAAUUAUUAUAGAGAGAAAUUAUAGAGAGAAAGAAGAAGAGAAGUCUGCUACCUCACUAUUUUAGUAUGCAGUUUCUUCUAAGGUAAGGGUAUUAUUUCUUUCGUAUUCAUGAAGAGAGUUAUUUCUUUCAAUACUCGUAAGGGUUGUUAUUCCAUUCUUUAUUAUUCUGUUGGAAUAACCUGUCUGUGCGGACUACACACGCCUGGUGAAUUCUUUUGUUAUUACAUUCUUUAUUAUUCUGUUGGAAUAACCUGUCUGUGCGGACUACGCACGCAUGGUGAAUUUUUUUUUAUUCUAUUCUUUAUUAUUCUGUUGGAAUAACCUGUCUACGCAGACUACCGCAUGCAUGGUGAAUGACCCUUCGUAUUCAUUCUUUAUUAAAUUAUGUAAAUGAUCUGUCUACGUAGAUUACCGCAUGACGGGUAAAAAUCCAUUUGCAGUUUCAUAUAUUCUAUUAUACUCAUAUGCGAUAUCAUUUCUUUUGUACUCGUCAUAUAAUAUCAUUUUCUUUGGAAUUUUUCUUUUACGAGUUACUAUUGACAGAUUACUAUUCACCUGAUUAUUAUUCACUCUAGUAUUAUUCACUCAGGUAUUCGGGGCACUUUUCGUGUCAGAGUAUUAUUCACGGGUUACUAUUCACCCGAUUACUAUUCACUCUAGUAUUAUUCACUCGGAUAUUUGGGACACUUUUCGUGUCGAGGUACUAUUCACGGAGUACUAUUCCUGAAGUACUAUUCAUGAAAUACUAUUCACCCAAAAAAUAUAUUUCUUUUCAGUCCAAAUUAUUUUUGGGUACAAUAUUAUUCUUGAAUUUUACUCCACAAAACAAUAUCAUGUUGACAAAUUGGACGUUAUUGAUUCUUGGAUAAAUUAAAUUAUAAAUCUUUAAAAUUUAUCCUUGAACUUUUUUUAUUGAAUUAUUAUGUCAUUGUCAUCAUCCUCAUGCUUAUAUUGUGAUGAAAGUCAUCUUUGGCUUACGUGCAUAGAUGGACUUGGUAUGAUUAUGACCAGGGAUUAUUCGGUAUAAUCAUGACCGUAAUGUGACGAAUGAUAUGGUGAAAGUCCUCAUUGGCCUGUAGUUCAUUGAUGGACAGUUGUUGGUAUGAUUAUGACCAGGGAUUAUUUGGUAUAAUCAUGAACAUUGAUGAUUACAUGAGUAUCAUUGGCCGAGAUGCAGGGAUGAUUCGAUUUUAUUUAUUAAGUUGAGUCUCAGCGAUAAAGUUGAUGAAAAACUUUUUAAAUCAUAGAAGAUAGUAGAUUUUAUGCUCUACUUGACUCUUCUAAUGGCUUGCUUAUUCCGCUGCAGUUGUUGAUCUAAAACUUGUUGUCUAUUAUAUUCUGUCAGUUGUUAUACUAUUGAAGGCUAAGGAUAAUUUAUUCUGCAUUAUCUUAGUCAUAAUAUUUCUUACUGGGCUAGUUGAGCUCACCCUUUCUUUCACUGUUCUCCUCAAGAAAUGAGAAUAUAGCUGGGACGAUUCGGGGAACGGAUUGACGGUCCAGAUGGUUGUUUUAGUUGUCCUCACUAUUCUGUGAAAUAAUAUGAUAAUAAUUGUAAUGAGGACUCCAUUGGGAGUGGAUAUUGUCUAGAAGGCAAUAUUCUUGUUUAAACUCUCAGUUAUGUUUUGUCGUAUAUUACCCGACAGUUGUAUAAUUAAGUUUGUAUUUGAUUUAUGUACCAUAUAGUUGGCGACUCAAGAUGGGUGAUGUAUACCUGUUUUUGGGGUGUCAAAGUUGGUAUCAAAGCUUAGGGAUAUGAUCUCUGGCUGAGAUAUGAGACAAGAACUAGGAGGGGAGAGACUGGGAAUUCCUUCGCUAGUAUAUAUGACCUACCUAAGUUUAUUUGGUAUUUAAUUGGUCGAUCAGAGUAUAGGAAUAAUAUGUGAUAUGUCAAUUAACCCUUGUUUUGUGACAGUGUUUGAAAAUAGCAUCUAAAAAUGUUGAGAUCAGCAAUGAAGCACAUGAGACCGUUGAGUCACCAACGAUUAAUACCUAGGAUAAUGUGCAACAGGAAGAUAAUAAUCCUCAGGUAAAUAACAACACCGAUUAGAUGAUGAACGAUGGGAUGUUCAGAGGCUUUAUGCAAUUCAUGCAACAUCAGACGAGAGAGACUCUUGUUCAAAAUGCAGGUGGAAACACUGUCAACUCUCGGAUGGUCACCGCUAAGCAGUUUAAGGAGUUGGGACCACCAGAGUUUUUGAGAGAGCCAGAACCACUUAAGGCGGAGACGUGGAUAAACAGAUCACCAAGAUAUUUGAUGUCUUGGAAUGCUCAGAGGAGCAAAAGGUUCCCUUUGCCACCUUCAUGUUGCGAGGAGAGGCAGAUUACUAGUGGGAAUCAGUAAAACGUACUCAGCCUGCCGCACUGAAGAUGUCUUGGGAGAUGUUCCAAGAACUGUUCAACAACAAGUACUUUCCUGAAAGUAUUCGUCAUGUGAAAGAGGUAGAGUUCAUCAAGCUUGAGUAAAACAAUAUGACCGUGGCGCAGUACGAAGCUAAGUUUGCCGAGUUAUCUCAGUUUGCGUCCCACUUGGUUGAUAAUGAAGAGAGAAUGACGCGGAUGUUUCUAAGAGGUUUGAAACCCGAGAUACGUCAAUAUCUAAUUUCUCACAAACUGUGUUUGUAUUCAGAUGUUAUGAAUAGGGCUCAAUUAUUGGAGUGUGAUAAUGAGUCAGCACAACCAAAAGGCAACGACCAACAACACGAUAAUAAUCAUACCGGUGGCAACGGCCAUCGGAACAAUGAUAACCAUCGUGGGGGAAAUUAUUAUGCCAAGAAUGGUAACCACUUCGGUGGUAAUCAUGGCCAAGUUAAUAGAAGCGGAAAUUUCAAGAAGAGAAGGUUCAAUAAUGAUGGAAAGACGUCAUCACCAGCACCCGUUGUUAAGGAAGGAGAACGACCGCCGGUCGUAUGUUACAAAUGCGGAGGGGAGGGACACAUAAGUCCAAACUAUUCACAGCCUUCCAAGGUAUGUUUUAGUUGUGGAAAAGAUGGUCACAUAGCUCGAUUUUUUUCUUGUAGCGAAAUCAAGUCCAGUUGGGACAGUGGCACCAAAGGCGGAUACGGACAAAACAAAGUCGGUGGUUUCAGGAAGAGCGGUUUUUAUGACUUCUCAAAAAGUGAGUAACCCGAACGAAGUUAACACGGGUUAGUUAAUUAUAAAUUCUUGCGAAGUCUAUACCUUAUUAGAUAUCGAUUCUACCCAUUCUUUUAUUUCUCUUGCUUGCGCUCAGCGUUUAAAUUUGACUCCAGAGAAAUUAGACUUUGACUUAUUGGUUGAAACUCUGUUAGGAGAAACCUUCGUUACACCCACUGUUUAUAAAUCUUGUUUUAUUCAAAUCGACACUUUCACGUUACCUGUCGAUCUUAUCUCUUUGAAAAUACUUGCCUUUGAUGUGAUUUUAGGAAUCGAUUGGUUAACUACUCAUCAUGCCAAAAUUGAUUAUUUUUGUAAGGUUGUUAGCUUUCAUAUUCCUAACCAACUUGUUAUGCGAAUUCAAGCAACCAAACCACUAAAGUCAAUCACUGUCAUAUCAAGCCAUAAGUAAAGAGCCCCGAGCCUUUCGUUGGUGACUUCCUUGUGUGGAAUGCAUCGAAGCCGAACUUUCUGUAGGGGACGUCGUGAAUAACAGUGGCAAGUUGAUAGGUAUCAAUGUGACGUGUUAUCCAAGUCUUGGGAUGAGAGUCACAGUUUUGAAUGAUAUUUCUAUUGUUAAUAAAUUUCCUAGCGUAUUCUUGAAGACUUCUUAGCCUACCCCUAGAGCGUGAAAUCGAAUUUUUUAUUGACCCCAAUACAAAACUCAUUUAUAAAACCCUCAAAUAUUUUCUUUACCCAAAACGAACGUAUAAUGUGCCAAUGACGUUGGCUCGAGCUGUUGAAGGUUACGACUAUACCAUUAAAUUCCAUCGUGGGAAAAGCGAACGUGGUAGCUGACACAUUAAGUAGAAGAUCGUAUGCGUUUACGAAGUGUGACGUUGUUAACACAAAAACCCAUUUCGUAUAACUUAUAAAUAAUGAAGAUGGAGUUAAUGACUCUAGAGACCCACGUGAAGAUAACGAAUAUACGAGUAAAAUCGACUUUAAUCGAUAAAGUUAAAGCCGCUCAAACUACACACUCGGAGCUAGUGAAUACGAAGAAGAAGGUUCAAGAAGGCGUUAUUCUAGAAGCAAGAGUCGAUGAAGAGAGAAAAUCUCAAUCCUCGAUUUAAUUGGGCCAUUUGAAAUCCUCGAUGGAGUAGGAACUGUGGCCUAUAGACUUGUUUUACCGCCAAGUAUGUCGCGUGUUCAUAACAUUUUUCAUGUAUCGAUGUUACGUAAAUAUGUGGACGACCCGAACCACAUUAUUAAAUUGGAACUAGACGAGAUAGCAGAAGAUUUAACAUAUGAGGAUAUACGUGUUAAAAUCUUGGAUAAGAAGGAUCGUAUUCGACACUCAAAUUUUAUACCUCAAGAGUUAGAAUCUGAAAUAAAGUCAAGGUAUCCUUAUCUCUUCGGCAUACCAGGUACGUACUUAAAUUUUGAGGGCGAAAUUUCAUAAGAAGGGAAGAUUGUGAGAUCCCAAAUUUUAUGAAUAAAGAUUUAAAUUUCUUGAAAUAUAUUUUUUGAAUAUUACGGUGUGGAUUUGAUAUAAUGUUAUAGUUGUGGGUAAUAUUUAUAAAUUUUGCAAAGUAAGCAAGUUGUUAUAUAAUAUUCGUUUGGUCGGGGAAUAUUCUUUUUGUCGGGGAAUAUCCGAACGACGACACGAUUAUUGGUGGACCCCACAACGGAAGUAUUGUCGUAGUAAGAUAAUGACAAAAUUAUCUUUUUAUAAAAAUAACGGCGAAAGUGUUACCGUUAAAACUGUUGAACUACUCGGUAGUAAAAGUAUAGUAAUACGCGAGGUUGUAUAGUAGCACACGGUAUUGAUUAUUGAUGCUUACGUAAGAAGUUACUCAGUUAUACUCAAUUAUUGCUACAGUAAUUGUUGCAUCAUAUCUCUCAUAUUAUUGAUUCAAUUAUUGUCACAGUAUCAUCUGCAUAAUAUGUUAUAUUAUUAAAUCAAUAAUUGAGAUGACAAAGUUAUUCAUAUUAUUAUUUGCAAUAUUGACAAUGUCUAGAAGUUCUAUCAAUGAGAGGUUAGAUAAUCUAAUUGUGCGCCAAUAGGGAGAAAUCCUUAUCGGAAAGCCCCCUCUUUCCUGGGAACGACCUGGUUGUUAAAUAUUAUGAGUUAUAAUACUACUGAUGAAUAAGUUUGUGUUGAUUAAAGAUGAAAUUAAUAGUUCCAUUGUGUUGAGAUUAUUAGUGUUAGUGGAAAUUGACAUUUAUUUUGAUAAUAAUUGAUGUCUGGAAGUUAUAUUGACCAAUCGGGUAAUUAACCGGAUAAAUGAGUAAUUAAUUGCUAUUAACUCACAUGCUUAUAACUAUGUGUUCACAUGUGUGUACUAUUGAUUCACAUAAUUUACUAUUAGGGGAGUUGCUACAAGAUUGAUAAUACUUGCAUGACUAAAUUAAAAAUGGAGGUAUAGAUGAAGGUACUAUACUAUAAUUAAUUUUUUCACAUGUUUAGAACUUUUAAGUCACAUGAUUUACUAUUGAUUCACAUGAUUUACUAUUAGGGGAGGUGGUGCAAGUUUGAUAAUACUUGCAAUUAAAAAUGAAGAAAAAGAGGAAGGUAUUAUACUGUAAUAUUUUGAGCCCCAAAACGUAUAAUUAUUGAAACUAUAUUUUUCUAUAAAUAGAAGCUCAUUCUUCUUUCAUUAUCACCAAUUCACUAAGCUAUAGAGCAAUUAUUAUAGGGAGAAAUUAUAGAGAGAAAGAAGAAGAUAAGUCUACUACUUCACUAUUCCAGUAUCCAGUUUCUUCUAAGGUAAUGGGUAUUAUUUCUUUCGUAUUCAUGAAGAGAGUUAUUUCUUUCAAUACUCGUAAGGGUUGUUAUUCCAUUCUUUAUUAUUCUGUUGGAAUAACCUGUCUGUGCGGACUACACACGCCUGGUGAAUUCUUUUGUUAUUAUAUUCUUUAUUAUUCUGUUGGAAUAACUUGUCUGUGCGGACUACGCACGCCUGAUGAAUUCUUCUAUUAUUCCAUUCUUUACUAUUCUGUUGGAAUAACCUGUCUACGCGGACUACCACAUGAUUGGUGAAUUCUUCUGUUAUUCCAUUCUUUAUUAUUCUGUUGGAAUAACCUGUCUACGCGGACUACCGCAUGCAUGGUGAAUGACCCUUCGUAUUCAUUCUUUAUUAAAUUAUAGAAAUGAUCUGUCUACGUAGAUUACCGCAUGGCGGGUGAAAAUCUAUUUGCAGUUUCGUAUAUUCUAUUAUACUCGUAUGAGAUAUCAUUUCUUUUGUAUUUGUCAUGGAAUAUCAUUUUUUUUGGUAUUUUUCUUUUACGAGUUACUAUUCACGGGUUAGUAUUCACCUGGUUACUAUUCACUGUAGUAUUGUUCACUCGGGUAUUCGGGACACUUUUUGUGUCGGAGUACUAUUCAUGGGUUAUACUAUUCACGGGUUACUAUUCACCCGAUUACUAUUCACUCUAGUAUUAUUCACUCGGGUAUUUGGGACACUUUUUGUGUCGGGGUAUUAUUCACAGGGUACUAUUCUCGAAGUACUAUUCACGGAGUACUAUUCACCAAAAAAAUAUAUUUCUUUUCGAUCCAAAUCAUUUUUGGGUACAAUAUUAUUCUUGAAUUUUACUCCACAAAAUAGUAUCAUGUUGACAAAUUGGACGUUAUUGAUUCCUAGAUAAAUUAAAUUAUAAAUCUUUAAAAUUUAUCCUUGACUUGGUAUGAUUAUGACCAGGAAUUAUUCGGUAUAAUCAUGACCGUAAUGUGACGAAUGAUGUGGUGAAAGUCCUCAUUGGCCUGUAGUUAAUUGAUGGACAGUUGUUGGUAUGAUUAUGACCAGGGAUUAUUCGGUAUAAUCAUGACCAUUGAUGAUUACAUGAGUAUCCUUGGCCGUGAUGCAGGGAUGAUUCGAUUUUAUUUAUUAAGUUGAGUCUCAGCGAUAAAGUUGAUGAAAAACUUUUUAAAUCAUAGAAGAUAGUAGAUUUUAUGCUCUACUUGACUCUUCUAAUGGAUUGCUUAUUCCGCUGCAGUUGUUGAUCUAAAACUGUUGUCUAUUAUAUUCUAUCAGUUGUUAUACUGUUGAAGGCUAAGGAUAAUUUAUUCUGUAUUAUCUUAUUCAUAAUAUUUUUUGCUGGGCUAGUUGAGCUCACCCUUUCUUUCACUGUUCUCUUCAGGAAAUGAGAAUAUAGCUGGGACGAGUCGGGGAACGGAUUGACGGUCCAAAUGGUUGUUUUUGUAGUCCUCACUAUUCUGUGAAAUAAUGUGAUAAUAAUUGUAAUGAGGACUCCAUUGGGAGUGGAUAUUGUCUAGAAAGCAAUAUUCUUGUUUAAACUCUCAAUUAUGUUUUGUCGUAUAUUACCCGACAGUUGUAUAAUUAAGUUUGUAUUUGAUUUAUGUACCAUAUAUUUGGCGACUCAAGAUGGGUGAUGUAUACCUAUUUUGGGGCCGUCACAAAGCCCAUACACUCCCAUUUUAGAUCAUAGCUCCUAUGCCCAGACCCAUUAAGAGCAUACCCAGCCCCUACUAAUAUGCACAAUCUAAGCUCCCAUGAUCUAAAGCCCCUGACUUUGCAAAUAUAGAUCGAUAGAUAGAUUUUCGGGAAGGAUCACAUUUUGGUAGAUAGAUGGUUUAAUUUGUUUAACUAUUUAUUAUAAAAUUGAGUAUAAUUUAAUAUAAUUAAUUAUUUAGCUUACCUUCUCUCUCCUUGUCUGCAUUGACACAUAGAUUUAUUGAUUGCCACGUCCUUCUUCUGUUAAAUGGUUAACAGACAUAGACGACAAAAUUAAUUUUUGUAAAUAAAGUAUAGUUCAAUGAGUUGACCGUAAAAAAAUUUAGUUUAGUGAUGCAUUUGUAAACCGAUGUUGAGUAGAGUGGAGAAAAGUGUAUUUAAUCCGCUCCAAAAGUCACCACUUUACAAGUCUCGUCAACAAUCAGCACCAUGUAAACACUCACCCUCUUUGGUGAACUUGAAGAGUUUGAAAAUCAACUUAGGAGGUAUGAUGAUGAAAAUGAGGCACCAAUAAAGAAGACAUUGACACUUCAAGCUGAGAGUAACAAUGAAUGUGAUAACGAAGAUUUUGAUAAAGAAAUUGAAAUGCUCUCAAGAAACUUGAGAGACUAUUUCAAAAGAAAAUAAAAAAGGUAGCUCAACUCCAGUGGGUAAGUUCAAAACAGAACAAGAAGAAGAAAUUGUCCAACUCUAUUUCAUAGGACUAGAAGAUGAUGAUCAACUUGAGGUAACAAAUUUUCAUGAAGCUUUUGAAAUAUCUAUGCCUGAUUAUAUUGCUUUACAAAAUGAAAAUCAACAACUCAAAAAAAAAACUGUUUAUUUUAAGAAUUGCGUAAAUGCUAAUGAAUGAAGUUAAGUCAUUUAUUAAAGAGAGAAAAGAAAAUGAAUAUCUUAAAAAUGAAAAUGAAGUUUUAAAAGAAAAUUUAAAAAUGAGAGAUGAAUGCAUAAAUGCUUUUAAUGAUGGAAAAAUGAUGAAUGUGCAACAUGAUGAUAAUGUCACAAAUGCAAAAAUAACAUCUUUAAAAAAUGAUCUUGCUAAAUUUGUGCAAUGAGAAGAGAACCUAAAUGUUAUGUUAGGGGCACAAAGGUCUAGUCUUGAUAAAUAAGAAAUUGGGUAUAAUCCUAUUAAAAUGUGAAAAAUAGAACUAAUAAUAAUAUUAUAAUGAUUAAUAGAAAACCAAUGCAUAAACCACUUUAUUGUUCACCGUUUGUUACUUGUAAAAAAUAUGGUUUUAAAGGUCAUUUUAAAAUGUGGCUUUAUUAGAAUAAAGCAAAUUUGGGUAAAGAAAUGUGAUUUAUAUGCUACUAACCUAAUAGGACCCAAGAAGAUUUGGGUACCAAAAUGGUAGAGACUAUUUGUUCAUUUUGUAGAUGUCUCAAGGUCAAAAAGGAGACAGAUAAUACUUAUAAAUUAUUUGGCAAAAUUCGCAAGUACCUUAUUUUUUUAAAUAGAUUUUUAAUUAGAUAUAUUAUGAAAACUCUAUGGAUUUCGUAUCAUAUGGCUUCAUAACAUCAUUUAUUAUAAAGUUUUUAUUGUGCUAAAUGCUCCAUAUUUAAUACAAACGACAAUCUUGAUGAGGAAUAAGUGAAUAUUAUUUUUGAUGAACUUAACCAUGAUCUGUUAAAGGAAGAGAAUGAGGUUUCUGCUGGAAAUGACUAUCUGAAUUGUGGAACCCAAACAGUUCAAUCCGGAUAGUCUAAGCCGUCUCUAUCAGAAGGAAAGAUAGAUGAAAUCAGACAAUUUGACCCGUCUGUUUUAGAAGAAAACUCAAAUUUACAAACACCUAAAUCCAAACAGAUCGAGUCGUCUACUUUAGAAGACAAAACAUAUGAAUAUUCGGAUGCAGUAACUUAUAUUCCAGAGGAUGAAUCUCAAAAGCAAAUGACUACUGCCAGGCUUCCUAAAUCUUCUAGAACUAUGGGAAAUCAUCAUCCAAGUCUGAUCAUCAGAAAUUUCAACAUUAGGAUGUCCACAAGAAGAGGUUUUGAAGAAAUUUGUUUGCUACACUAAGGAGCUUAUCUAUUAAGCUUAUUGUUGGUAACAAAAUUGUGGAUAUAUAGGUAACAAAUCACAAAGGUAUGGUCAUUUUAUUUAAUUGCUAUAUGUGAUAUUGUUAUAAGCUUGCUCCCGUGUCUUUAUUUUAUGAAUUAUUUUUUGUUUGUCACAAAUGGGAUAGAGAUAUAACUAAAUUGAUGAUUUUUUUUUUUUUGAUAAUAACAAAGGGGAGAAAUGUUUAGAAAAAUUGAUGAUUAUGAUAUCUGAUGGUUAUAUUGAUUAUAAUAUGUUUAGAUUUUUUUGAUAUCAUAUUGAUGAUAAUGGUUGGAUAUUUUGAUUCAUUAUCUGUUAUAGCUUAUCAUUAUGCAUUAUUUAUCAUAACAGUUAUGUGAUCUUUAUAUCUCCUAUAGGCAUAAAUUUAUGGGGAGCAUGAUUGCAAGGAAUAAUAUAUUGUCAUCAUCAAAAAAGAGGGAAAUUGUUAGUUUUAUUAUUUGUGAUUUUAAUAAUGACAAUAUAUUUGUAAAUAUAAUUUAUUUAAUGUAUUGAAUUAAUUUUGUAAUGGUUUGUUGAAUAUGAUAUAUAGUAAGUUUGGUUCAUGAUAAUUUAAUUUGGUUAUAAUUCAAAUUGUUAUUACGUGCAGGAUUGAAUUGAAAUAUUUUCUUCCAGGUUGUUAUUUUGUUAAAACAGGUUGUUUCAAUUUUGAAUUGGAAUAUGUUAAGGAGUUUGUUUAGCAGUGUAAUCUAUCUAUUAAAUAUAUUAAAAUGCAGUACAUGAUAUCAUAGCUUGACAUAUGUCAUUCUCACAAUUCAACACGUGUCCUGUCUAAUUAAUAUUCCUUAAGACCCUUAACAAAAGUGCCCAGCUAACAUAACAAAUGAGGAUGAAAACAAACUUUAAUUCAUUCCCCUAAAUUUUAGAUUUAUAAUCCCCUAAAUCAUGCUACAAAUCUAAACUAUUUUGAUAAUAUCAACUGUUUUGAUAUUAUCCUUUGUAAUUUAAUUAUUAUUUAAUAAAAUUACUUUUUUAUGCUAUUAAUUAAUUUUUUAGAUUUAUAAUCUUCUAAAUAACUACAAAUCUAAACAGUUAAUAACAUAAUGUCAUUCUCUUAAUUUUUUAAAUUUACAAUCCUCUAAAUCACUACAAAUCUAAACUGUUUUGAUAAUAUCAACUGUUUUGAUAUUAUCCUUUGUAAUUUAAUUAUUAUUUAAUAAAAUCAUUACUUUAUCUCAACACCACCCCCUACAAUGUAUAUUCAUUUGUUUUUCUGUGUAAAAUUUGAUCAUCGCACAACAAUCUACCAUCUUCUUAUUAUAUUUUAAUUUAUUAAUUAUACAUACAUAUUUAUUGAAUAAUUCCGCCCGCAACGCACGAGUUUGUAUCUAGUGUGGUCUAAUUUGGAGUCUUUAAAUUAACUGGUUUAGAUAUUUGUGUAGAGUAUGGGCUCUAUCUACUCGUUAAUUUUAGCCUAUGUUGAUUACGUAUCUUUGAUUUUCUAAUUUUGAGAAUAUUUUAAGCUGUUAGCUAUAUCUAUAGUUCUGAAAUAUCAAAUUCUCGAAAUGAAAGACCAAGUCAUGCUAACCAUUUCAUAUAGUCGUUGGACUGAGUUCUAUAUAUUUUCUUCAUGUUUGUCUAUAGUGAGCAGGACUCUUGAAGCUUAUAGCAGCCAUAUUACACAGAUUAAUCAAGAGCUUUUCAAAGUUAUUUUCAGCUACUCAUUAUAUUGUUAAUUUAUUUCAGUUAAAAAUUAAGAGUCUAUUAUAAUCUAUAUUUAUUGUAUUAAAUUUUAGUUCAAGUCUUGUUUGGCUUGAUCGAUCCAAUAGUGGAUAGGUUUGUUCGAAGAAAACUUUUAAGGUUGCAGAGGUGCAAAUGUCUCAGUGGUGAGAAAGGUUGCAAUGAUGCAAAGGGGCAGAGGUGUUCAUCGCAGUGGAAAAUUUUAUUUGAACAGGGAGUUCUUUUUAUUAUACUUAAUGGAGUCUUAAAAGUUUAAUAAAAAGAGUCCAAUACCGGUUGGUUUUGAACGUGGAUUAAGCCGUUAGAGUUUAAGGGCAGAACCACGUAAAAAUUCUUGUCUGUGGUUUGUUAAUUCUUCUGGGUUGAUAAUUUAUUUCUCACGUUGCAUCUAAUCUCAUUCAUAUUACAUUUUAUUGUUGGUAGGAAAAGUAUACUAAUCUAGACACUAUCUUCUGUCUUUAUAACAAAAGUAAAAUUGACUCUAAAGCAGACACUUUUAUUUGUCUGUUUUAAGUUUAGCAGCAAGUUCAGCAGCAGGAAAAUAAAAUUAGUCAUUGUUAGUGUGCUUAUUUAUAGAAUUACAUCCACAUCUGUAAUUCUACUGAGAUUUAAUGAAUGUUUAUUUUGCCGAUUAAAAAACAAAGGAAAAAGAAUAAAAGUAAUAAGAUGUUCGAAACAUUUGAUUGUAUUAUUAUAUUUUUGUGAGCCAAGGUGAAAGCAAAGCCACCUAGUGGUAGUUGUUUUAUUUAUAAUAUGGUAAUAACAACCAUGAACUGAUAGUUGAUUUAUUUAUUAUAUGCUAAUAACAGCUAUCAGCUAGUGGUUGAUUUAUUUAUUAUAUUCUAAUAAACAGCCAUCAACUAGUAUAUAGUUUCUUGAUCAACUGUUCAUAGGAAGAUUACUGAUCGUUCAUUUAGGCGUUGGGGGGACUAAUUUGAACACCAUAGAUAACUAAACCCGUCUCCAUAGUCGUGUUUUCACUCCCGUCGAGAGCAAAUUUGAAAUCUCCAGAGUCAAAGCUAUUCAAGAAUUCCCCAGCUUUGAGUGAAAUCGGUGUGUUCCUCGGACAAUCCAUCAACCUAUAUCCAUUCACUUGCGUGGACCCAUCCGGAGGAGUAAGUGUAAGACUCACCGGACUUUCUAUGUUAAGGUUGUCUUUCAGCAGCACCACAAAAGACACCUCAUAAGUUCAUUUUUCAAGAGUUUCUGUCGGAUAUUUUCCAUCAACAUGUAGGACUAAGCUACCAAUUAAUUCAGCACUGGCAUCACUGAAAAAAAAUGAUAGUAGAAUUAAAGUCAGAAACUUUUGAUAUAAGGAGCUUAAAUUCAUUAAGGUGAUUUUAUUGAUUUUUUUUUCUGGAAAAUUUUUAAUGUUAAGUCCUUCUAUCUGACUAGAGUCUAGACUUCAAUAAAAUUUCUAUAGUCCUUCUAUCACUUUAAUUUAAUGACAUAGUUGCUUAUAUAUCCCUAUUUUUAACUGAAUAAAAUUCAGGUGUUUAAACACAAAUCUUGACCUUUGACAUCAAUUAAGUUAACUAAGUCUUAUUUCUACUUACGUAAACUUCCAGCCUGAAGGGUUGGCAUAAUUGAGUUCCUUUGCAUGCACAAAAGCCCAACUGCUCUGAAUAAGUCAACAGAAAUUUACAUUAUUAUAUGGAUAGAUAAGGCAAACCAGCGGUGACCAAUAAAUGAUAUGUCGAUGCCUUUAUAAAUAUAUAUAUAUAUAUAUAUAUAUAUAUAUAUAUAUAUAGAAUAUUGACGGUUGACAUUGUCAAAAUAACAAUUAUAAAAGUGUUGCCAAAUGUAUAUUUACUCUGAUAGCGAUGACAUUAUCAACCACCUAUAUAUAAAUAGCAAAUGUUUCAUAGCAAAAGUUUAUUACAGAAUAUGUAUCACUCAAACCAUCUUAUAUCAAUCAUGCAUUACAACAUCAGAUAGAUGAGAUCUUAAAAUUUUUGAACACUCCGCGACAUUAUGUUGCAAAUGGUACCAAAUUUUAAAAAUCCCAAAGGUGUAAGAUGGUCUAAAUUUUGCAAAAAUGUAUCACUUGCAAAAUUUACAAAUAUUAAGGAUUAUUUUUGUUCUGUAGACAACUUUAGUGUGUAUAUAUAUUUGAUGUUUGUUUCCAAUUUCAGUGGACUUACCUUCUGGCCCGGGUCCUUUUUGAGCAACGCAUUUUCCUUAGCUUGAGACAACAAUGUCUUGAGGUCAACCUUGUGAUACCUCACUACUUGUGCCAUUUCGCCUUUAAUUCUGCUAUAUAUAUUUUUUGUUUUUGUUCUUGAUGUCUAUAUAUCUCUCUUCCAAAGGCUAGCUCUAUUUAUAGAUAGCACAAAAGAGGGUAUAUUCAAUAAUAACCUAUCUUCAAAUAUUCCUUCCUUUUUCACAGUGGGGAUCCUGAUAAGUUUAACAUCAUCAUCAUCAUCGCCAAGGAUAUAGAGCAUCAGAUUCUGUUUAAUAAUUUUGUUGGAAUAUUUCUUUUCCAUUUCUCAGUUCAAUAAUUCUUUCUUUAGCUUGUUGCGCUGGCAAAAUUCGAUGAAGGCGAAAGGUACGUAGGCAUUCAAGUAAGUGAUGAUUUUCUUCUAACCAGAAGUAUGAGCAGGUUGAUGAUACAUAUGUCAUGCCAACAUAACAAACUUUAGAGGAGCCGAGUUCGAAAAAGAGAGGGUACUGGUAUAAUUGCCUUAAUUCGAUCUUAUCACCCAAGCACGGGUGCCAUCUAUUUUGGUUCAAUAUAAUGGAGUAUAUAUUCAAAUCAACAAAACAAGGCAAGAACAAAAAAUAAAUUUAAAGUGCAUAUUUUAAUAGGAAUAUCUAUUAAUAUAUAUAGGUAUGUUACUCAAAUAUCUAUACCAUCUAUACCAAUUUAUAGCAAGAUAAAUACGAGUUAUUUAAGUUGGUCUUGAGCCAAUUUAGUAAUCCAAUUUUGGUGACUCCGUAACUCAAAAUGUUUUUUUUUUGUUUUUUUGUUUGAUUUUUAUGUAUUCUUGGUCAUAAAUUUUGAUAUUCCCAAAAGUCAACUAAAACACUCAAAAGUUAUAUAUUUUCACAAAAUUUUAGUACACAUUUAUUAUUAAAGAUGGAAUAUAUUAUCUAUCAUUAAGAAUUGAGUAAAUAUAUAAAAAUAAAAUAAAAUUAAUGAAAUAACUUUUGAGCUAUCAAGUCAUCAAAUUUGGAGAGCUGAGUUGACUUGAGUUAUAUUAAAAUGUCAUUCAAAAAUAUUAUAUAUAUAAUUUACCAAAUAAAUCGUUUUUAAACUUAUCCGUACUUCGUACGGAUUAUUAAUUUUGUUUGUAUUAAAAGUAGAAGUAUAAGCAUCUCGCAGGCCAAAAAUAAAAAAAGAAAAAAAAAAAGAAAAGAAGAGCAAGACUACUUCUUUUUCUUCCUUUUUAUCUCCUUUCUUUCUUUGUUUCUUUUUAGACGGAGGACUUCAUUUCAUCUUUGAAAAUAAACAUAAGAAUUUAUCAAAGGAAAUACAAGAUAGACGAUACAAAUAUUGAGAUCUAAUGGAACUUUUGUUGUCUAAUUAUUAUUAUUUUUUAUUUUCAAAUAUACGCAUACAUGAUAAAGAUUCACAAUUAUAUAUAAUAGGCUAAAAUCAACAAUCCGCUAAAAAAUUUGCGGUCUGUCAAAAUGUUUAGUUGUCGAGCUAGUAUAAAUUACCGUCUACCAAAUCGUUAUUAGUUAACAAACUAGUGUAAAAAUUUCACUUUGGAAGCUAAUAUAAACUAUCAUCUAUCAAAUUGUUAUUAAAUGGGGAGCUACGAAUGUAAACUAUCGUCUAACAAACUUUAUUAGCUGAUGAGCUAGUGUAAAAUAUCAUUUAUCAAACUGUUAGAUAGAGUGUUGGUUACAGUUAAAUGUGUCUUUGGAUCAAUUCCUAUACAGUCCGCUUCUCCAACGGACCGGUUUGUCAGCGAACCAACUAUAGUGACGGUUCAAUCCGUCGUUAUAGCAUAGAAAAAUGUUAACGCCAAGAUUCGUCCACGUGCAAAAACGAAAUCACACAGAGGAACUUGUCGGCUUGGGCCGCCAGGGGAUAGCUCUGGUAUAAGAAUAAGUACUGACUGAAUAAAGUUAACAAUGGAGGCUUAUAAUUUUAGUGCUGAAAAAAUAAUAAGAUAUUGUGUGCAUGUGAACCAGGGUAUAUAUAGCCUUGUAUUUAUAGUGAUCACACCUCUUUAAAACGCAUCAUCUCGUAUAGGAGUAGAAUUCCUCAUUAAGAUGGAUACCUUAAUGGGACAUGAUUGAAUCUCCUUAAAAAAAGAAAGUCGGAUACUAUCCUGACUCUUUCCUUAGAAGUUAGAAAUUAAAUAUAAUUAGGAAUCCUAGAUUCCUUAAAAUUCUCCCACUGCCCGUGGGGAGACUUCCUCCACGUGGACUAUGGCCCACCGAAUUCUGUGGUCCCAAAUAAUCAUGUUCCAACAUUGUCCCCCAUUGUAAUACCUAGAAAAAUAAUUAAAAAAAUAAAAAACAUUUAAGUUUAUAUUUUAAAAUAUAUUAGUUGGAUUUUAUUAUUUAUUUGGGUCAAAGUGGUCAUUAAUUUAUGUGGGCUAAUAAAUAUUAAUAAAUUAGGGAUAAAUUAAUUUGAUAAAAUUGAGCCUUAAAACUAAUUGGGUCUAAUUUAUAUUUGUGUAAUAAUAAAUCUUAUUAAAAUUUUAUUAAAAUUAAAAGAAUUAAUAAAACAUAUUAAUUAAUGAAUAAAUAACAAACCUAAUCUUACUUUUAUUAUACAAACUGAGGGAAAGAAAAAGAAGAGAAGUAGGUGAGGCGACUUAAGAGUGAAGAAUGAAAAUUUGUCACUCUUGAUAUUUGGCAAGACACAUUUAGUAAGUUGUUACUAUUUGUUUUUUAAAUUGUUAGAUCCAUCAUGUAGAAAGCCAGUGAUUCAUAAGAAAGUUAAAAUACAUUAUAUAUGAAGUAUACUUUUAGAAGUUUGAUACAUUAUUGGUUAAUGUGGAUAGCCUUUAAGGCAGAGUAUCCAUGUGAAUUGGAUAUCGUGAAUGGCAUACUAAAAUAAUAUACGCUUAGUAUAUGGCGUGAAUCAGAUAAGAUCAAAAGGUAUUUACUGAUUAAAUGUAUCUGAAUAUAUCUAAAUAUAUCUGAAUGUAUCUGAAUUGUAUGUUCUCCAAAAUCCUAGCACCCAUAUUUAUAGGCCAUAGAAAAAUCCAUAACCAAUUAAAUAGGAUUUUUAAUAUAAAAUUGAGUAUAGAUAGAAACGAUAACUUUUCUAAAACAGAUUCUAGGUAAUACCUAAACCCAAAUCCAAUAAGGAUUCAUGUUAUACCCAACAAAUGUCCACCUUGACUUGAAUCCUCCGAAUAUUGCACAAACAGUAAACUUUUUCCUCUUCUCAAAAUGCACAACUCAAGUGCAUCGAACACUAACCACGUCCAAGCAAUGUUUGAACUUGGUAUGUGUUAACGGCUUCGUUAACAUGUCAUAUGGAUUUUCUGCUGUACCAAUCUUCAAGACCUUAUUGUCACCAUCUUCAACAAUGUCUCGAACAAAAUGAUACCUGACAUCAAUAUGUUUCCCCCGAGGACAAUACUCACAGAAGUCAAACUUUAUUAUUUUUUGUAUAGACAACUCGCUAGAUUUCUUCGUCUCCUAAUCCGUAUCAGACAUAUCUACAGGCUUCAUUGGCUUCCCUACAAUGGCUUUCUUCAAGCCUUGCUGAGUAAAAACAGCCUUCAUCCGAACCUGCCAAAGACUGAAACUAAUUUUCCCAUCGAAUUUGUCAAUAGAAAAUUUUGUUGAUGAAGUCGAACUCAACGUCAUAGUAUAUAUCGAUAAUAACCAAGCUCUGAUACCAAUUUAUUAUGACAAACUAUGACAAACACAAUAAAUCAAUGCAGAAAGAUAAAGACAAUAACACAAGGUUUUACAUGAAAACUCAAAUUGGAAAAAAACUACGGAGAAGGCAAAAGAAAUCCACUAAAUAAAUAUCUGAAGAGUACAAGAUAAAAAAAGAGAAUACUAAAUUGAGUAUAGGUAAAAAAGAUAACUUUUCUAAACCAAAACAGAUUCUAGGUAAUACCUAAAUCCAAAUUCAAUAAGGAUUCAUGUUAUACCCAACAAAUCUCCACCUUGACUUGAUCAUUCCUCCAAAUAUUGCACAAAUAUUGAACUUUCUCUUCUUCUCAAAAUGCACAACUCAAGUGCAUCGAACACUAACCACAUCCAAGCAAUGUUUGAACUUGGUAUGUGUUAAUGGCUUCGUUAACAUGUCAUCUGGAUUGUCUACAGUACCAAUCUUCAAGAUAUUAAUGUUACCAUCUUCAACAAUUUCUUGAAAAAAAUGAUACCUGACAUCAAUAUGUUUUCCCCGGGACAAUGCUCACAGAAGUACAACUUUCUUACUUUCUGUCCAGAUAACUCGCUAGUUUUCUUCGUCUCCCAAUCCGUAUCAGAGAUAUUUACAGGAUUUAUUAGUUUCCAUACAAUGGCUUUCUUCAAGCCUUACUGAGUAAAAACAGCCUUCAUCCGAACCUACCAAAGACUGAAACUAAUAUUCCCAUCGAAUUUGUCAAUAUCAAAUUUCGUUGAUGAACUCGAACUCAACGCCAUAGUUUGGAUCGAUAAUAACCAAGCUUUGAUGUGACGCCCCCAAAACAGGUAUACAUCACCCAUCUUGGGUCGUCAAAUACAUGGUACAUAAUACAACUACAAACUUCUUUUAUACAACUGUCGUGUAAAAUACGACAAAACAUAGCUGAGAGCUCUCAAUGGAGUCCUCAGUACAUUUAUUAUCACACUAUUUCACAGAAUAGUGAGGACUACUAAAACAACCAUCUGGACCGUCAAUCCGUUUCCCAAUCAGUCCCAGCUAUAUUCUCAUUUCCUGAAGAGAACAGUGAAAGAAAAUGAUGAGCUCAACUAGCCCAGUAAGAAAUAUUAUGACUAAGAUAAUGCAGAAUAAAUUAUCCUUAGCCUUCAACAGUAUAACAACUGAUAGAAUACAAUAGACAACAAGUUCUAGAUCAACAAAUACAGCGGAAUAAGCAAUCCAUUAGAAAAGUCAAGUAGAACAUAAUGUCUACAAUCUUCUAUGAUUAAAAAGUUUAUCAUCAAUUUUAUCGCUGUAAUACCCAUCAACAGUUCUUUAUACCAAAGACAAAGAGAACUUUCAUCACCUGUCUUCACCUGAACCACCAAAGAUUUUAUUUAAAUUCACAAUUCAUGUUUAUAAUAAUGUGAAUCAACAGUUCCUCCCUGCCACAAAGGCUUAAUAGAACGUUUACUCAAUAUCCUUACCCAAAGGAUAAAGAUAUUCAAAUGUAAUAACAAUGAUCAUACCAAUCAGUUGUCUAUCUUUGCACUACGGGCCAAAGAUAUUCAACUAUAAAACCAUUAGUCAUGAUCAUACCAAUCAAUUGCAUGUCGGUGCACUACGACCAAAGACAUUCAACUGUUAACUAAUGAUCAUGAUCCUGCCAAUCACAUCAUCGAAUUAUCCCUGCACUACGGCCAAGGAUAUUCUUUAGUAUCACCAGUGGUCAUGAUCAUGUCAUACAGCUGUCCAUCUUUGCACUACGGGCCAAAGCUAUCAAUCAAUAGUUCAUCUUUGGAUUACGACCAAAGAUAUCAAUCAACAGUUCUUCUUUGCACUACAGGCCAAAGUCAUACAACUGUAAAACCAAUAACCAACAGUCCAUCUAUGCACUACGGGCCAAAGAUGACUUUUAACGCAAUAUAAGCAUGAGGAUCAUGACAAUGAUAUAAAGAAUCAGUCAAAUGAGAUAAAGGAUAAAUAUUAAACAUUUAUAAUAUAAUUUAUCCAGAGUUCAAGAAUAUCCAAAUGUUAUCAAUCACUUAAUAAUCUCAUAAUCUAAUAUCAUUAAUAUUAUAACAAUAUUUUAAUCAUUUCUUAAACUUAAUUAUAAACAAUUUAUUUUAAUUGUUUACACUUUACUAAUUAAUGCAUUUAAUCAGCCUAAAAUGCCAAACUCAUAAGAUUUCAUCACCAAUAACCAAAACUCUCAUAAAAAAUCUGCAUAUACCUUAUAUAGGAUUUUCAAGCCAUAAAAUCCUAUUUAUCAAUUUUUUAACUUCACAUAACUUAUUUAAUUUAUAUGUUCGUAACUAAACUAUUUUCAUGAAAAAUAUCAAAUCAGUCUAAAAAAGUUUUCUUUUCUGAGAUUUAGCAGAAUAUAGUCCCAUAUUGAACAUAUAUUUUUCUCGAAAUUUUUAAAAUUCAUUUACUAUUUUUCAUAUGGCCAAAAUUACCGAAUAUUUAAACAUUUAUCAUAAACUAUACUUUUGUCCAAAAAUUCCAAAAUUUACAGGGUAUACUCCUUUGAUAUAUAUGUACGCCCAAUAAAUUUUUUAUCAAUUUUGGAGUUAACCACAAGGAUUUAUAAAGGUUUACUUUUAAAAUAGUCUUUUCCCAUAAAAUUCAUAACUUCUAAUCUAUACAUCCAAAAAUCACCAUUUUUGGACACAAUCUAGAAAACUCAUCAAAUUAUCAUUUCAAAUUUUUCCAGAAUUUUUGACGGUUAGAAAAAUUACGAAACUGCAAAUGGAUUUUCACCCACCAUGCGGUAAUCCACGUAGACAGAUCAUUUCCACAAUUUAAUAAAGAAUGAAUACGAAGGGUAAUUCACCAUGCAUGCGGUAGUCUGCGUAGACAGGUUAUUCCAACAGAAUAAUAAAGAAUGGAAUAACAGAAGAAUUCACCAUGCAUGCGGUAGUCCGCGUAAACAGGUUAUUAAUUCCAAUAGAAUAAUAAAAAAUGGAAUAACAGAAGAAUUCACCAUGCAUGCGGUAGUCCGCGUAGACAUGUUAUUCCAAUAGAAUUAUAAAGAAUGGAACAACAGAAGAAUUCACCAUGCAUACGGUACUCCGCGUAGACAGGUUAUUCCAACAGAAUAAUAAAGAAUGGAAUAGCAAAAGAAUUCACCAUGCAUGCGGCAGUACGCGUAGACAAUUUAUUCCAACAGAAUAAUAAAGAAUGGAAUAACAACCCUUACGAGUAUUAAAAGAAAAUAACUCUUUUCAUGAAUACGAAAGAAAUAAUACCCCUUACCUUAGAAGAAAACUGGAUAAUAGUAAGGUAGCAGACUUCUCUUCUUCUUUCUCUCUAUAAUUUCUCUAUAUAAUAAUUGCUCUUGUGAGACUUAGUGAAUUAGUGAGAAAUGAAGGAAGAAUGAGCUUCUAUUUAUAGGAAAAUAUAGUUUCAAUAAUUGCACAUUUUGUGGCUUGAAAUAUUACAGUAUAAUACCUUCCUUUUUUUCUUCAUUUUAAUUUAGUCCUACAAGUAUUAUCAAACUUGCACCACCUCCCUAAUAGUAAAUCAUGUGAAUUAAUAGUUCAUUCAUGUGACUCAAUAGUAUAAUCAUGUGAAAAAAAAACUAAUUAUAGUAUAGUACCUCCAUCUAUACCUCCAUUUUUAAUUUAGUCAUGCAAGUAUUAUCAAUCUUGCACCACCUCCCCUAAUAGUACUUGCAUGUGAAUCAAUAGUACACACAUGUGAACAAAUAGUUAUAAGCAUGUGAAUUAAUAGCAAUUAAUUGCUCAUUUAUCCGAUUAAUAAUCCGAUUGGUCAAUAUAACAUCCAGACAUCAAUUAUUAUCGAAAUAAUUGUCGAUUUCCACUAACACUAACAAUCCCAACACAAUGGAAAUAUUUUUAUCAACAAAUUUAUUUUUGAAAUUUUGAAGUUUGACUUUUUCUGCAAAAGUCAAAUGUUGACUUUUUGACCAAAAAGUCAACCCCAGUAAAUUUUGUGUUUAUAGUCUAUUUUUACUAAUUUUAUCGUUCUGGACUCAAAUAUCACGUUCGCGUCUCCAAAUUUAAUUCUGAACUCAAAUUCUAGUUUUUAAUAACAUUCAUAAUUAAUAUUAUAACUCACAAUAUUAACAACCAGAUCGUUCCCAAGAAAGAGGGGGCUUUCCGAUAAGGAUUUCUCCCUAUUAGCGCGCAAUUAUAUUACCUAUCCUCUCCUUGACAGAACUUCUAGACAUCGUCAAUAUUGCAAAUAAUAAUAUGAAUAACUUUGACGUCUCAAUUAUUGAUUUAAUAAUAUAAAAUAUUAUACAUAUGAUACUGUGACAAUAAUUGAAUCAAUAAUAUGAGAGAUAUGAUGCAGCAAUUACUGUAGCAAUAAUUGAGUUUAACUAAGUGACUUCUUACAUAAGCAUCAAUAAUCAAUACCAUAUGGUACUAUGCAACCACGCGUAUUACUGUAUUUUUACCACCAAUUAUUAUAUGACAACUUACUUACUUUGAAAAAUUUUCACAUAUCACCCUUAACUUUAACAUUUUAUCAAUUUAACUAUUUACUAAAUAGAAUAAUAAUUAUAAAAAUUGAAUACUUUCAUUUCGUAAAAUUCGGGGUCUUACAAUCUCAUCUCCUUAUGAAAUUUUGUCCUCGAAAUUUACGUACCUAGUAGUUCGAAGAGAUGAGAAUACCUUGCUUUCUUUUUCGUUUUGUACCUUCCCGGUUAUUUCCUCUCUAUCAUGAUUUUCCCAUUUCUCAUCUCCUGUAUUUCAGAUAUCAUUCUAGAAUAUAGAUUCAAAAUAAGGGUUAAUUAACAUGCCACAUAUUAUCUCUAUAUUCUGACCAACCAAUUAAAUAACAAAUAAACUUAGGUAGGUCAUACUAGCGAAUGAAUUACCCGUCUCUCCCCUCCUAGUUCUAGCCUCACAUCUUAGCCAGGGAUCAUAUCCCUAAGCUUUGAUACUAAUUGUGACGCCCCCAAAACAGGUAUACAUCACCUAUUUUGAGUCGCCAAAUAUAUGGUACAUAAUACAACUACAAACUUCUUUUAUACAAUUGUCGUGUAAAAUACGACAAAACAUAGCUGAGAGUUUAAACAAGAAUAUUGCCUUCUAGACAAUAUCCACUCUCAAUGGAGUUCUCAUUACAUUUAUUAUCACACAAUUUCACAGAAUAGUGAGGACUACUAAAACAACCAUCUGGACCGUCAAUCUGUUUCCCGACCAGUCCCAGCUAUAUUCUCAUUUCCUGAAGAGAACAGUGAAAGAAAAGGGUGAGCUCAACUAGCCCAGUAAGAAAUAUUAUGACUAAGAUAAUGCAGAAUAAAUUAUUCUUAGCCUUCAACAGUAUAACAACUGAUAGAAUACAAUAGACAACAAGUUUUAGAUCAACAACUGCAGCGGAAUAAGCAAUCCAUUAGAAGAGUCAAGUAGAACAUAAUGUCUACUAUCUUCUAUGAUUAAAAAGUUUAUCAUCAAUUUUAUCGCUGUAAUAUCCAUCAACAGUUCUUUAUUAUACCAAAGACAAAGAGAACUUUCAUCACCUGUCUUCACCUGAACCACCAAAGAUUUUAUUUAAAUUCACAAUUCAUGUUUAUAAUAAUGUGAAUCAACAGUUCGUCCUUGCCACAAAGGAUUAAUAGAACGUUUACUCAAUAUCCUUACCCAUAAGGAUAAAGAUAUUCAAAUGUAAUAACAAUGAUCAUACCAAUCAGUUGUCUAUCUUUGCACUACGGGCCAAAGAUAUUCAACUAUAAAACCAAUGGUCAUGAUCAUACCAAUCAAUUGUAUGUCAGUGCACUACGGCCAAAGACAUUCAAUUUUUACCUAAUGGUCAUGAUCCUGCCACUCACAUCAUCGAAUUAUCCCUGCACUACGGCCAAGGAUAUUCUUUAGUAUCACCAGUGGUCAUGAUCAUGUCAUACACCUGUCCAUCUUUGCACUACGGGCCAAAGCUAUCAAUCAACAGUUCAUCUUUGGAUUACGACCAAAGAUAUCAAUUAACAGUUCUUCUUUGCACUACAGGUCAAAGACAUACAACUUUAAAACCAAUAUCCAACAGUCCAUCUAUGCACUACGGACCAAAGAUGACUUUUAACGCAAUAUAAGCAUGAGGAUCAUGACAAUGAUAUAAAGAAUCAGUCAAAUGAGAUAAAGGAUAAUUAUUAAAUAUUUAUAAUAUAAUUUAUCCAGAGUUCAAGAAUAUCUAAAUGUUAUCAAUCACUUAAUAAUCUCAUAAUCUAAUAACGUCCAAGUUGUCAACAUGAUACUUCUUUGUAGAGUAAAAUUCAAGAAUGCUCAGAAGAAUAUUUUCAUGAAAACAUACUAGAUGAAGCGCAAAUAUUAAGGAUAUUCCACUAAUUUCAUGGAGUAUAGAAGUCAAAACUUUAACCAAUGGAGUAUAAUAAAGAAUGAAAUAACAAAAAAAAUCACCAUGCAUGCGGUACUUCGCAUAAACAGGUAAUUCCAACAGAAUAAUAAUAACGGAACCAGGUCAGGCAUAAUACGCACCGACAGGAUAUUCUAACAGAAUAAUAAAGAAUGGAAUAACAACAAAAAUCACCAUGCAUGCGGUACGUCGCAUAGACAGGUUAUUCCAACAGAAUAACAAAUAAUGGAACCAGGUCUGACGUAAAACGCACAGACAGGAUAUUCCAACAGAAUAAUAAAGACGAAACCAGGUUCGACGUAAAACGCACAGACAAGAUAUUCCAACAAAAUAAUAAAGACGGAACCAGGUCUGACAUAAAAUGCACAGACAAGAUAUUCAAACAGAAUAAUAAAGAAUGGAAUAAUAACAGAAUUUCACCAUGUAUGCGGUACUUCGCAUAGACAUGUUAUUCCAGCAGAAUAAUAAAUAAUGGAAUAACAAAAGAAUUUCACCAAGUAUAGGGUAGUCCGCGUAUACAGGUUAUUCCAACAGAAUAAUAAAGAAUGGAAUAAUAGAAGUUCUCUUCAUGAAUACAAAAGAAAUAAUACCCCUUACAGGUACAACAAAUAAUAUCCCUUACCGUAAAAGAAACUUGAUAUCGGAGUAGUGAAGUAGCAGAAUACUUUUCUUCUUUCUCUCUAUAGUUUCUNNNNNNNNNNNNNNNNNNNNNNNNNNNNNNNNNNNNNNNNNNNNNNNNNNNNNNNNNNNNNNNNNNNNNNNNNNNNNNNNNNNNNNNNNNNNNNNNNNNNUAACUUUAUAAAAGUAUUCUGUUUUAUAUAAAAAGAUUUUACUAUUAGCCUAAUAAAACGAAUAACUUUAUAAAAGUAUUCUGUUUUAUAUAAAAAAAAAUUCUAUUUUAUUACAUUAAUAAUACUAAUAAAACAAAACUUAUAUAUAUAUAAUAUAUAUAACAAUCAACAAUAAUUGAAUCAAAUAACGUGAGAUACUAUGCAGCAACUACUGUAGCAAUAAUUGAACAAAACUGAGUGACUUCUCACGUAAACAUCAAUAAUUAAUAUCGUGUGCUACUAUGCAACCACGCGUAUUACUGUACUUUUACUACCGAGUAGUUCAACAGGUUUAAUGGUAAAACUUCCGCUGUUAUUUUCAUAAAAAUAUUUUUGUCGUUUUCUCAAUCCGACAAUAAUUCUGUUGUGGGGUCCACCAAUGAUUGUGCCGUCGUACGAAUAUUCCCUGUUAAAACAAAUAUUUCCCGACCAAUCGAAUAUUAUAUAACAACUUGCAUACUUUGCAAAAUUUAUAAAUACUACCCACAACUAUAACAUUAUCUCAAAUUCACACCAUAAUAUUCAAAAAAAUAUUUCGAGAAAAUUAAAUCUUUAUUCGUAAAAUUUGGGAUUUUACAUUGUCGGCUCACAAUCUCCAGAAGACUAAAAGCCUCCUAUAAUUUUUCAUUAUAAUGUGUUUUUACCCGGAGAUAACUUAACGAAAGAGCCAGCCAUAGUUCAGAAUACAUGGAUCAAUGAUAUUGGAUGGGGGAAGAAGGAAAGAUGCCCUGACCAUCGAUCCACUAACAUUGUGAAAUGUACAUUAUAUACAUUCUCCUUGCUAGCUUUUGUUGGUAACCAAACCUUCACACCAAGGUAACCAAACUGUCAUACCAAGGUAACCAAUCCACACCUCCAUACCAAGGUAACCAAACCUUCAUACCAAGGUAACCAAUCCACACCUGUAGUUUUUUCAUAAUGCAGUUGGUAACCAAACUUUCAUCUCAAGGUUACCAAACCUGCAGUUUUUUUAUAGUGCAGUUGGUAACAAAACUUUCAUACCAAGGUUAUCAAUCCACCUCCACACCUUCAGUUUUUCAUAGUGCAGUUGGUAACUAAACCUCCAUACCAAGGUAACCAAUCCACACUUGCAGUUUUUUCAUAGUGCAGUUGGUGACCAAAUAAACUAUCAUACCAAGGUUACCAAACCUGCAUACCAAGGUUACCAAUCCACCUCCACACCUGCAGUUUUUUCAUAGUUCAGUUGGUAACCAAACUUUCAUACCAAAGUAACUAAACUGUCAUACCAAGGUAACCAAUCCACUUCCACACCUUCAGUUUUUUCAUAGUGCAGUUGGUAACCAAACCUUCACACCAAGGUAACCAAACCUUCAUACCAAGGUAACAAACCUUCAUACCAAGGUAAUCAAACCACAUCCACACCUGCAGUUUGUUCAUAGUGCAGUAAUUGGUAGCCAAACAUUCAUACUAAGGUAACCAAUUCAGUGUUAUUAGGUUACCAAUUUAUUUUGAAUGUGAUGCAGUUGGUAGCCAAACCUUUAUGCAGUGGGUAGCCAAACAUUCAUACCAAGGUAACCAAUUCAGUUUUAUUAAGUUACUAAUUUAUUUUGAAUGUGAUGCAGUUGGUAGCCAAACCUUCAUGCAGUUGGUUGCCAAACUUUCAGUCCAAGGUAACCAAUUCAUACUGUAGGCGUUGAUGUAGAUUGGUUACCUUAGUAUAAAGGUUUGGUUACCUUGGUAUAAAAGUUUGGUUACCUUGGUACGAAGGUUUGGUUAUCAACAUUACAUUACACAUCACUCUCUUAUCUCUCUCUUUUCUAUUCAGAAAAUAAUUUUUUUUUAUAAAACUAGAACUGAAGGUGUUCCAGUACUAUUAUUAAGUAGCUAGCUAGCUUAUUACAUGAUGACACCAAUUAUGCCUUUAUCUCCGUUCAUGUCAUGAACUCUAAUUGCUCUCUGGUGCCAUGACAUUACUAAUGAUCUUCUCCUCUGCAGUAUCUCGUGAAUUUUCUUUUCUUACCGGAAAACGGUUGCUCCCGCCACCACUGCCCCACCCUCCACCUCCACCGUCUCUGUAACCACCACCUGAGCCACCACCGCCAACUCCNNNNNNNNNNNNNNNNNNNNNNNNNNNNNNNNNNNNNNNNNNNNNNNNNNNNNNNNNNNNNNNNNNNNNNNNNNNNNNNNNNNNNNNNNNNNNNNNNNNNNNNNNNNNNNNNNNNNNNNNNNNNNNNNNNNNNNNNNNNNNNNNNNNNNNNNNNNNNNNNNNNNNNNNNNNNNNNNNNNNNNNNNNNNNNNNNNNNNNNNNNNNNNNNNNNNNNNNNNNNNNNNNNNNNNNNNNNNNNNNNNNNNNNNNNNNNNNNNNNNNNNNNNNNNNNNNNNNNNNNNNNNNNNNNNNNNNNNNNNNNNNNNNNNNNNNNNNNNNNNNNNNNNNNNNNNNNNNNNNNNNNNNNNNNNNNNNNNNNNNNNNNNNNNNNNNNNNNNNNNNNNNNNNNNNNNNNNNNNNNNNNNNNNNNNNNNNNNNNNNNNNNNNNNNNNNNNNNNNNNNNNNNNNNNNNNNNNNNNNNNNNNNNNNNNNNNNNNNNNNNNNNNNNNNNNNNNNNNNNNNNNNNNNNNNNNNNNNNNNNNNNNNNNNNNNNNNNNNNNNNNNNNNNNNNNNNNNNNNNNNNNNNNNNNNNNNNNNNNNNNNNNNNNNNNNNNAGAGUGUUGGGAGAUAGCAUUAGAUAUACAUAAUAUUUUUACAUAUUUACUAAUACACAAAAUCAUUUUCUAAUUUCUCUUUCAUCUUUCAUUCUAAACUAGCUAUCAAAGCAAAACAAAAAAGAGAGAGGGAGAGCAUAGAUUUGAUAGCCUUAAGGAGGUAAAGGGGAAGAAUUUUAAUCUUCAUGCACCCUAAGUUCAUCAAUUACUUUGGUAAAAGAAGAAGAACAUCCCAAAGAACAAGGUAAAGACCCUAAAAAAUUUCAAGUUUUGUUACUUUCUUUUGAUAAGUUUUGAUGAAAUAAAGAGCUUGUGUUCUUGAACUUUAAAACUCUUGAUCUACAUGUGUAUGCUUUUUUCACAUGUAGGUCUAGUUAUUUUUGAAGUUAAAAGUUUUUAAAAAAAAGAAAAAAGAAGAAGAAAUGAAAGUAUGUUCAAAAGGGGCUAAACACCCUAAAUUAACUAUUUUUUUUAUUUAGUUUUUUUUGAUGAAAUGUAAAGAUGAUGUUUCUAAGUUCUAAAAUUUUUUAUCUUUAUGUUUUCUAGUGUUUCAUAUAAAGAUCUAACCAUUUUUUAUGUUAAAGGUUUGAUCAAAGGUAAGGAAAGGAAACUAGUUUUUUUUUAACGAAUAAAAACCCUAAAACUUUUUAUUCACUUUGAAAUGCUAUCAUUUAAAAUCUACAUCUCCUAUUUAUGAUCCGUCAAAGAUGGGUGCUAGAUAUAGGAGUUAGCUUUCAAACCUAAGUGGUAUCACUCAAAUAUGUUGAAUUUACAAGCUUUGGUGACUGUUUUAACAAAGCUAUCCAGAUUUUUAAAAGAGAAAAAUGGAACAAUCUCAUUAUACUACAAAACAAUAUUAUUAAGGUUUAUUUACACUAUUUUAAGAGAAGCUAGAAAUGAGUUGCUGUUUGUCCAUAAGCAACAGCCACAAAGGUACUGUCUGAGAGCCUAGGAAGAGCUCCCAGACACUGUUUGUAUGCCUACUGCUACUGCCGAGGCAGUAGCCCUGCACCAAGUUCACUUUUAGCAACUUCUGAUAUUCUACUUUGCUUAGGCUAAAUUUUUAGAGAUGGUAAAGGUACUAUAUUAGUCUCUUUUAGAAACCUACGAGGCUUAAAUUUCACGUUUAUUUACUGUCCAAAAACAAUUGUCAAAGUGACUUAACAUAAUAGGUUUUAAUUUUUCACUUUGGCCUAAUAAUGUAGUUUAUUUCAUUUUAGUAAUGUUAAACUUAUUAAUUAUCUUUAUAUGUGUUGUCUCAACCACACUCAAGCUGCAAUUCCUUCUAAAAUCCCAUUUUUAGUUAAAACAGUUCACCUAGGACUUUUAACAAACAGGUGGUGUGCACAGUUCCAAUUUCUUCUUUUCAUAGCCAUUUAUUUGAGUUAUAAAUCCAUUUUUAUCCUCCUUAUUAUUCCUCAGCCCAACCUAGCUCCUUAUGCCUAAAUCCAGCUCAUAACAGUUAAAUACACGAUUUAAUAUGUGUAUAAUCAAGUAAUUGACAACUAUCUAGUUAUAACUUAGUUAGCUCACUAAUUUUCUUACUUUCAACCUUAUUAACAAUACAUUUCCAGCCCCAACAGUAGGCACAAUCCAUAACAGUUCUAGGCAUAGCAAUAUAUUGUACAAUCAUAAGCAUGUGCAAUCACUUAUUACAAUUAUAGGCAUAAGCAGUCACUUAUUACAACCUAACAAUUUCAAUUCUUGACAUACAAACUUAGUAAACAAUGGUUUUAUUACUCUACAUAAACAAGGUUCACAACUUAUAACUUUAAGCAUGAUAACUAGAAACAACCUCUAUCUUGAUUAAGGUGAAUAUUAAAGCACUUGGAAUAUGUAGUCUCUAAAAGAUAUUUGCAUACAUAGCUUCAAUUGGAUAAAUUCUUAGCUUACAUGUGAUUCUCACAACACAGUUUUUUUAUUAGUUAGUAAUAUAACCAAAUCAAGUCAUGACUUUGAAAUUAUAGGUAGCUAGGGGUUGUUUUGAAUCCUAAUCCAAAACAGGCCCAGAUUUGCCCUACUCUAGGCUCUUUUGAAAACUUCCAUAAACCUUCAUGGUUAGGUUCUUUAGACCCCAUGUUAUAAAGUAUAACCCACUUCAUUUUCAAGGACAGAUAAGUUCUUAUAUAAGUUUAUCAAUCUAGUUAAAAGUGGUUUCAUUUUGCUUAUGUAUAUGAUUGUCAUGGUAUGUAAGUUAUACCAAUACAUGUUAUACUUAGGCAUAGAGGGUACUUGAAGCAUAGCUACCCUUUAAAUGAGAACUUAAACAUAAUUUUGGACUCCAUUCCCAGCCAGCCUAUUUUGACACUAUAACAGUUUUAGAGUAGCAUUUUAGGCAUGGUUUAUUACACCAAAACAGUAGCAAGCACUAACGUAUAUGCCUUUCUAACACAUGAACCUUUUAUGUACCAUAUUUUCAUGAUUUAAAGCAUCUAAAGUCAAGGUCUUUAUGCUUUAGGCCAACACAACCCUCUUUAGUAUUUAAAUUCAAAAACAAACAUGGUUUACCAACAUGUUUACGAAGAUAGCAUAAGUGUGCAACAUAGAAGCUUAUACUAUCUUUUUAUAUAGUAUUUAACAUGCAUAAUAUAUGUUUGGAUGACAUGGAAUAUGUAAGACCCCAACUUAUUAUAAAUAAAAUUGAAUUUCUCUAUUUAUUAUCUUGAAAUAAUAAGGUGAUAAUUUGAUAUAAUACUUUAGUUAUGGGUGAAAUGUGCAAAUUUUGCAAAAUAAGCAAGUGGUUAUAAAAUAUUCAUUUUUGUCGAGGAAUAUUCGUUUGGUCAUGGAAUUUUCUUGUUGUCGGGGAAUAUUCGUAUGACGACGCAGCCAUUUGUUGGACCCAUAACAGAAUAAUUGUCGGAUGAAGAAAACAAUAAGCUUGAGUUUUUAUAAAUAACGGCGUAGUUGUUACCGUUAACACUGUUGGAAUACCCGGUGGUUAAAAUACAGUAAUACGCGUGAUUGCACAGUAGCACAUGGUAUUACACAGUAUUUUUGAAUUAUUAAUUCUUACAUAAGAAGACACUACUUAAUAAUUGUUACAGUAAUUACUGUUCAAUAUUUUAUUUUAUUUAUUCAAUAAUUGUUGCGUUGAUAUUUUAUAGUAUUGUUGUUUCAAUAAUUGUCAUUGCACAGUAUUUCCCAUUAUCAGAUCAAUAAUUCAUAAUAUUUGAAUAAUAUUAUUAGAUAGCAUUAUUGGCAAUGUCUAGAAAGUUUUGUCAAGGAGAGGUUUGGUCACUUAAUUGCGCGCUAGUAAGGAGAAAUUCUUAUCGAAAAGCCCCCUCUUUCCUGGGAACGGCCUGAUUGUCAUUAUUGUGAUUCUGUAAUAUUAUUUGUGAAUAAUUAUUUAUUGAUUUAUAUGAUAAGGAAAUAAUUAUUUUAUAUGGACAUAAAUGAUAUGAGACCCCAGAUUUUAUGAAUAAAUAUUUAUUUUUCUCGAAAUAAUUUUUUAAUAUUAUGGCGUGGAUUUGAUAUAAUGUUAUAGUUGUGGGUAGUAUUUAUAAAUUUUGCAAAGUAUGCAAGUUGUCAUAUUAUAUUCGAUUGGUCGGGAAAUAUUCUUUUUGUCGGAGAAUAUCCGUACGACGGCACAAUCAUUGAUGGACCCCACAACGGAAUAAUUGUUGGAUUGAGAAAACGAUAAAAAUAUUUUAUUAAAAAUAUCGGCGGAAGUUUUACCGUUAAUACUGUUGAACUACUCGGUAGUAAAAGUACAGUAAUACACGUGAUUGCAUAGUAGCACACGGUAUUGAUUAUUGAUGUUUACGUGAGAAGUCACUCAGUUUUGUUCAAUUAUUACUACAUUAGUUGCUGCAUAAUAUCUCACGUUAUUUGAUUCAAUUAUUGUUGAUUGUUAUAUAUAUAUAUAUAUAUAUAUAUAUAAGUUUUGUUUUAUUAGUAUUAUUAAUGUAAUAAAACAGAAAAACUUUUUAUAUAAAACAGAAUACUUUUAUAAAGUUAUUCGUUUUAUUAGGCUAAUAGUAAAAUCUUUUUAUAUAAAANNNNNNNNNNNNNNNNNNNNNNNNNNNNNNNNNNNNNNNNNNNNNNNNNNNNNNNNNNNNNNNNNNNNNNNNNNNNNNNNNNNNNNNNNNNNNNNNNNNNNNNNNNNNNNNNNNNNNNNNNNNNNNNNNNNNNNNNNNNNNNNNNNNNNNNNNNNNNNNNNNNNNNNNNNNNNNNNNNNNNNNNNNNNNNNNNNNNNNNNNNNNNNNNNNNNNNNNNNNNNNNNNNNNNNNNNNNNNNNNNNNNNNNNNNNNNNNNNNNNNNNNNNNNNNNNNNNNNNNNNNNNNNNNNNNNNNNNNNNNNNNNNNNNNNNNNNNNNNNNNNNNNNNNNNNNNNNNNNNNNNNNNNNNNNNNNNNNNNNNNNNNNNNNNNNNNNNNNNNNNNNNNNNNNNNNNNNNNNNNNNNNNNNNNNNNNNNNNNNNNNNNNNNNNNNNNNNNNNNNNNNNNNNNNNNNNNNNNNNNNNNNNNNNNNNNNNNNNNNNNNNNNNNNNNNNNNNNNNNNNNNNNNNNNNNNNNNNNNNNNNNNNNNNNNNNNNNNNNNNNNNNNNNNNNNNNNNNNNNNNNNNNNNNNNNNNNNNNNNNNNNNNNNNNNNNNNNNNNNNNNNNNNNNNNNNNNNNNNNNNNNNNNNNNNNNNNNNNNNNNNNNNNNNNNNNNNNNNNNNNNNNNNNNNNNNNNNNNNNNNNNNNNNNNNNNNNNNNNNNNNNNNNNNNNNNNNNNNNNNNNNNNNNNNNNNNNNNNNNNNNNNNNNNNNNNNNNNNNNNNNNNNNNNNNNNNNNNNNNNNNNNNNNNNNNNNNNNNNNNNNNNNNNNNNNNNNNNNNNNNNNNNNNNNNNNNNNNNNNNNNNNNNNNNNNNNNNNNNNNNNNNNNNNNNNNNNNNNNNNNNNNNNNNNNNNNNNNNNNNNNNNNNNNNNNNNNNNNNNNNNNNNNNNNNNNNNNNNNNNNNNNNNNNNNNNNNNNNNNNNNNNNNNNNNNNNNNNNNNNNNNNNNNNNNNNNNNNNNNNNNNNNNNNNNNNNNNNNNNNNNNNNNNNNNNNNNNNNNNNNNNNNNNNNNNNNNNNNNNNNNNNNNNNNNNNNNNNNNNNNNNNNNNNNNNNNNNNNNNNNNNNNNNNNNNNNNNNNNNNNNNNNNNNNNNNNNNNNNNNNNNNNNNNNNNNNNNNNNNNNNNNNNNNNNNNNNNNNNNNNNNNNNNNNNNNNNNNNNNNNNNNNNNNNNNNNNNNNNNNNNNNNNNNNNNNNNNNNNNNNNNNNNNNNNNNNNNNNNNNNNNNNNNNNNNNNNNNNNNNNNNNNNNNNNNNNNNNNNNNNNNNNNNNNNNNNNNNNNNNNNNNNNNNNNNNNNNNNNNNNNNNNNNNNNNNNNNNNNNNNNNNNNNNNNNNNNNNNNNNNNNNNNNNNNNNNNNNNNNNNNNNNNNNNNNNNNNNNNNNNNNNNNNNNNNNNNNNNNNNNNNNNNNNNNNNNNNNNNNNNNNNNNNNNNNNNNNNNNNNNNNNNNNNNNNNNNNNNNNNNNNNGAUAUUGUUUAGAAGACAAUAUUUGUAUUAAAACUCACAGCUCUCUUGUUGUAUAUUAAAGAUUGUAUUUGUAUUCUGUACCAUGUAUUUGGCGACUCAGAAUAGGUGAUGUAUACCUAUUUUGGGGGCGUCACAGUUGGUAUCAAAGCUUAGGGAUAUGAUCCCUGGCUGAGAUGUGAGAUAAGAACUAGGAGGGGAGAGACGGGGAAUUCCUUCGCUAGUAUGAACUACCUAAGUUUAUUUGGUAUUUAAUUGGUCGGUUAGAGUAUAGGGAUAAUAUGUGUUAUGUUAAUUAACCCUUAUUUUGUGGCAGUAUUUAAAAAUGGCAUCCGAUAAUGUUGAGAAUAGCAAUGGAGCACAGGAGACCGUUGAGUCUCCACAGAUUAAUAAUCAGGACAAUGUGCAACCGGAUGACGAUAAUCCUCCUGUAAACAACAACACUAAUCAAUUGACGAACGACGGUACGUUUAAGAGCUUUUUAGAAUUCAUGCAACACCAAACGAGAGAGACUCCUGUUCAUAAUGCUGGAGGAAACAAUGGCAACCCACGGUUGGUCACCGCUAAGUAGUUCAAGGAGCUGGGACCACCAGAGUUUUUGGAAAAGCCAGAACCACUUAAGGCAGAGACGUGGUUAAAGCAGAUCACCAAGAUAUUUGAUGUCUUGGGAUGCUUGAAAGAGCAAAAAGUUCCAUUCGCCACCUUUAUGUUUCGUGAAGAAGCAGAUCACUGGUGGGAAUCUAUAAAACGUACCCAGCCUGACGCACUCAAGAUAUCUUGGGAGAAGUUCCAAGAGCUGUUCAACGACAAGUACUUUCCUGAAAGUAUUCGUCACAUGAAGGAGGUGGAGUUCAUCAAGCUGGAGCAAAACAAUAUGACCGUGUCGCAGUACGAGGCUAAGUUUGCCGAGUUGUUCCGAUUUGCGUUCCAUUUGGUUGAUAAUGAGGAAAGAAUGACGCGAAUGUUUCUAAGAGGUUUGAAAUCCAAUAUACGUCAAUACCUCAUUUCUCACAAACUUUAUUUAUAGUCAGAUGUUGUGAAUAGGGCUCAGUUAUUGGAGCACGAUAAUGAGUUAGCACAACCAAAAGGCAAUGACCAACAACACGAUAAUAAUUAUAUCAGUGGCAACGGUCAUCGGAACAAUGAUAACCAUCGUGGGGGAAAUUAUCAUGCCAAGAAUGGUAACCACUUCGCUGGUAAUCAUGGACAAGAUAAUAGAAGUGGAAAUUUCAAGAAGAGAAGGUUCAAUAAUGAUGGAAAGACAGUAGCACCAGCACCCGUUUCAAAGGAAGAAGAACGACCACCGAUCGUAUGUUUCAAAUGCGGACAGGAGGGACACAUCCGUCCAAACUGUAUGCAGCAAUCCAAAACGUGUUUUAAUUGCGAAAGAGAAGGUCACCUAGCUCGAUUUUAUCGUAUGGUAAAGUCAAGUCCAGCUGGGAUAGUGAUGCCAAAGGAUGUCCCAGACAAGCCAAAGCUGAUAAUUUAAGAGAGAACGUUUUUUUUCUCGUGACGAGGAACCUGAAUAAAAUUAUCAUGGGUAAGUUAAUCAUAAACUCUUGCGAAGUCUAUACCAUGUUAGAUACCGGUUUUACUCACUCUUUUAUUUCACCUAGUUGUGUUCAAUGUUUGUACUUAACUCCGGAGAAGUUAGAAUCUGAUUUAUCUAUUAAAACUCCGUUGGGAGAAACCUUCGUUACAUCUAUUAUUUAUAAAUCUUGUUUGAUUCAAAUCGACACUUUCAUGUUACCUGUCGAUCUUAUCUCUUUGAAAAUACUUAUCUUUGAUGUGAUUUUAGAAAUCGAUUGGUUAACUACUCAUCAUGCUUUUCGUAAGGUUGUUAGAUUUCAUAUUCCUAACCAACCUGUUAUGCAAAUUCAAGCAACCAAACCACUAAAUUCAAUCAUUGUCAUAUCAAGCCAUAAGUAAAGAGCCCCGAUCCUUUUGUUGUUGACUUCCUUGUGUGGAAUGCACUGAAGCCAGACUUUCUGUAUGCGACAUCAUGAAUGACGAUGGCAAGUUGAUAGGUAUUAAUAUGACGUACUAUCCAAGUCUUGGAUGAGAGUAACAGUUUUGAAUGAUAUUUCUAUCGUUAAUAAAUUUCCUGACGUAUUCCUGAAGACUUCAUAGCCUACCCCUAGAGCAUGAAAUCGAAUUUUAUAUUGACCCCAGUACAAAACCCAUUUCUUACACCCUCGAAUAUUUCUUCAACUAAAAUGAACGUAACAUACGCCAAAGACGUUGAAUCGAGCUGUUGAAGAUUACGAACGUACCAUUCAAUACCAUCGUAGGAAAAGCUAACAUGGUUGCUAACGCGUUGAGUAGAAGAUCGUAUGCGGUUACAAGUGCGAAUAUAAGAACCCACGUGAAGAUAAUGAAUAUACGAGUAGAAUUGACUUUAAUCAAUAAAGUUAAAGCCGCUCAAGCUAAAUACUCAGAGCUGAUGAAUGUGAAAAAGAAGGUUUAAGAGGGUGUUAUUCUAGAAGCAAGAAUCGAUGAAGAGAGGAAAUCUCAACCCUCGAUUUAAUUGGCCCAUUUGAAAUCCUCGAUUGAGUAGGAACUGUGGCUUACAGACUCAUUUUACCGCCAAGUAUGUCGCGUGCUCAUAACGUUUUUAACGUAUCGAUGUUACGUAAAUAUGUGGACGACCCAAACCACAUUAUUAAUUUAGAACCAGAUGAGAUAGCAGAUGAUUUAACGUAUGAGGAGAUACGUGUUAAAAUCUUGGAUAAGAAGGAUUAUAUUCGACACUCAAAGGUUAUAUCUCAAGAGUUAGAAUCUGAAAUGAAGUCAAGGUAUCCUCACCUGUUCGGCAUACCAGGUACGUACGUAAAUUUUGAGGGCGAAAUUCCAUAAGGAGGGGAGAUUGUGAGACCCCAGAUUUUAUGAAUAAAUAUUUAAUUUUCUCAAAAUAAUUUUUUAAUAUUAUGGUGUGGAUUUGAUAUAAUGUUAUAGUUGUGGGUAGUAUUUAUAAAUUUUACAAAGUAUGCAAGUUGUCAUAUUAUAUUCGAUUGGUUGGGGAAUAUUCUUUUUGUUGAGGAAUAUCCGUACGACGGCACAAUCAUUGGUGGACCCCACAACGGAAUUAUUGUCGGAUUGAGAAAACGACAAAAAUAUUUUAUUAAAAAUAACGGCGGAAGUUUUACUGUUAAUACUGUUGAACUACUCGGUAGUAAAAGUACAGUAAUACGCGUGGUUGCAUAGUAGCACACGGUAUUGAUUAUUGAUGCUUACGUGAUAAGUCACUCAGUUUUGUUAUUGGUAUUAUUAAUGUAAUAAAACAUAAAAUCUUUUUAUAUAAAACAGAAUACUUUUAUAAAGUUAUUCUAUAAAUAGAAUAUAUUAUAUUCUAUUAUGCAUAGUGUUUUGCAUAGUAAAAUCUUUUUAUAUAAAACAGAAUACUUUUAUAAAGUUAUUCUAUAAAUAGAAUAUAUUAUAUUCUAUUAUGCAUAGUGUUUUGCAUAGUAAAAUCUUUUUAUAUAAAACAGAAUACUUUUAUAAAGUUAUUCUAUAAAUAGAAUAUAUUAUAUUCUAUUAUGCAUAGUGUUUUGCAUAGUAAAAUCUUUUUAUAUAAAACAGAAUACUUUUAUAAAGUUAUUCUAUAAAUAGAAUAUAUUAUAUUCUAUUAUGCAUAGUGUUUUGCAUAGUAAAAUCUUUUUAUAUAAAACAGAAUACUUUUAUAAAGUUAUUCUAUAAAUAGAAUAUAUUAUAUUCUAUUAUGCAUAGUGUUUUGCAUAGUAAAAUCUUUUUAUAUAAAACAGAAUACUUUUAUAAAGUUAUUCUAUAAAUAGAAUAUAUUAUAUUCUAUUAUGCAUAGUGUUGCAUAGUGUCUGCAUAGUGAUUUGCAUAGUAAAAUCUUUUUAUAUAAAACAGAAUAUUUUUAUAAAGUUAUUCGUUUUAUUAGAUUAUAAAUAGAAUAUAUUAUAUUUUAUUUAAAAGAUUUUGCUUUAAAUAUGGACCGUCCGAUUAAAGUAAAUCAAUCUGGACCGUUCAUGAGUUAGUUACUAUGUAGUCCAUUCUUCUAUAAAUAGAAGCUCAUUCCUUCAUUAUUUUCUUACGAAUUCACUGAAACCCUAGAGAGAGAAAUUAUAGAGAAAAAAAAGAAAAGUAUUCUGCUACUUUACUACUCCGAUAUCAAGUUUCUUUUACGGUAAGAGAUAUUAUUUGUUGUACUCGUAAGGGGUAUUAUUUCUUUUGUAAUCAUGAAGAGAACUUCUGUUAUUCCAUUCUUUAUUAUUCUGUUGGAAUAACCUGUAUACGUGGUCUACCCUAUACUUGGUGAAAUUCUUCUGUUAUUCAAUUCUUUAUUAUUCUAUUGGAAUAUCCUGUCUGUGCGUUUUAUGCCAGACCUGGUUCCGUCUUUAUUAUUCUGUUGGAAUAUCCUGUCUGUGCGUUUUACGCCGGACCUGGUUCCGUCUUUAUUAUUCUGUUGGAAUAUCCUGUCUGUGCGUUUUACGCCGGACCUGGUUCCGUUAUUUAUUAUUCUGUUGGAAUAACCUGUCUAUUCGAAGUACCGCAUGCAUGGUGAUUUUUGUUGUUAUUCCAUUCUUUAUUAUUCUAUUGGAAUAUCAUGUCUGUGCGUUUUACGCCAGACCUAGUUCUAUCUUUAUUAUUUUGUUGGAAUAACCUGUCUAUGUGAAGUAUCGCAUGCAUGGUAAUUUCUGUUGUUAUUCCAUUCUUUAUUAUUCUGUUGGAAUAUCCUGUCGGUGUGUAUUACGCCUGACCUGGUUCCGUUAUUUAUUAUUCUAUUAGAAUAACUUGUCUAUGCGAAGUACCGUAUGUAUGGUGAUUUCUUUUCUUAUUCCAUUCUUUAUUAUACUCAGUUAGUUAAAGUUUUGACUUCUAUACUCCAUGAAAUUAGUGGAAUAUCCUUGAUAUUUAUACUUCAUCCAGUAUCUUUUCAUGAAAAUAUUCUUCUGAGCAUUCUUGAAUUUUACUCUACAAAGAAGUAUCAUGUUGAAAAUUUGGACGUUAUUGAUUCCUGGAUAAAUUAAUUCGUGAACUUGUUUUAUUGAAUUAUUAUGUCAUUGUCAUCAUCCUCAUGUUUAUUUUUUUUGAAAGUCAUCUGUGGCCUGUAGUGCAUAGAUGGACUUGGUAUGAUUAUGACCAGGGAUUAUUCGGUAUAAUCAUGACCGUAAUAUUACAAAUGAUGUGGAAAAAGUCCUCAUUGGCCCGUAAUGCAUUAAUGGACAGUUUUCGGUAUGAUUAUGGCUAUGGAUUCUCUUCGGCCAAGGGUGCAAAAAUGAAUUGUUUUAUGUCAUGAUCAGGACCGUUGAUGAAAACACGAUUUUCUUUGGCCCGUAGUGCAUGGAUAAUUCGUGGUCGUGAUACUAAAGAAUAUCCUUGGCCUGUAGUGCAGGGAUGAUUUGAUGAUGUGGAUUAUUUAUUGGGCUGAGUCUCAGCAAUAAAAGUGAUGAAAAAACUUUUUAAAUCAUAAAACAUAGUAGAUUCUAUUCUCUACUUGACUCUUUUAAUGGAUUGCUUGUUCCGCUGCAGUUAAACUUGAUGUCUAUUGUAUUUUAUCAGUUUAACAUUGUUGAAGACUAAUGAUAAUUUAUUCUGCACUAUCUUAGUCAUAAUAUUUCUUACUGGGCUAGUUGAGCUCACCCUUUCUUUCACUGUUCUAUUCAGGAAAUGAGAAUAUAGCUGGGGCGAGUCGGGGAACGGAGUGAUGGACCAGAUGAUAGUAUUAGUAGUCCUCACUAUUCUGUUAAAUAGUGUGAUAAUAAAUGUAAUGAGGACAUAUUCUGAGAGUGGAUAUUGUUUAGAAGACAGUAUUUGUAUUAAAACUCACAGCUCUCUUGUUGUAUAUUAAAGAUUGUAUUUGUAUUAUGUACCAUGUAUUUGGCGACUCAGAAUAGGUGAUGUAUACCUAUUUUGGGGGCGUCAAAAAUGAUGGGUAGAAAAAUAUUUAUUUUGUGUGGUUAUAAAUGAAGAAAUUAAUUUUGAGGUAUUUUAUAAUUAUUUUGUCAGAAUGGAUGUAUUAAAAAUCAUCCGUAUGUGGAUUUCGGACAUUUUUUGUUUAGAAUUUGGAAAAACUUUCUUCUCUAAAGUUGUAGAGAAUUUGAUUUCCUAUGGAAUGGACAUAAAAUUCAUAUUUUUCUGAUAAAAGAGCUAUUUAUUGUGAAUUAAAUGGAGUAAAGAUAAUCAAAUUGAAUUAGUUUUCAAAUUGAAUUUGAAUUCUUUUAUUUAUUUAUUUUUCAAAAAUAUGUGAUAAAUUAUUGGGGUGGGUGAGCAAAGUUGGACAAUCUUGAUUCAAGUAAGGUGUGCGUAGAAGAGAAGGAAAUAAGAAUAUUAUUUUAUUAUUUUAGUCUCCUUUGGCGUUCUAGCAUUUUUCUAUAAAUAGGUGCUUAAGUUAGAAUUGAAAAUCACACCAGAAACAUAAGCUUUCUCUCUCUAGAUUAUCGAGCGUAUUAUUGUGAGUAUUUUUCUUGAGUAUAGGAAUACUUUGAGCGUAGUUUUCUGCAAGAUUUUCUCAGAAUAAUAUCCAAUAUUCCAGGCAAAUCCAGUUUCUACUAAGGUAAAGGAUAUUAUUUUAUUGCUUUUAUAAUUCCUGAAAUGAUUAGAAAUUUCACUUCAUCUAAUAUCCUUUUAUAGGAAUAUUGGUCUGAACUUUUUAUCAAAUUUAGAACUUUUCAUGACGGGUACUGUUCACCGGUACUGUUCACGGGUACUGUUCAAAAAAGAAAAAAAAAUUUCUCCUUCCCAGUUAUCUGUUGUGACCUUUAAUCCUGAAAUUGAAUCCAUGUUUUUGAUCUUUAUUCUUGAAUUUUACUCCAUUAUGGUUUAUUAUGGAGUAUUUUUAAACUUGAGUUAUCUAAAGUACAAAUCUCUAAACUUUAUCCUUUUAUCUCACUUGAUUCGUUCUCUAAAAUGUUUUUCAUCAUCCUCAGUCCUUAAUGGUGAUACUUGAUAAAUAUCUUUGGCCUGUAGUGCAAAGAUGUAUGAUUACCUGAUGAAUAUCUUUGGCCUGUAGUGCAAAGAUGAACAGGUGUUGAGAUGAACAUGACCAACUGGUGAUACAAAUGAAUAUCUUUGGCCCGUAGUGUAAAGAUGAAUAUUUGAUUCAAGAUGUAUAUUGAUUGAUGUUACAGGGAUAAAAUAUUGAUGAUGGACUUUUAAAUUCAUAGAUGAUAGUAGAUUUCAUUCUCUACUUAACUCUUCUAAUGAAUUGUUGUUUCCGCUGCAGUUGUUGAUCUAAAACUUGUUGUCUAUUGUAUUCUAUCAGAUUUUUCCCUGUUGAAGACUAAGGAUAAUUUGUUGUAUAUUAUCUUAGUCAUAAUAUUCUUUACUGGGCUAGUUGAGCUCACCCUUUUCCUUUUUGUUCCAUUUUUCUUCUCAGGAAGCGAGAACAUAGCAGGAACCAGUCGGGGUAUAGAGUGAUGGUCCUAGACAGUUGUUUUAGAAGUCCUCACUAUUUUUGUAAAAUAGUGCAUCAAUAAUUGUAAUGAAGACUUUAUUUGAGUGUGGAUAUUGUCUAGAAGACAAUAUUUGUAUUUAAACUCACAGUAUGUGUUGUCGUAUUUUGCACGACAAUUGUAAUAAUAAAGUUGUAGUUAUUUUCUGUACCAUAUAUUUGGCGACUCAGAAUGGGUGAUGUAUACCUAUUUUAGGGGCGUCGCAGAAUAGCUUAUACCAUAUCAGUCAUUAUCAAAUCCUCUAGUCUAGCAUACAAAAUCCUUAAAACGGUGGCUAAGUCUUAGUUAAAUGCUUAGCUCAUAUAUAGACCGGUAUACACCAAGUUAUAAUCAUCUUAUGCUCAUGCAAAACUAACCUUUUAAGCACAUUUGCAUCUUUAGAAUUUUAAUAUAGAAUAUUGGCAUAGGAUUAGACUUGGCUGUACUCAUUUUCAACACAGUUGACUCCAAUAGUCUAUUAACAGACAUUUUACCAAACAGUUGGGAUGCGGUUCAUAUCUAUCCAUACAAUACAUAUAUUCUUAGCUUAGUGAUCCCAGCCUUAUGGCUUAAACAAUAACAAGCAUAAGAUGAUACAUAACAACUCCAAUCACGGUAAUCCAAAUAGCAUUGAAACAGGCAUCCUAUUGUACCAAUUCCAAUAUAACAGCCAUACAUGUUACCUAAACUCUAACAGUCCAGUUGCUAUCAUUUAAAGAAACAGGAACGAAUGGAAAAGGAUUGGAAAGGUCAGAAUUGGCUUACCUUGUUGAUUUGAAGGUUACAAGUGGGUUGAGCUGCCCAGUUUCUCCUCCUUCUCUAGCCGAAGCUUUUCCUCUCUUACUCUAUAUGACUGAUACCGUUACUUCUUCCCUUUUUCUUUUAACUUUGCUAAGUGGUGAGCUAAUCGGUUCUAGGCCAUAAGCUUGGCCUUUUAUGGUUGAGUUUAUCUCCUCUUUUCUGGCAGUACUAUCACCUUUAGUUGGCCUCUACACAACCACCCUAUCAAGCUCCCAUCCAUCAUUCCUAUUCUAGUUCACUUGGCCCCUAUAGGGCCUGUCAGACCAUAGCUAUUCUGCUUCCUCUUAUCCACUGCAAGUUUAUCCCACCUGCUAGCUGACUGUUAACUGAACUAACAUGCUAACUAGAAACCAACUUAGAAUUCGUAUAACUUGCUACUUGACUUGGUGCUCAAGCCAUGUUAUUGUUUUUCUUAAUUGGUUUGAAGCAGUUAUCUUGCUAUACAUCACUGGGUUUACAGGAUUGGGCUGGGGGAACAAUGUGACAAUUUUAAUUUGGGUUUAAACUAACCCUCCCUCUUUAACCAUGUAGCUGCCAAAUUGCACUAAGAAAAUAGGUUAAAAUUGGCCCUUUUAAUUUUGUUAUAGACCUAAUACAACAACCCAUACCCUAAAAUAGUUGAAAGGGGCAUACAAGCAUACAUAGCAAAAUUUAAUAUGGCCCAAUGUUUUAGAAUGGACUCAUUUUAAACACAAAAUUUUUUCUAUCUUAUUAAAUUCCUUUUAGGCUAGCAACAAUAGUUGGUACAUAUAUCAUUAACUCUUUUUUUUUACCAUUCAUGAUCUAAGAUACUUAAUAAAAUAUUAAGUAACAAAUAAUUAUAAGGUCAGGAUACAAAAAUAAAAUAAAAUUUAUACACAAAAUUGACAUUAUAACAACUGAAUAUUUUAUAGAAUUUCUGAGUCAUUACAUUUACUUUGUUAAGGACUAAUGAUAAUUUAUUUUACAUUAUCUUAGUCAUAAUAUUCUUUACUAGGCUAGUUGAGCUCACCAUUUUCUUUCAUUGUUCUUUUCAGGAAAUGAGAAUAUAGUUGUGACUAGUCGGAGAAUGGAGUGAUGGUCCAAGAUGGUUGCUAUAGUAGUCCUCACUAUUCUAUAAAAUAGUGUGAUAAUAAUUGUAAUGAGAACUUCAUUUGAGUUUGGAUAUUGUCUACGAAAUAAUAUUUGUAUUAAAACUCACAACUUACGUUUUGUCGUAUUUUACACGACAAUUAAUAAUUGUAUAAAUGCAGUUUGUAUUUGAAUUUUGUACCAUGUAUUUGGUGACUCAGAAUGAGUUGUAUGGACCUAUUUUGGGGGAGUCACGAAUAGGACCCAAGAAGAUUUGGGUACGAAAAAGGUAGACUAUUUGUUCAUUUUGUCAAUGUCUUAAGUUCAAAAAGGAGACGAAUAGUACUUAUAAAUUAUUUGGCAAAAUCUGUAAGUACCUUAUAUUUUUUUCUAAAAUAGUGUUUUAAUUAGAUAUAUUAUGAAAAAUCUAUGGAUUUCGUAUUACAUGGGUUCAUAACAUCAUUUAUUAUAAAGUAUAUAUUGUGCUAAAUGCUCCAUAUUUAAUACAAAUGACAAUCUUGAUGAGGAAUAAGUGAAUAUUAUUUUUGAUUAACUUAACCAUGAUCUGCUAAAGGAAGAGAAUGAGGUUUCUGUUGGAAAUGACUAUUUGAAUUGUGGAACCCAAACAGUUCAAUCCGGACAGUCUAAGAUGUGAGACCCCGAAUUUUAUGAAAUAAAAGUAUUAAAUUUUUCUAUUUUGGUAAAUAGUUAAAUUGAUAAAAGUUUAAAGUUAAGGGUCAUAUUUGAAAAUUUUGCAAAGUAUGCAAGUUGUUAUAAAUAUUCGAUUGGUCGGAGAAUAUUCUUUUUGUCGGGGAAUAUUCGUACGACGGCACAAUCUUUGGUGAACCCACAACGGAAGUACUGUCGUAGUUAGAAAAAGACAAAAAUAUUUUAUGAAAAUAACGACGAAGGUUUUACCGUUAAAAUUGUUGAACUACCCGGUAGUAAAAGUACAAUAAUACUCGUGGUUGCAUAGUAGCACACGGUAUUGAUUAUUGAUACUUAUGUGAGAAGUCACUGAGUUAUACUCAAUUAUUGCUACAGUAAUUGUUGCAUCAUAUCUCUCAUAUUAUUGAUUCGAUUAUUGUCAGUAUCAUCUGCAUUAUAUGUUAUUUUAUUAAAUCAAUAAUUGAGACGACAAAGUUAUUCAUAUUAUUAAAUUGCAAUAUUUAUAAUGUCUAGAAGUUCUGUCAAGGAGAGGUUAGAUAAUCUAAUUACGCGCCAAUAGGGAGAAAUCUUUAUCGGAAAGCCCCCUCUUUCCUGGGAACAACCUGGUUGUUAAAUAUUGUGAGUUAUGAUAUUAAUGAUGGAUAAGUUCGUGUUGAUUAAAGAUGAAUUUUAUAGUUUUAUUGUGUUGGGAUUAUUUGUGUUAGUAGAAAUUGACAUCUAUUCCGAUGAUUAUUGAUGUCUGGAGGUUAUAUUGUUCAAUCGGGUAUUCGGGACACUUUUCAUGUCAGAGUUAUUAUUCAUGAGUUACUAUUCACGAGUUACUAUUCAUGAGUUACUAUUCACUAGUUACUAUUCACAAGUUACUAUUCACCUAAUUACUAUUCACUCUAGUAUUGUGCAUUCGGGUAUUUGGGUACAAUAUUAUUCCAUGAGGAGAUGUGUUAAUUUUUCUGACCGUUGGUUGAAAUUAUAAUAGUAAAUCAAUAUGGAUCGUUGAUUUAAAGUCUUAAUAGUAACUUGUCCCUUCAAUAUUACCAAGAGUUAAUUGCCCCUUCGUAAAUAGUAGUUGUCCCUUCAAUAUUACCAAGAGUUAUUUGCCUCUUCGGUGUUCCAAGAGUUAAUUACCCCUUCGCAAACAGUAGUUGUCUCUUCAAUAUUACCAAGAGUCAUUUUGACCCUUCGUUAAGACCAAGAGCCACUCUCAGUUUUUCUAUAAAUAGAAGCUCAUUCCUUCAUUAUUUCUUACGAAUUCACUGAAACUCUAGAGAGAGAAAUUAUAGAGAGAAAGAAGAAGAGUAUUCUGUUACUUCACUACUUCGAUAUCCAGUGUCUUUUACGGUAAGGGAUAUUAUUUGUUGUACCCGUAAGGGGUGUUAUUCUUUCUUAGUCAUGAAGAGAACUUCUGUUAUUCCAUUCUUUAUUAUUCUGUUGGAAUAACCUGUAUAAGCGGCAUACCCUAUACAUAACCUGUAUAUGCGGCAUACCCUAUACUUGGUGAAAUCCCUUUGUUAUUCCAUUCUAUAUUAUUAUGUUGGAAUAACCUGUUUAUGCCAAGUACCGUAUGCAUAGUGAAAUUCUUCUAUUAUUUCAUUCUAUAUUAUUAUGUUGGAAUAACCUGUUUAUGCGAAGUACCGCAUACAUGGUGAAAUUCUUCUAUUAUUCCAUUCUUUAAUAUUCUGUCAGAAUAUCCUGUCGGUGUGAAUUUCGGCUGACCUGGUUCCAUUUAUUAUUCUGUUGGAAUAACCUGUAUACGCGUAUUACCGUAUACUUGGUGAUGUCUGUUGUUCUUCCAUUCUUUACUAUUCUGCUGGAAUAUCCUGUCUGUGCGUUUUACGCCAGACCUGGUUCCGUCUUUAUUAUUCUGUUGGGAAUAACUUGUCUGUGUGGUCUCUAUCGCAUGCAUGAUGAAUCCUUCUGUUAUUCCAUUCUUUAUUAUUCUGUUAGAAUAACCUGUCUAUGUGGAUUACCACAUGCAUGGUGAAUGAUCCUUUAUAUUCAUUCCUUAUUAAAUUGUGGAAAUGAUCCGGUUACGUUGAUUAUGAUGAGAGUCAUAAUAAAAGUAUUGGACUAAUGAAAAUCAUGGGUAUAUGUGGUAUUAGUAAGUGUUAUGAUGAGUUAUGUUGGUUAUUAUGUGAAAACAUGAAAGUUUCUUAGAAAUCACAAAGGGUUGAAAAUCAGAUUUUGGUGAAAAUAGAACAUGAAAUUCAAUUGACCAUAUCUCCUAUUAUAUUUCAAAUUUUUGGGUGUGGUUAAGUUCUAGAGUUAGGUCUAUGAGUUAUGUAACUUAUCCAAGUGGAAUCACUGGAAAAGGUGUUGUAGAUUUUCGUGUGGACUGAUUUUAGCAAAGGAGUGCAAAGCUGCAAAAACCCAAAACUCUACUGCCCAGAAACUUUAAGGGGCUGUUUCGGCUACUUAAUUUGUGAGAACAAUUCUGGCCUUUUGGGACAUGAAAUUAUAUGAUAUAAAGUACCUCCUGUCCAAAAAUGAGCUCAUUCUGACUUAAAAUGAGCAAGUUAUGACCAUUUCAAUAUUUAGGUUUUUCCGACGAAAAACGCUAUAACCGGAGUUCUAUAACUCCGAUGACCAUGAAAUUUAAAUUGGAAGCUCAUGUUAACAUGUGUAAGAUUAUGCCAAGAUUUGGGAAUUUUUGGAGUUAACCUUGAGGUAGCUAACUUCUUAAGGAAUUAAUUAGAAAUUGAUUUUUGAAAAAUAGUAAAUGAAUUUUAAAAAUUCCGAGAAAAAUAUAUGUUCAUUAUGGGACUAUAUUCUGCUAAAUACCAGAAAAGAAAUAUUUUUGGGACUGAUUUGGUAUUUUUCAUGAAAAUAGUUUAGUUACGAACUUAUGAGUUAAAUAUGUUAUGUGAAGUAACAAAAUUGGAAAAAUAGGAUUUAUGGUUUGGAAGGUAUAUGCAGAUUUUUGAUAAAGAAUUUGAUUAUUGGUGAUGAGAUCUUAUGAGUAUGGCAUUUUGAAUGAUUAAAUACAUUAUAUGGUAAAGUGUAAGCAAUUGAAAUAAAUUAUUUAUAAGUUUGAGAAGCGAUUAAAAUAUUGUUAUAAUAUUAAUAAUAUUAGAUUAUGAGUUAUUGAUAAUAUUUGGAUAAGUUUAAAGUCUUUAGUAUUUAUCCUUGUUUUCGUAUGAUUAAUGCUUAUAUCAUUGUCAUCAUCCUCAUGCUUAUAUGGUGAUGAAAGUUAUCUUUGGCUUACGUGCAAAAAUGGACUUUUGAUUAUUGAAUUGUAUAUCUUUGGCUCACGUGCAGAGCUAGUUUGUUGAUUAUUGGUUUUAUUGUUGUAUAUCUUUGGCUUACGUGCAGAGAUGAAUUUGGUAUGAUUAUGACCAAGGAUUAUUCGGUAUAGUCAUGACUAUUGAUGAUUUAAUGAAUAUCCUUGGCCCGUAGUGUAGGGGUGAUUCGAUGAUGUGGUUUAUUUAUUAAGCUGAGUCUCAAUGAUAAAAAUGGAUGAAAACAUUUUUAAAUCAUAGAAGAUAGUAGAUUUUAUUCUCUACUUGACUCUUUUAAUGGAUUGCUUGUUCCGCUGCAGUUAAACUUGAUGUCUAUUGUAUUUUAUCAGUUUAACAUUGUUGAAGACUAUUGAUAAUUUAUUCUGCAUUAUCUAGUCAUAAUAUUUCUUACUGGGCUAGUUGAGCUCACCCUUUCUUCACUGUUCUCUUCAAGAAAUGAGAAUAUAGCUGGGACGAGUCGGGGAACAGAUUGACAGUCCAGAUGAUAGCAUUAGUAGUCCUCACCAUUCUGUUAAAUAAUGUGAUAAUAAAUGUAAUGAGGACUGAAUUUGAGUUUGUAUACUGUCUAUGAGGACUCCAUUGAGAAUUGAUAUUGUCUAGAAGGCAAUAUUCUUGUUUAAACUCUCAGUUUAUGUUUUACACGACAGUUGUAUAAUUAUGUUGUAUUUGAUUUAUGUACCAUGUAUUUGGCGACUCAAGAUGGGUGAUGUAUACCUAUUUUGGGGGCGUCACAUAAGACGUCUGCAUCAGAAGGAAAUAUAGAUGAAAUCAGACAGUUUGACCUGUCUGUUUUAGAAGAAAACUCAAAUUUACAAACACCUAAAUCUAGAAAAAUCGAGAGGUCUGCUUUAGAAUAAAAAACAUAUGAAUAUUCGGAUGCAGUAACUUAUAUUCCAGAGGAUGAAUCUGAAAAGCAAAUGACUUCUUCCAGGCUUCCUAAAUCUUCUAGAACUAUGGGAAAUCAUCCUCCAAGUCUGAUCAUCAGAAAUUUCAACAUUAGGAUGUCCACAAGAAGAGGUUUUGAAGAAAUUUGUUUGCUACACUAAAGGAGCUCAUCUAUCAAGCUUAUUGUUGGUAACAAAAUUGUGGAUAUAUAGGUAACAAAUCACAAAGGUAUGGUUAUUUUAUUUAAGUGCUAUAUGUGAUAUUGUUACAAGCUUGAUGUCGUGUCUUUAUUUUAUGAAUUAUUUUUUGUUAGUGACAAAUGGGGAGAGAUAUAGCUAAAUUGAUGAUUUAUUUCUUUUUGAUAAUGAUAAGGGGAGAAAUGUUUAAAAAUAUUGAUGAUUAUGAUAUUUGAUGGUUAUAUUGAUUAUAAUAUGUUUGGAUUUUUUGGAUAUCAUAUUGAUGAUAAUGGUUGGAUAUUUUGAUUCAUUAUCUGUUAUAUACAGCUUAUCAUUAUGCAUUAUUUAUCAUAACAGUUAUGUGAUCUUUAUAUCUCCUAUAGGCAAAAUUUAGGGGGAGCCAUAUAGUUAGGGAGAGCAUGAUUGUAAGGAAUAAUAUAUUGUCAUCAUCAAAAGGUGGAGAUUAUUAGUUUUAUUAUUUGUAAUUUUAAUAAUGACAAUAUAUUUGCAAAUAUAAGUUAUUUAAUGGUCUGAAUAUAUUUGCAAAUAUAAGUUUGGUUCAUGAUAAUUUAAUUUGGUUAUAAGUCAAAUUGAUAUUACGUGCAGGAUUGAAUUGGAAUAUUUUCUUUCAGGUCUAAUUUGGAGUCUCUAAAUUAACUGGUUUAGAUAUUUGUGUAGAGUAUGGACUCUAUCUAUAAUAUAUUGUUACUCCUUAAUUUUAGCCAUUGUUAGAUUACAUAUCUUUGACUUUCUAAUUUUGAGAAUAUUUUAUAGCUGUUAGCUAUAUCUAUGUGCUGAAAUCUCUAAUUCUCGAAAUCCAAGACCAAGUCAUUGACGAGCCUACUAAGUUUACACAGCAACCACGAUUUGUUUGUAGACUUGUAGUUAUUCAUUUUAUACCCGAAGUUAACAAAUUGUAUGAAAGGUUCAUCCUUUCAAUUAUCUACAUAAUUUAUUUUUUCCUACUCUAUGCAUUCCUAAGUAUCAGAUCGGAUCAGAUCAUAAACAUCACAAUAAACCAUCUAGUGGUAAUUGUUUUAUUUAUAAUACGGUAAUAACAACCACCUAGUGGUAGUUGAUUUAUUUAUUACAUGCUAAUAACAACCAUGAGCUGAUUGUUGAUUUAUUUAUUAAAUGCUAAUAACAGCUAUCAGCUAGUGGUUGAUUUAUUUAUUAUAUUCUAAUAACAGCCAUCAACUAGUAUAUAGUUUCUUGAUCAACUGUUCAUAGGAAGAUUACUGAUCGUUCAUUUAGGCGCUGGGGGGACUAAUUUGAACACCAUAGAUAACUAAACCCGUCUUCAUAGUCGCGCUUUCACUCCCGUCAAGAGCAAAUUUUAAAUCUCCAGAGUCAAAGCUAUUCAAGAAUUCCCCAGCUUUGAGCGAAAAUGGUGUGUUUCUCGGAUAAUUCAUCAAUCCAUAUCCGUUCACUUGCGAGGAUCCAUUCGGAAGAGUAAGUGUAAGACUCACCGGACUUGCUAUGUUAAAGUUGUCUUUCAGCAACACCACAAAAGAUACCUCAUAAGAUAAUUUUUCAAGCUUUUCUGUCAUAUAGUUUCCGUCAACAUGUAGGACUAAGCUACCAAUUAAUUCAGCACUGGCAUCACUGAAAAAAAAUGAUAGUAGAAUUAAAGUCAGAAACUUUUGAUAUAAGGAGCUUAAAUUCAUUAAGGUGAUUUUAUUGAUUUUUUUUUUCUGGAACAUUUUUAAUGUAAGUCCUUCUAUCUACCUAGAGUCUAGACUUCAAUAAAAUUUCUAUAGUCCUUCUAUCACUUUAAUUUAAUGACAUAGUUGCUUAUAUAUCCCUAUUUUUAACUGAAUAAAAUUCAGGUGUUUAAACACAAAUCUUAACCUUUGACGUCAAUUAAGUUAACUAAAUCUUAUUUCUACUUACGUAAACUUCCAGCCUGAAGGGUUGGCAUAAUUGAGUUCCUUUGCAUACACAAAAGCCCAACUGCUCUGAAUAAGUCAACAGAAAUUUACAUUAUUAUAAGGAUAGAUAAGGCAAACCAGCGGUGACCGAUCGAAUGAUAUGUCGAUGCCUUUAUAUAUAUAUAUAUAUAUAUAUAUAUAUAUAUAUAUAUAUAUAUAUAUAUAUAUAUAUAUAUAUAUAUAUAUAUAUAUAUAUAUAUAUAUAUAUAUAUAUAUAUAUAUAUAUAUAUAUAUAUAUUGACGGUUGACAUUUCAAAAUAACAAUUAUAAAAGUGUUGCCAAAUGUAUAUUUACUCUGAUAGCGAUGACAUUAUCAAUCACCUAUAUAUAAAUAGCAAAUGUUUCAUCGCAAAAGUUUAUUACGGAAUAUGUAUCACUCAAUCCAUCUUAUAUCAUCCAUACAUUACAACAUCAGAUAGAUGUGAUCUUAAAAUUUUUGAACACUCGGCGACAUUAUGUUGCAAAUGGUACCAAAUUUUAAAAAUCCCAAAGGUGUAAGAUGGUCUAAAUUUUGCAAAAAUGUAUCACUUGCAAAAUUUACAAAUAUUAAGGAUUAUUUUUGUUCUGUAGACAACUUUAGUGUGUAUAUAUAUUUGAUGUUUGUUUCCAAUUUCAGUGGACUUACCUUCUGGCCCGGGUCCUUUUUGAGCAACGCAUUUUCCUUAGCUUGAGACAACAAUGUCUUGAGGUCAACCUUGUGAUACCUCACUACUUGUGCCAUUUCGCCUUUAAUUCUGCUAUAUAUAUUUUUUGUUUUUGUUCUUG